CAACAUUUAGAUAACGCGACAAUGAUAAAACCCGUAAACGUUUCAGGGAUGGCAACAAAUCAUGUAGAAACUUUUUACUUAUGUGGAAGAAGAACAAGUCAUAUAUUGAGAUAGGUAGGAAGGUCCGCAGAGACUUUGCCCCAUCUAAUGGCUCAAAUUUUUUAGCAGCAUCAAUUUCUCCCAUAGCAUAUGACAAAUGACGAAGUCUUUUAACUUCUUGUGAUUCCCUCUCUUCCAGCCUGAGAAAAAAUCCCCUAGACAUGAACUGACCCAAGUCGUUAAGAAGAUCAUGCAUUGUGAAACCAUCCUCCCCUGAUUUUUGAAGUAGCGAUCGUGAUACCAGUUCAUCAAAGUAACUUCUAGCCGUCUCUUCCAUUCUUUUCCCGUUAAAACCUUGUGGAAUUAAACCUUCCGCCAUCCAAAGUAGAACCAUAUCUUCCUUCUUGAACUGAUAGUCUUUUGGAAAAAUUGAACAAUACACAAAGCAUCGUUUCAACUGAGCAGGAAGAUAAUGAUAGCUCAACCGUAGGGCUGGAAGGAUAUCACUUUUAUCAUAAGGUAGCUCCCAAAGACUACUAUUUAACAAUUUAUUCCAUUCCUGGAAGUCUCUCUGGCAACGUAGUAGACCCCCCGAGUGUUUCUGCUGCUAAAGGCAAACCAUUGCACUUGUGUGCAAUUUUCUUGCCAAUUUCUUCCAAAGUUGGAUGUGCAUUGUGGUUUUCGUUUCCAAACGCAUGUUUUGAAAGUAGCAUCCAACAAUCUUCAUGCGACAAAGGCUUCAAGUGUUGAAUGGGCACAUUUUUCAUGAGAGAUGCGACAUUUUCACUUCGUGUUGUCACGAUGACUUUACUUCCCCUUGCCCCGGAAUUAAAAGGAGUUUGGAGGCACUUCCAAUCAAUAUUUCUCAUUCCAAAGGUCAUCCAACACAAAUAAGAAUUUCUUUCCCUUCAGUUGUUCUCUAAGUUCAACUUGAAGCAUAUUCAAAUCUGUCAUCAUACAAGGUUUUGAAGUGACCGACUCGAGAAGAGUUUUAGUCACCCUGAUAGCAUCAUAAUCUUCUGAAACACAUGCCCAAGAUUUACGGGUAAAGUGAUCUUUCACCUUAUCAUCAUUGUAAAGGGCUCGAGCAAGGGUCGUCUUGCCAACCCCGCCCAUACCAACAAUGGUGAUGAUAGAUACAUCAUCCUCGCUUGCAUCAUCAGAGAACAAGACUUCUGAUAAAUUUUCUUUAUCUUUGUCUCUUCCAUAUACAAAAGGUUCAUGAAUCAAGGAAGUUGUUGGAGUUCUUUGUGAAACCUUCCUCCCAACAACUUCUGUCAGACCAAGGGCAACCUUCUGUUGCACAAAGCCAUCCAGCCUUUGCAAUAACCCUUGUAUCUCAACAUUCAUGCUUUGAUAAAAAUGACCACGAGAAGUAGAGAAGAAGCUCCACACCUUGUUGGUUAAUUUGUCGGUUUGACCUUCACCUUCCACCUUGCAUCGCAAAGCUUCAGUGUCGAUCUCAUCCAGCAAGUCCUCCGCGUCCAAGACAGCAUGCUUGAGGUCGUCCAGCCAGCCUCUCACAGCAGGGUUUGAAAUUUGCUUCUCUUCCGCAUCGUUGAGCACUGCAUAAAGGGUGAGCAGCGUCGUCUUCAGUUUCAUGAGGAGGGGUUCAUCCAGCUUCUUCUGCCGGAACAAGUCACCGAAGUCGGCUGAAGCAAUUCUGUCACACAGCACCUGGAUGGAAGCGGAGAUCAAAGCCUCUCCAAUCAAAGCGGCGGCCAUUUUUCUCUUUGGUUGCUUAGUUUGCUAGUAGCUCAAUGUAGAAGAAAAGGCUUUUGAGAUUAUAAUUAUCGAUCUCCCAAUUCGUAAAGAACUUGUUAUUGGUCAGUUGACCCAAAAAGAUCUGUGAUUGGUCUGUUGACAUUAAAAGAACUUGUGAUUGGUUUGUUGACCAUAAAAAGUUGUCCGAUGGACCCAGAUCCGGAUCUUUUUAUCGGUGGCCUGCGGACGAAACAUCGUGGCCGUUGAUUCAAAGUACAUGGAAAUCGUGCGGCCGUUAAAUUUCUCAAUUUACACAAACAGCGAGGCUCUGCUUAAUGGUUUCCAGGUGGUGCUUCUCAUGAAAGACGAGGUGCUAUUUUUCUUUUCUGUGAGACAAUAAAGAGAGAAUAUAAAUGUUUAGGGGUUCCUUAAAAUUGAAAUAUUUAAUAGAUUUUCUGUUAUUUUAUAAUUCAAUGUUAAUUUUUGUGUUAAUAUUAUAAAAUUUUAUAUAAAAUCAUAAAGUCACAACUUUGAACCCCAAAUAUACAACAUGGAGCAGGGAGCUCUUGACAAGCUGAUAGCGGACUACAACACCAUGGAUAUAUGGAAUUUCAAUGAGAAAUAUGGAGAUCUGUGGGAUUUCACUGUGACCGUGAAGAUGGAAGAUAUUAUGAAGAGAUAAAAAUUCAUGUGUAGUAAAUUCCGCCAUAAUUAAUAUGGGAUUUCUAAAGUUCUCAACCAGCUUGAGCAUGAAAGGUAUAUAGCUAUCAAUUUAGUCCUCUUUUUGUUGCUUCCUUUCUUUCUACAUCGGCUUUUUGACUUUCUUGUUUACAUAUUACAUGAAAGGGUGAGAUUAAAUUUUGUAAACUAAAUGAUGUGAAAAUUGAUAAUUAGAUUAUUACUUAAGUGUUGAUUAACUGCUUAUUUCUUGUUGGUGACACAUCAUUUACUCUGCGAAUUUAGUCUACAAAUUUUAUCUGUCUAGCAUUACCCAAGAAAAAAUAAUCCCCUCGCCUAUUGUCAAUAAUUGGUCGAGUGCAAUGAUAGUUAGGUCCAAGAUGUUUUCUUUAAAAGUGGUGUAUAGGAUUUGGUGUAUAUGAUUUGUUUAGAUUAGAUAACUUACUAGAUUCAAUCAAUAUGGAAUGAAGAAGUGGGUGCCCACUCACAUAGUUUUCCAAGUGAAAAGAAGAAGAUGAAUUAAUUAUGACGAAAACUUGUCCCUCCUAAUCUCCACAAGAUUGGUAGGAUUGGAAUAGAUAAGAACAAGUCCACCCGUAGAGCAAAUGCAUGUAAGUUGCCCUUACUAUUCAUUUUGAAUAGCUCAUCAUAGUGCAUGUUACAGUUAAAUGGCUACUCAAUUAACUUAGUCUCCCUAACAAUUAUUAGUGAGAAGCAUUUAAAAAGCAAUUUAUAGAAGAAAAAAAGGGUAAUGUAAGGGAGAUUAAAUUUGUAGACAAUUUUGUAAACUAAAUGAUGUGAAGGUUAAUUAUUAGAUUAAUACUCAAGUGUUGAUUAACGUGCUUAUUUCUUAUUGAUAACACAUCAUUUAGUUUGCAAAUUCAGUUUACAAAUUAAGUCUAUCUAGCAUUACCUAAGAAAAAAAUAAUCAACUCACCUAUUGUCCUUAAUGAUCGAGUGCAAUGAUAGUUAGGUCCAAUAGGUUCUCUUUAAAAGUGGCUAUAAGGGUCAUAUUUGUUAAGAUUGUGGCCUCAUUUGGCAUAUAGGAUUCGUUUUAUGGUUUAGAUUAGAUAACUUACUAGAUGAGUAAUGUUAGGGAGAAUAAAUUUUUAGAUAAAAUUUGUAAACUAAAUUAUGCGAUACUAAUAGGAAAUGAGCACGUUUAUCAACACUUAAAUAAUAAUUCAAUCAUCAACUUCCAUAUCAUUUAGUUUACAAAAUUUUGUCUACAAAUUUAAUCUCUCUAGCAUUACUUCUUAAUAGAUUCAAUCAAAUAUGGAAUGAAGAAGUGGAUGCCCACUUACAUAGUUUGUCCAAGUGAAGGUAUAAGAUGAAUUAACUAUGACAAAAACUUGUCCCUCCUAAUCUCCAUAAGAUUGGUAGGUUCGCAAUAGACACGAGCAAGUUCACCCAUUUUAGAAGGGCAAAGGCAUGUAAGUUGCCCUUACUAUUCAUUUUGAAUAGCACUUGCCUUUGUGCAACUCCAUCCGUUUGAAAAAUGCCUCUUUCUAGGUCAAGCAAUUAGUGUGUCUGUAAUGUAGUGUUCCCCCUUCAAUAAGUUAGAAAAAUAGUUAUUAUUGAAUAUUAAUCACAUUCCACGUUACGAGUACAUUUAUAUAUUCCUAAAACAACUCCUACCUUCAUCAAUCACUCCUCUCUGUAUUUGUUUCUCUCACUCACAGCACACACCACCCCACCUUCACAAUCUAAAACGAUGUCGUAGCACUGAACGACGAACGCUGCGAUUUGGAACAACGAUCGCCUAGGGUUUGAAACAACGCGACAAGGACGUACAUGAUCUGGAACAACGAAUGCCCAAAUCCUCAAGGAAUUACGAUUUGCAGACCCAAACGGAAGAGAAGGAAACAACUUUUAUCACUUUCACCCUGAAUUCAUACAGGUUCCCUUCAAUCUGAUUACGGAUUGGUAUACGCGCCCUAAAUUCAUACGGGUUCCCUUGCGUCAAGGGUAUUUUGUAACAGUGAGGCAACUCUUUACGUAAUCGUGAUACAAUAAUGGAUCGGAUGUGUUUAUAAUAGGCAAAUUGUUUCAUAAAUAGAGAAGCCAUGUUUCGGUACCACAUUUGCCCACAAAUAAAAUUCAAGACCCUAAAAACAAAUCAAGAAAUUAUAUCCAAACAAAACGUCAUCGGCUUAUAUCAAGUUAUUUUCACUGACCUGUAACUUACUCCCAAGUAAUCAAAUAGGAUGGGAAACCCUGUGACAACAAAACAAAUCAUACUGAGAAUAACAAACCACUCUUCCAACCUUCAAACAUGACCCUAAAAUCUAACCCGACUUUUGACGACGACGUCGACGACACCAAUUGGACAAAACCAUAGACCCAUAGAAAAAUACCGUCCCUCUUCACUCUUGAUCGUCUUUCUUCUCUUCCUUGGCAGCAGGUGCCUUUUCUUCUGCCUUCUCCUCAGCAGGUGAUUCUUCUUUUACUGCAUCGCUCUUCUUAGCUGCAGCAGGUGCCUCUGCCUCAGACUUCUCCCCAACACUCAAUUUAUCGAGAAGCCCAGCAGCUUCAGUGGCUUCUUUGCUUUCUUCUUCAGGACUCUGGGAUUCAGCAACUUCUUGAAACUUCUCCAUGAACAAUUUGUUAUCUGAUAAAGAAAAAAACAAUCAAACAUCGAUAAGCUACUUGCGUGAUGAUGGUUGGGACCUUGUACCAAGAUCUGCUAUAAACACAUUUAACGCUUGACGAGAGAUGAAAAUGAGGAAAAUGAAACUGAAUGGAUGAUGCUGCAGCGAAAGAACCACUGCAAAUGCAUCAUGGCUAUAGGAAAAGUUUACAUUGGAUCCUUUCAGAAGGUAGACAUCUCCCAAAGCUCAUACUGAAUAAUACAAUAUUAUUAACGCAGUACCAAAUAAUUGAGAUGGUAGGAAGAAUCUACUCCCAGAAAUAAUGCUACAGAAAAAUGAUUCAUUCAAAUCAAUACACAUGCAUGUCAGAGAAAGUAUGGCAGAGGAUGUCAUCUCCUUCUUAUUAUAUGCUUAAGAAAAAUAAUGCUCUAGAUCUAUGGUUCUAUACAUGCUUAAGAGAAAUAAUACAACUUGUGUUGCAAUUUAAAUCAAGAUCCGUAGGCAACAGAUCUGCUAAUUUAUGGUUUCCUCUAUAUCUUGACAACGCUCCUGAAAGCUAAGAUUUAUUUACUCAUAAAGAGAAACACCUAGGACCUUGAAGUCUCAGAAACUGAUUAGCCUAUAUACUUUAUACAGGCAGCACCACUACAUAGAAGCCUUUGAAUUGGUGCCGACUUUUCCUAAUAUAAACUCAAGUCAAAUCAAAGACCAUAACUCUCUCUAAUCAACGAAAAACUCAAAUCUAUUUUGUUCACUCUGUUAUUCCCAAAUAUUCAUAUUCCCACGUUCCAUAGUACAUAAGGGAACCUAAUUCACCACGACUAAGUGCACUACUGAGAGAUAUUCAGUAAAACAUAUUUUGGUCCAACACUGACUUCAAAAGCUCUAAAGUUCAUAACCUCUUCAAUUUGCAAGCAACAUUAGUGCAAGGAAGCCAAAAAGUACAAAUUCUUACACAGGUUUCAACAUGCAGGUAAAGUUUCUAAACGGUAAAAAUGUGUGCUUUACAGCCUAAUUGGAACCCAUCUCCGUAAGUUUUAAGCUUAGUUAGAAUGUACAAUUCCUCAUUGCAGUGAGGUGAUCAUAGCUUUACAAAAAAGAAAAAGGAAAAAAACCCACUUUAAAUAUAUGAUUAACACCAACACAUUCUGUAAAAGAGACAUUUUCAUUCAAGUAUCAGCAAACACGAGAAGAAACCAAAAACAACAUCCAUACAAAAGGGUUAGACCUAAACUAUUAACAUCCAAUAAAAAGAGAGCAAGUCAUGGUGUCCCACAUAUACACAUGUCCAACUAGUACAUCUUUUCAAAGUUAGUAAUUUCAAUGUUUAAAUGUGGGUUUUGUAUUGGUUACUUUUUUUUGUCAGCAAUGUAUUAGCUACUUACUGGAAAGCAUCAAUUGGUACACUCUCAAGUCAUAGCAAUUACAUAAAUAAAUUAACUCAAAUGUACAUCAUCAAAUAAUACAUAAUACAGAUAUACAUAUACGUAUUAUGACUGAAUCUAGUCAGACCACUCAUCAGAAACAACUUCAAAUCAAAUUGUGAUAUCAAUUGCAUCCCUCUUUAAAGCCACUAUCAAACAUUCAACUCUAAACAUUAAAAAACAAUAUCUUAUUGAAUCGGACAAAGGUAAUUAGAAGAAUCGAAAAAUUAUUAAAUUCGGAUAUUUCAUGAGUUCAAAAUAGCUACAGAUUACAUACAUAGACAAAAGUAAGAGACAGUACCAAGUAUACUACCAUCUAAUAUCAAGCAAAACAAAAAAACAAGAUUACGAAAAGAUAAACUUAUAAAGUAGACUAAACAAAUUAACUCACUUUCAAUUGAAGCAAAUCUAAUGCAGAAAAGCUCCUCCUUCAAUUCCCCAUCAGCAAAAUCGGUUGCAUGCCAAACACAGGACUUCUCAUUCCCUGCGUGCUCCUGGACUGUCAUCUUCGGUAGAACUGCAGUUAACAACGUAACAGAGCACAAGCAAAAAUAUUCAAAACCCUAAACCCAAAAUAAUAACCUGUGUACAAUUACAAUGGUAUACAUAGACUAUGAGAGACUAACCAAGAUGAUUGGCGCAUAUCUUUAGGGUUUUGGAUUGCCGCAUGACAAGGCGGACUUUUCCAGACUUCUUGUGCUUGAGAAACUUGACAGUGCCGGCACCUCGCUCCUUCCAUUGAUUACCGUCUUUAUCAAAUCGGUAAAGCUUCGCCUUCCUAUUUACACAAACAAAGCAGACAGAUUAAUAAGAAUUUAAAACGUUCAGUGCGCUAAUCGAAUCGAAUCAAAACAAAACCCUAGCUAGGUUUUUCCAGAUCGGAGUAAAAAGCAAAAAAAACCCUAGUAUUCGACGAGAAAUGAAUCGGGGGAAGAGACUUACAGAUCGAGGAUGGCGUCCUCCUCUUCCUCGCCGGUGGUAACGGCGACCUCCUCCAGCCGAACGAUCGGAGCGACCUGAGCUCCGGUGUCCUCGUCGUCGCCGGCGAGUGGUGCCUCCUCGUCGUCUCUGUGCCCUGGAUCGGCGCUCGACAUCUUAGAGAGAGAAGUAGGAUGAGUAGUAGAAAUAGGAGUGAGAGAGAGAAUUGGGGGAAGGGGAUCAGGGUUGAGGGUUAUAGGGGGUUUUAUAGUAGUAGGAGUGUGAGCGUGAGUAAUACGCCAUUCAAUACAUGGACGACCAAGGCCCAAAUCCUUCAACCCAAAAUAAUUUUAAAUUCCCUACCAAACAAUUAUUAUUAUUAUUUUUUAUUUUUGAAACAAACGAUAUUAUAUACACUAAAAAGAAUGAAUAUGAGUUUAGUUUCAUAAUAUGUUAGCAAUAAUAUGAUUCAAAUUUGUCUUUGGCAAAAUUCGAACAUAAGACCUCACACUUAUAAGCAAAGAGGAAUACCACUAUACAGUAGUACUAAGUAGCACCAAACAAAAUUUUUUAAUUUAAAAAAAAAACAAUAGUUAUGCCAUUCAGUAUUGGUCUGAUUGUAUUCUUCUUCACUUGUAAGCAAUAAGUUUUAGGUUUGAAUCUUGUAUAUGGUGAAUUCGAUACAAAAUUAUAUUGCUCAUUGUGUGGUUUAGCCGAACUCCCCCUCCCCCUAGUGUAACAUAUAUAAUUGUACUCAAAAAAAAAAAUAAUGAAAAUGACUUGAAAACUUUGAGUUUUAAUGAUAAAGACAAAAUAAAGGGUAAAGUGAAUAGUACCAUGAUUGGCUUAAUAGUACCAGGAUUGACUUUUUAGUGUAAAAAUAUGAUUUUUAGUUAAAGUGAAUAGUACCAGGAUUGACUUUUUAGUGUAAAAAUAUGGUUUUUCGUUAAAAUGAACAGUACCGAGUGCUUUUCGUUAAAGUCCCAAAAAAAAAACACACACACACACACACAAUAGCUCUCUUUGUUCAUAAAAUAAAAAAAUAAAAAAAAAAUAAAAAAGCAACCAAUAGUUCUCAAGAGAUACUUAAAAAAAUAAAAAAAGUUUUAGAAAGUUUUUUUUUUUUUGGAUCAAAAUGGUAUUUGAGAUAGGCAAUAACUCCUCACUUUGGUCUCUGAGAAUUAAAAUUGAUAAAAACUGGUCACUAAGUUUGUCUACCAUUCAUCAUUUUAGUCAUCGUGUGAAAAUCUCUCCUAAAUAAAAUAUAAUGGCAAAAAUACUCUUGAUUUUUGUUAAAUCAUUUUGGUCCAUUAUUUGUUAAAUUGAGAAUAUUUUUGUCAUUUUUGUUCUUAUUUAACAAAUAUUUUUAAUGGAAUGAUCAAAAUGAUUGACACUCAACAAAUUCUAUGACCACUUAUAUUAAUUACAAAUAUCAAGAAUCAAAAGUGAAGAGUUAUGUCAAUUUCAAUAAUCAUUUUAAUUAAGAUGUUUUUUGAAAAGAUAAUUUUAUUUUACAUUUACUAAAAUAUGCGUAUGAGAACCAUUUUGUUGCUUAACAUUUCUAUGCAUUUACUUACACCUAAAAAUUGGAAAAUAAAAGUUUUCCUGUAAAAUUUGUAAUCAAAUAUAAAAAAAAUAAAAAAAAUAAAAUAAAGAAUCAGAUCAAUUGGGAACACUAGCUGAUUCAAUUCCUUUUACUCUUCAUAUUUCCCUCUAGUUAAAAGAGUUCCAAAACACUGCAACAAUGGUGGGGUUUGCCCAGCUUGCACAGGAACACAAGAACAAAAUAUCAGAACGCUAUACCUGAAAUUUAGCAACAGUAUCAGGAGUAAGGAGCAUACCCAUUGGAGAUUCCGCAGCAAGCUCUGCAGCCCCCUUAGACUUUGUCUGAGAAAACAGUUCUUCGAACCGCUGGACAACCAGAGCACGACAACCAUAUGUUUUAGUUUCAAGAACUACAUCACCGCGUACUGAUUUCCACAGCAUAAGGGGGAAAGACAUGCACCAAAAAACGCACACAAACACACUGUCGUUACUGUCUGCAGGCCACCGGUUUUGAUCAAACUAGAACACAAGAUGAAAUAAUUGCCAUUGAUAUAUGAUAAAUACAAGAUGCCAACAAAACGCUGUCCACUGGUUUGAUGAAACAAAAGCAAUCUUAAUUAUUGAAAUCAAACGGAAAACCAGAACGUCCACACACUUCAAACAUAUAUUUUACAACAGUGCCUCCAUGAGGCCCUAAUAAUCAAGCAGCAGAUGGGGCGGAGAUGAAUUCGACAGCGCCAGUCUCGGAAAAUGCCGCUUCGGGUGGCUCCACGUUAACUUGGUCUGUGCUCUUUUCGGCCUCAGCUGAAGUCACAGUCUUCUUGCAGUCCAAAGAGUCAUCACUGUAUAUCUCCCACCAUUUGUUCACCAGCAUCUUAACAUCUUCCCUCUCCAUGUUCUCUUCCUUCCCAGUGUAACUCCAUGGCUUAGACCCCUGAACCAAAAAUAUAAAUGUCACACUCUCAAGUUAGUUGAUUAAAAAGAACGGACGUGAGUCAAUAAUAUUACAAAACUCACUAAAGGUUGUAACGAGAACUCACAUUAGCACAAUAGUUAACAACUUUGACCCUGUCAAGCUCAACGGCCACUGGGUGACGCCAGAGCAUGGGCAGCAUAAGGUUGUAAUGUGGAGCCAAGGCCACCAACUUGUCCUUGAAAAACACGUUCAGAAGAUCCUGCCAAAAAAAAAGCACAUAAAAUACAAACAAUGAUUCAAUAACACUUUCCUUUUUUCAGUACUGUCGGGUGUCGAGGUUCCUUUAAACUGUCCUUCUUCAUAGGGAUAAUAAAAUUAUAUGGCGAGAGAGAUAAAAUUACCUGCUCUGCAAAAGCGGUGGUACGAGAAGUCUGGAGGGUUUUGAUGAGGUCACUGUAGGUCACCAAGCUGGGCUCAAACACAAACACGCUAGCAUUGAAGUAAAGAGGAGGUUUGGGGCCCAAUGUGGGGUCCCACUGGACCUUGUUGGGCCACUGCUGGCAGUGCCCAAUCUUGUGAUGUGGACUGUGGCUCCAAGAGUUCUCACAGAAGCAGUCCAGUGCCGCAUAGAAGUAGGAGUCAGGGUAGUCGAACAUGUGGUCAAUGUUCUCAAAGACUAGGACGUUUCCGUCCAAGAAGAUCAUUUUGUCAUACUCCUCAAGCUGAAAGUUUCAAUCAAAAGGUAGGGUUCAGAUCCCAUGCAAAAUCUAUCUACUAACAAUUAAUCAAACAUUAAUGAAAUAAAUAAAUAAACCUUUACCGCCCAAAUGCGAAGCUUAAAGUAAUUUGUGACAUAUGAGGCCCUGAACACCGGCUCAAUCUCUUUCACUGUGCAGCCAUGGGAGGCCAGAAGCUUGCGAUACUCUUCAGACACAUCCGGCAAGACAACCACAACCAGGGGGUACUUGCUCAUCCUUUUUUUCAAGCCCUUGGCCAACCCAACCACACCGAACAAAGCCUCGUCAUAGUCUCCAGCCAACAUGGUCACAUAGGCCCUCCUGGGUUCAUUGGCUGCCGAGAACGCACCUUGAGCUUUCCUAAUGACACAACACAUGAGAGAGAGAGAGAGAGAGAGUUAGUCCAGUUAACCAAAUAAAACAAGAAAAGACGAAAAACAAUUGGAGAAAGAGCAAUUAACUUACAGAUCUAUGUGCAUGAUGGCAAGCCGACGACGAUAGGUCUGAGAUCGGAUGUCAUCGUCGUCGCCAGCGAGUGGGAACUCCACGAGGUCUCUGUGGGGAUUGGCGCUCGACAUCUUUUGUAGACUUGUAGUGGGAGAAGGGUUAAAGCUUUGGUAUUUGUUUUGAAGAGAAAGGUUUUGGAUCUCUCGAGCUCGAGGUUUUAAGCUAUAUAGCUGAUGGCUUGGAGAAUGUUGUGCUUUUGAGGUAGGGGUGGUUGGGUUUAUAUAGGGAAGGAAAUGGUGAAACUUAGGUUUAACUAUGGUUAAAGACGUGAGUUGGGGGUAUUAAACGUCCCUCAAAGAUUCCCAGAAGAAAGCUACAUUUUCAACCCAUAUGGCAACUCAUUUCACUUUGGGAUAUUCUUUCUAACGUAGCUCACGUGUCCAGUUGUAUGGCGUGUGACCUCGUAGCAGACGGCCGACCUUCCUUCUCCUACAAGCAAACAAACUCCCUGUACGGCUGACCUGUGCCUCAGCCCUUUUGAUUUCUUUCUCCAUGCUCUCUUGUGCUGAUCAGUUUGUGCUGAGCAGUUGGCUCCCUCUCUUCCAAGCCCCAUUUUUGAAACCCUGAAUUUCCAUAUCCUCUCCCUCUUCUCUCCUCCUCCACCCACCAACACCAUACCUCAGCCUCCAUCUCUCUCUCCCUAUCUCUCUCUCUCUCUCUCUCUCUCUCUCUCUCUCUCUCUCUCUCUCUCUCUCUCUCUGUCUCUCUCAGUUCGGCUUUUUCUUUUCUUUUUUAGGCAUCGUUGUCAUGUACAAAAGUUUGGCAUGCGGUCGGUCGGUCGAUCAACAUAUGUAUUCGUCUCUGAUAUACCAAAGCAAAAAUAAGACAAACAAGAGGAAGUUUUUUUAUAACCAUGUUUCAGUACGUGUUAUGCAGCUGAAUAUGCAGCUGAAAAUAGAUUAUACUUCCUCUAAUUCUAUUGUAAAAGAUAAAAACGGAAUUUGUGGGAAGCUGAAGAUAAAAAUGGAGCAUCCGACAAAAAAGUUUCAAAAAACAAAGAAUAAAAUAUGAGUAAUGCUAUUUAUGUCAGGUUUUUAUACCAUGUUUUCAUACUAAGUUAGGUGACAUCUGAUGUGGCCAGCCACGUCAUUUAAAAAAUUUGCAAAACCAAGGAAAUGAAAGAGAAAGAUUCCUCGUAUACCACAAUCAUCAUUUAAUUAAUUAGUUUUUCUUAAUUAUUAGUUUAUUAAAUAAUGAACUAAAUUUAAAAAUUUAAUUAAGAUGUAGCUGUCUAUAUCAAUGCCAGCUAAGGUGAUAUAAAAAUAUGAUACAAAAACAUAGUAUAAAUAUGAUUACUCAUGAAACAUGUUUAAAUAUAACUCCACUGCCAGCCUACCACCCUAACCACCAACCAGAGAUUGAUAUGCCUAACAAGUAACCGCUCCUCCUACUGUCCGUGUCCUCGCCGCCUGAAUGUUGACAUCACCACUGUGCUCAUGCUUUGCCAUGUUGUAUACGAGAGACACAAUUAACUUUGUAGAAACUACAGUAGAGAAAAUUAGCUGUUACCCUCCAUCAAAGAUUUUUCCUAAGUAUAAUUUUUUUAUACUAUUUACAGGGGACGAUUUAAACUCUGAACAUAUUAGGAUAAAGAGAAAUACCUUAUUUACCAUGGCAAUCCACCUUUUGAAUUUUUUUUUUAAAGUGUGUUAUUAGUAGCUUUUUGCUACUUAGUACUACGGUCUAGUGACAUUCAUCUUCACUUGUAACUGAGAGGUCUUAGGUUCGAUUCUCGGUAAAGGUAAAUUUGAACCACAUUAUUAUUAGUUAAUUAUGAGGCUCACCCCAUUCUUCCACCCCUUAGUGUAGCUAAUAUCGUUUGUUCAAAGAAAAUAACAGCUUCUUUGGUUUUUAUACUAGAAUAUUGUGAAACGGAUUUGAGUCAUGUUACAUAAUUGUAGUCAUAAUUAUAAAUCGAACUUAUUAUUUUUGUGAGUUGAGCUCGAGACCUCUUACUUACAAAUAAAAAGAAAUAUUGUUAGAUUGUAACGUUAUUUGUUACACUCUAUGAAGAUUUUUUUUAAUACAUACGAUAUUAUCUACCCAAGGGAUGGAGGAGUGAGUAAAACCUCACAAUGAGCUAGCUAUAAUAAUUUCGCUCGAAUUCGCCUUUGGCGAAAAUCGAACCUAAGACCUCACAAAUGAAGAAAGAUAUCACUAUACUAUAGUACUUAGUGACUAAACUCUAUGAACAUAUUAGCUAAUCAUAUUUUUCAUAUUGGAAACUUAAUAUUUAUGUCAUAUUUCUAAUUAAAGUGUGGUCUACUUAGAUCAUAGGCCGUAUUUCUUUUAUUUUCCUUUUUUUUUGUUAAAAAAAUGGAUAUAGGUAGGAUAUUAUUUUGGUAGCACCAACAAAAGAAUUAUGGGAAUUUUAACGAAAAGUUUUCAGUACUGUUCACUUUAACGAAAAUCACAUUUUCACACUAAAAAAUUAAUCCUGAUACUAUUCAUUUUACCAUUUAUUUUGUCAUUUUCGUUAAAAAUCAAAGUUUUCAAGCGAUUUUCAUUAAUUUUCCUAAGAAUUAUAUCCAACCGUUGUAUAUUUGAUUAUAUUAAAUAAACGUAAGUAUCGUAGUUAGUUCCUUCUUCAAUUAAAGAACAAAAAAUAUUACCUUUUAACAUGAAGACGAAUCGGUUGUUGGAAUUUACCUUUGAUCAAACGAAGAAUCUAUGAGAACAAAAACUACAUUUUGGGUUUGGGAUAUUGUGGCAGACGGUCGACCUUCCUUGUCAUACAAGCAAACCAACUCCCUUCACACGCUGCCAACAUUCCCAUUUUUGUUUAAGAAAAAAAGUGCAAGCAUUUUCGCCUUGGAUGAAUUUGUUUUUAAUCUAGUUCCUUUAAUUUAACCGUUAUCUACACAGUGCAAGCAUAACAAAUAUAACUUUCUACCAACAUAUUACCGCAGUGAAAUGAUAUCAUUUUUUUUCACUUGUAAGUGAAAAAUGUUCAAUACAAAUCUUAUGAUAAUGAGUUCGAGUCAAUUUAUUCUUAUUCCUAAUGUAAAUAUAUCGUUGUAUCAACAAAACCAAAUAUAACUUUUCUUGAUUUUCAAAUGAACAAUGCUUUGGUGACGUUAUUUUAGUGACACAAAAUUGUAUCUUAGUUUCACAUUAUAUAUUAUUAUUAACAUAAUGAUAUAUUCAUAUUAAAGACUAUGAGAAUAAAUUAAUUUUGAACUCGCCAUCCACGAAAUUAAAAUUUAAGACUUCUCACUUACAAUAAAGAGGAAAUCAUUAAACAACCGUAGUAAUAAGUGAUUAGUUUCAACUUAUUAGAAGAAAACUUUCAUGACAAAUUGACAUACAGAAUGUGACCCAUAGUAAAUUUUUUUUGGGGAAAAAAAAUAAAAAUCAACUAACAGGCUGGUAAUUUGCUUAAAAAGAAGAAAAGAAAAGAACAAAGAAGUCAAUCUUUUUAACUUUGCGCUUAAUAUGCUUAAUUAAUAAGGAAAACUAAUGAAAAGAGUUUGAAAAUUUUGAGUUUUAACGAUAAAGACAAAAUAAAGGGUAAAGUGAAUAGUAAUAUGAUUGACUUUUUAGUGUAAAAACCGAAAGCUUUUCGUUAAAGUUCCCUAUUUAAUAUCAAUCAGCUUGUUAGCUGACCUUUUAAUGUAUAAUAAAUAACUAAAAGACUCACUUUUUUAACAAAAGAUAAUAUAUACUGAGGGGAGAGUGAACUAAGCCUCACACUAGGCUAGCCAUAAUAAUAUUAUUCAAAUUCACCUUUAACUAAAAUCGAACCUAAAACCUCUCAUUAACAAGUGAAAGAAAAAAAAAUCACUAGAGCAUACAAGGAAAAAUAAAACAAAUCAAAAGGAGUAGUUUUUUUUUUUUUCGAGGUGAAACAUUAUUGGAUUUGGUAGAAAGCAACAUGCAGGCAUACAAUUUUUAAACAAAGCGUCAUACAUAAAUUAAAUCUGAUAAAUGUUCAUAAUAACAAUUAUCAGAUGAAUAAACAUUAGCGAAAUUGCAAAGAGAGUUUAGAGAGAGGCCUGCCUAGGGUUGGGCACGGUCCACUUCCGUCCGGUUCCAAUUUGGUUUGGUUUUCCUAAUUUUGACUGUGAGAACUGAUUGAACUGGACCAGACCGAUUCCGGUUCAUAGAUUAAAUAGACGGCUGGAUCGUAAAAAUACAUUGCAAAAUGAACUUCACAAAAACCAUAUGUCAAAAACAUAAGUCUCCAAAUUCUAACUCAUCAAUGUAUUAACCAAACCUUGUAGGUAUUGAUUAUUGACCAACUAAGUACAAUUUUUGUGCCCUUCAGAUUUUAGGGGCCCCGGGGUUGGGGGACAAUCUUCAAUAGUAAUGGACAGACAUGCCUUAAGCAACAAGUGAGAAAUGUUACUACAAAAAUUUUACCAAUGAAAGGUUUCUUGACACUAACAAGACCAAGUUCAAAACAAUUUCCUGUACAGGUAGUAACAGUGUUGCCACAACCAUAGCCAUGAACUACGUGCAAGCUCUGUUGCCAUCCUACAUCUCUCAAAGAGCCAAGCAAAAAAGAAUGGUGGAUACUGUAAAUUAAAAAGAAUUUCUAAAAGCGUGAUCAUAAACCCGCAGCAUAUGAAGAUGUUGAACCGGCAAGAAAGUGGGAGAAUAACUAGCUCAACCCUUCAUUUCCCUCAAUCAUAUGUGAAGUGUGAAAACGAAUUGCCUUCAGCGUGAUUGGAGAAUUCCGGACAUUCUAGCUUUCAGCCAGUAGAAGUUGUUAGAGCACUCGUAAAACCUCAAUCCGGCUCAAAAUUUAGUAAGAGGGGCCCAUUUGUGGCAUUCCAAACGGGGGCAUUGGCGGCAUUCCCAUCCCUCCCAUUGGUGGCAUUGGUGGUGGAGCAUAACCUCCCAUUCCCGGUGGUGCAGGCAAAGCAGGAAGCAACUGAGCAUACAUAUUCUGCAGGUCGUGCAAAGACAAUUAGUUUAAGAAAUCCUCUCAAUAAAACAAGGAUAAAGCAAAUAGAAAUACCUGCUGAGCAACCAGUUCCUUCUCUUCUUUCUCUUUGGCUUUCAACUCGUUUUGAGCUUCAAUUUUGUCCUUGAUAAGUUCAUCCACCUUACCUGUGUACUCUCGGAUAAACUAGAGAGAACAACAGAAGACUGAGUGAGGAACAAUUGAAAGGUAGCCAAUGGAUAAAGGACAACAGAUAUAAAAACAUACCUGCAGGAGGUAUGGUAAGGCAAAAUCAAUUAUAUUGUUCAUCCACGCAAGCUCAAGAGCAACAUCUGGCCGGAUCAUAUCAUAACAAACAAAUAGGCAUGCAGCAAAACACUCCUUCUUUCCCUGCAUAUUCAUUACAGAAGAACAUGAUUACAAAACCACAUCAAAAAUUAAUACUUUACAAAGAGAAAGGGAUGGAAGCAUGGACUGAACCGCCUUCUUUAAUUCACGAGGUGAGAAGAAGAAAAGAAUAAAUGAGUAUGUUUGAGCAGUAAAAUCCUUGCUUUAUUUGGCAUGCAUGAGCACUCUUAGAGAAUAAUUAGUGCAUAAAAAGAACACAGACCUGCUCAAUGAAAUAGAUAAGUAGUUCCUCCGAAAGUUCAUGAUCACCAGACUGUGAGCACGUCUCCAUGCAAUCUUUGUAAUGAUUGUCUUUCUUUGACAAUGCAAUGGAUUGCUUCCAUCUGCCAGCUUUCUUGUAAAUGUAUGCAGCAACGCGUCUCAUCUCAAGAAGUUCAUGUUUCUCAAGCUGUUCAUUUGCAAUUUUGCAUCAAUAACAAAUAAUUACAUGUCUCAGUCAAAUACUUCCGAUGUAUGAAAAACUUCAAUCUCACCUUUUGAGCAAGACCUAUCUGAUCAAAGCUGUCGUGCAAAUCUAUUGAUUCACGAAGCCUGUCAUAGUCUUCCUCCUCCAUGUAUAUUUCAUUUAGAGCUUCAUUCACAGCAGUUACAUUGUUGCUCUGAACUGCAACCAUGUAUGGCUUUAUCAGACAGAUGUGACCAGCCUGAAACCCAAAAGGAUUGAACAUGUAAGCACGAAAGAACCAUUUACAAACCCUGCCAGAACAGAAACUUGGUAGCAGAGACCAAUAUCAAUGACGUCAUGUGACAGAAGCAAACCUUUCUCAUUAUAUCCACCACUCUGGUGUGAUCCACACGAAGCGCAAUCACAUUAAGAACAUCAUUAAUAACAUCAGGAUGUUCUUCCAAGUAGAAGUGUACAGCCCUAUAGUAGAGUUCGACACUCGCAACUUUGACAAUAACAUCCUUGAAUUGCAUGUGGUCCCAUGCUUCUGGGGAGUGGUUCAUUAUGGUAGUUGCAGCAUUAUCAAACUCAUCAUAUUGGACAUAUAAGUAUGUUAAUUCUUUCCAGUGCUGCUGUUCAUCACAAGCUCUAAUAAGCUUGGGAAUGUUGAGACGGGUAGAGAAUAAUUUAAUGUGCUCCAUAAGCUUCUCAGGACGGUAUCUUGCAUAUAGAACUCCUAAUUCUGUAAAGAUGCCCAUAUGUGCACGCUCCAAUCCUAGCCCACUCUCCAUAAGACUAAUGAGCUCAUUAAAGCAUCCCCUGUUCUGGUAGUACUCACAGACCUCUUCCAGAUCAUCCACCUAAAAUUAAACAUGCUUAAGUAAGAAAUAAUCAAAAGUAUAAUUGAGUAACUAGUUAAUUGUGUCCUAUGGUACAUAGACAGGUGCGGCAAUCUGCAGUGCUUACAACUUAACAAAAACUUAAUCAAAGAAUACGCACAUCCCAUCUUGGGAGACAUCUUAAUAAACAAAAGCAUUAUAUAUAACUUCGUGAAGACAGGCGAAAUUAACAUAAACAGGAAAUGCUACCUGGAUAAUGAUGUUGAGUCCACAAAUCUGAGCUAAGCGGAAUUCCUCAGCAUCCACACAUGCAAAGCAAACAAACUUCCACGUCUUUGAGCUGUUAGCUUUCCGAGCUGCAUCAACAGCACCUUGAAACUGAUUUAGCUUCACAAGAGUGCAUGCUAGUUUACCCCAGUUAGAAAUGAAUGCAAAUAUGAUCUUGGCUGCUUCGUAUAGGGUUUCAUCAAACAAGCGAUCCCCAACAUUUUGGAGAUUGGCAACAUUUGGCAUCAGAAUGAACUCUUCAAUAUCACCAAGCCGAUCAAUCUUAGCAUAAGCAUAAAUAAGUUCACUGUCCACCUUCGGCUCCUUGGUCUUCUGCCUGACCAUCAGAAGGUAUCUUACCAAGUCAUGAUAUACAUCUGCAUCUUCAGAAGCACGUAUGACCUCCAAAAAGUGGGUGGCAUCAUCUGCACGGAUGAAUGACUCGAUGGCAUCACUCACUAAUCCCUCUCGCAGUUGAGCCUUGGCCACCUGGCUCCAAACAGCAUCUUCUUCAACCCGGAAUGCAAACUCUACAGCUCGGUCAAUGCUCUGUAUGUUGUCCAACAGGACAUUCACAGCAUCAACAUUCAAAUUGAACUUCUUGAAGAUUGCAAAUGCUUCUUCAUACAACUGAGCUUCUACAGCCAUUACUCCAACUGCAGGUCCAUCAAAGUUGUCUAAUCUAUUGAUGUAGUCCAUGACUCUGGAUGGAUCAGCUUUGAUGGCAGUCAGAAUCAAUAGAUUCUGCAAAUUGAAGUUCCCACUAAAAGCAGAAUUUUGAAGCACUAUCUUUUCAAGAAGCUCAAUCAACUCGUGUGGGAGGUCUGCAGUCAUAAAUGCUUUAACAGCUGAUGAUACUUGCUCAGGACUCUUGCUUUCAGGCAAGGCAGUAGAUACAACUUGAUCGAUUAGCUGCCUUCUAUAUUCAUUUUCAGGAUCAAGGACCUUAGCCCAGAGAUCAUCAUCCAUUCUUUCCACAACAUAUCUGACAUGCACGUAUCAAGUAAAUAGCAUAAGGGAGGAGCCACAUACAAUAAUGAUCCAACAACAUCUUACUAGCAAACAGAAACAUACAAACCUGGCCUGGAGUUUGAACAAAGAAUUUUUAUUUGUAACGUUAACAAGUUCAUCAUCGCAUUGCCCUCUACGGUAUGCGACAACAGCAAGGGUAGGAUCCCUUUUUUCACAAUAUUUACCAACAACACGAGAAUCAUAGUAUGGGUUAGUUGUGAGAAAAUGCUCAGGAUUGUUGCCGCUAUCUAUGAUGAUUUUACCCAGAGCAUUAUGGACAUGUACAUCUUGGCUUCCCUCACUCACAAGAUGCUCCAAGAAUUGGGUGAGCAAGCGAAGACGAUUCCUGCAAAUAGAAAUCACAGAAAUGAUAAGCAACUAAUAUGAAUGAUGAAGGGUAAACAGGGUCAUAAAGAGAUCACUACACCUCUUUUCACAUUCCUCGACAAGGGGCUCAACCGGUAGAAGAGAACGAACUGAUAGAAUAAGACCUUUAAUGAAAUCUUCAGGGCAUUCAUCAUCCAAUAGCUGCCCUACAACUAAAGGAGCAUUUCCUGGAUUGACCUAUCAAACCAAAAAUGGUAUAUAACGAUUGAUGCUCAAUUUGAAUAAUAACAUUGACAAGGCAUGAGAAAGCUAACAGGAAACCUGCAAUUGGUAAGAAAGAAAUUAAAAUGAUAUAAAGCCUCCAAGUAUGAAUACCUUUUGGACAUAACCUUCAAUGUAACGAAGCAUAUUGUUUGUAUACAAAUAAUGGGUGAGAUCUGGAACGAAGCCAAAACGAUCACAGACAUUAAUCAGAGGACGUGCGUCUGGAAGCUUUGCUUCCAUUAAAAAGUUCUUAGCUUUUUCAGGGUCAUAAAAAUUGGAUUCCCGUGUCACACGCUCCACCUCCUUAAUCUGUCCAGUUUUUGCAGCUGCUUCAAUGUACUUGAAAUGAAUAUCAGGAUCCUCACUGUCCAGAAAUGAUGAAUAAAUGAAAGGGACAAAGAAAAAAGAAUCUCAUAAAACUUGCGGAGGUGUCAUGUUUAAACUUCUCUUCCACUAAAAGAAACUGAUACCUGGAGCUCAAAUAUGCGCCUAGGAAGAAGUACAGCCCCUCAUAGGACUUGAACUGCUCAAACAAUUUUAUGCACUUAUCUACACCCAGUUGCUCGGAAUACUCUUUGGCGGUCUGCACGAGAUGAUCAGGUAAGCCUCAACUUUAUAAACUAUGAAAGAGCAAUACUGGUAAAAAUUUAAAUAAAUAAAAAGCACUUUACCUGUACAAUAAUCUGAAGAUUGCCCCUAAGAUUGACCAGCAGAAGAUCUUUCAUGCACUCAAGAGCCCAUUCUACAGAAAGAGUUCCAAAGAACUCGACAAGAGCCUAACACACAUAGGAGUUAGAGAUAUACUACAUCACAUACUAUCAAGUUAUAAAGAAAUUUAAGUGCCAACCUGAGGGUCAAUUGCAUGUGUGUUCACGAUGACACGUUUGAUAUCAGGCAACUCAGUGUAGUGCUGCGCAUUAAAGAUGCCAUUGGUUAGGAAAAAAAUUAUCAUUUUUAAAUGAAUAUUCAUCAGAAUCCAAGAACUACUGUACCUGUAGGGCACGCAAAUACAAACCAGCUUUUUCACAAAGUUGACCAAUACGUGGGCGAUCAUAAUGACUGAACAUACCAUUGGCCAAUAUAGCAUCGGCAACAUUUGGAAAAGUCACAAGAUUGAUUUCCAAAACCUAAGAAAAACAUUAUAUGGAGCAGACAUGUGAGAAAAAAUAAAGGAAAAGAAAGGGAAAAGAAAUCAAAGUUUAAGAAAGGGAUUAUGAACCUUUGUCUGAAGGAAUCCAUGCUCAGGUAGAUUCGGCUUCAGAACAUCCAACAAAAAGGCUGUUGCCUCACGGAUCAAGUUCCUCUGAAAAAUAAGAGAAAAUACACAAUUACAAGAAGUCCCAAAACUCAUUCUUCAGGAAAAUAACAAAAUGAAGAACAUAUUCCAACAAAAAAUUGUUGACACAACAUAAAAGCAAUAUUUAAUUUAAACCUGAAGGAACAGAUCGGUGAUGGUAUUGUAGUCAAUGGGACAACCUCCCUCCAUUUGAGACAUCAUUAGAGCAAAAUUAACAGCCCCCUGCCAACAAGAUAGUUGAAGUUGUUCCAAUGUCAGAUAAUUUAGCUCAACCCGUCAGAAGAGCAUGGUAAAUAGUUACAAAACCGCUAUAAAGAGAAAAGUGCCUCAAACUUUCAAAGAAAUGCAUGUACCUGGGGAUCUGCCCGCAAAAUUGUUUGGAGAAGGAACAAAUAAUCAGGUGUAUAUCCAACCUGUGACAAUUUAAAAAUCACAAUAAGAUAAAAAUCCAGUAAGAGCUAUUGGCCAUGUUAUUAAAAAUCACACUACCAAAACUGACACAAUAAUAGUUUUCAGCCCGGAUAAUAUUGCUGUUCAAAAUGAGAGAAUUUGAACAAUUGUAUGUCAUUAAGAUUCUAGUUCAAAGAAAAGCAAAAUUGUGUGACCUGCUUUGAGUAUAUUAAAAUCUUGUCAAAUUCCCUUCUCUCAGCAAAUGCUGCAACAACUUUGGGAGUUGCCCGGGCUUUGAUGUAUAUUUUCAAAGCAAGGUCGUUAUCCACCGUCUGCAUUGUAAAUAUGUUUCAUAAUAUUAGAAUGACAAUAUAACUCAAAAAAAAUCAAGCGGCAGCAGACUCAACAAUGCCAUUGUUGAGUAAAAGUUGAAAAGAGCCCUCUAACAUGAUCCUCUCCUUUCUCUUUUAAGGUUAGAUCAAUUUUGUUUCAGACCUUCACAAGAUCUCCAAGCUCUUCACUACAUUCUAGCUUGUCCUCUGCUAGCCAAUUCUCCAAAAGAUUCUUUUUGUUCUGAUUUACAACUAAACGUGACAGUUCCAAUGAUUCAUAAGCAUUGAGUUUUCCUCUAGUUAAAAGAGUUCCAAAAUACUGCAAUAACGGUGGGGUUUGCCCAGCUUGCACAGGAACGCUCUGCAAAGAAUAAAUAAAGUGUGUAAAUUAGAUCCUGAUUCAAAGAUUACAUGGUCUUGUAAAGGAAGCACAAUACUUCCAAGGUAAUCUAAAGGUCACACUGAGAAGCACAAGAACUAUGAAGAAUAUAUAUGUAUAUAAGCUGACACGUGAAUAAAAUAUCAGAAUGCUAUACCUGAAAUUUAGCAACAGUAUCAGGAGUACGGAGUAUUCCCAUUGGAGAUUCCGCGGCAAGCUCUGUAGCCUCCUUAUACUUUGUCUGAGAAAACAGUUCUUGGAACCGCUGGACAACCUGAGCACAACAACCAUAUAUUGUAGUUUCAAGAUAUCACCAAAGUGCAAACAGAAAACAAUUGUGCAUUCAUAUUCUCAUACUUUUUGAACACCCACAAAGACUUAAAUUACAAAAUGCACCAUAGAACUUCCCAGGAAAAGGUUGUUUCAAGAGGGAAUAUAGGGAUCCGAUUUCUAUGUAUCACUACAUACUGAUUUCCACACAUAUGGGGGAAAGACACGCACCACAAAAACCCACACUAUUGUUACCGAUUUCCUUCUUCGACACCACAAGCAAUGACAACAACUAAGAUAAAUGUGCCAAUUGUCAGAAAGUUAUUACAAAAACCAACUGCAAUCGUUACCAGGUCCUCAGCACCAGGAAGGUUUCCUCUUUUCGCAAGACUCACUGCAAGCCCCAAAUUAUUCAACUGCAAAAUCCCCAAACAAUAAAUUAAAGACCUAACAUUUUCUUUUCUCCAGUAGUCAAAUGCACAAAAAACGACUCAAAAGCAUACCUGACCACUAACAAAAGGUACAAUUGUUUGUUCAUUUACAGUGGCAAGUAAGACCUGGCCUCGCCUAUUGACUGCAUAAAAACCCCCAACGGUUGAAGCUUCAGCUGUCAAAAAUAUAGGAUCUGGACUGAUUCGAUUUCUAUAAACUGCAGUUGCUGUCUCUAGGUCAUAUACAAAUAAAAGUCCAAGCUUUGUGAUAACAUAUAUCAACCCAUACUUUUCCGAUAUCUGAAAUCAAGAAGAGAAAAAAAAAAUGUAGUUUGAUUGAUAGGUAAACAUAUGUUUAAAUCAAAGUAAUAACAACCAAAAGUAAGACCUGCAUUGAUACUGGAAAGUCAUCAGCAAAAUCCGGAGGAAAGAAUAAAUCUGCUUGCUUCUUAGUGUAUGAUGGUUUUCCUGAUGCCAAUUCACAGUAAAUGUUAGAUCUGUGCGAUGUGCACUAAUAUAUUCUAAACGGAAUCCGGUGAAGAAGCAGUGUACCUGGCUGGGCACCAAGCUCAAUUACAUGCAUCUUUGAUGUAACCUGUCCAGCAUUGGAGGACUUUGAGGCAAAACUAAUAAGAAUUGAUGGAUGCUCAUUCCCAGGAACCUGCAUGUAACAGAAAAUUAAGUAAGGGAAUAUAGCACACAGUAGUAAACCGCAUAUAUUUAAGCCAAGAGAAAGUGAGAAAGAAGUAUGGCACCGCACUUUAUAUGUGGCAAACGAUGCAGCAUGUGCUUCAAGAGCCUGACUACGUUUCUGUUCCACAGAAAAAAGCUGCAUAUUUCCUUUGACAAGUUGUGGCCUCUACAGUCAUUUUGGCAGAAGCAAUAUGUUAAUUGUUAAAGAUGUCACUAAAUCUGGUAAACCAUAAUUAGUUCCAUUCUCGUUAAAUUAUAAAAAUGAGAUAAAAAAUAAAAUUGAAUAAAUAAAAAGAAAAAAAAUCUUAUUUUCAAUAAAGUAAUUACAUAGUUCCAAGUAUCAUUGAAAAUAAAACGGAUAAAAUGCUGAAGUAUAAUGGUGCAACUAGAACAUCUUAUCUAAUCCCGGCUCCCAUGAAUUGAAAACAACACAACAUUUUGACCACUCUUCUAAAUCUUUUAGCAACUUCACAACAAAGUAAUAUGAAAAAAUGGCAAUAAGAAGUCAUGUAAAAAUAUUAACAUAGAAAAAUUAUUUUCAUACAGUUAUGUACAAUUAUAAAGGUGCCAGUUCACACUCCAAAUUUAGAAUCCAUCGACAGGAUUACAGACACAGAAGGAGUACAAAGGCAAAAUAAGCGAACAACAAGAUAAGCACUCACCUCUGCUGAACCAGGAGCAAUUCCAAUUAAGACCAACCAUUUUUCCGAAGGAUCACAACGGUAGUUGAUUAUUUGAUUGUUAGCCAAAUUAGCUGUUCGCUCAAAGACCUUUGUAGGCUCGGAUUCACCUAAAAGUAAAAUAUAUUUAAAACAUGUGCAAAAAUAUAAGAGUAAAAAACCUCAUACGGAGAGAUGAAAUAAUGAGAAGAAAAUAAAAUAAAAGAAACCAGAUUCAAGGAUAUGAAAAGACGUCUUACCUUCAAUUAACCAAUGAUAUACUGAGGUCUGCGUGACCAGACCCAGCAUCUUUGGAGUAAUCCACUUCCAAAAGACAAUCUACAAAGAACGAAACAAAGAGCAAACAGAAAAAUUUAGGAUUACAACCAGUUACCAAAAUAAAAUUAUAAAUAAAGAUUGUAAACGUUCACAGCAUCAAAUUCGACAUUGUGAAUGCCCUAAAAGGGCAAGAUCAUCACCUGCUCAGGCAUCUGAUGUGAUUUCAUCUUUGCUUUCAUUUCAAUGUUAAAUAUUUGUAAAUGGUCCUGAGUUGUUCCUUGAACUUGAGCUACACAUUGAAUUCAGCCAUCGAUCAGCGGGCGGGACAAUCACCACAACAACAAAUAACAAGAGAAAAAGACAAUAACAUCAACAACUGAACACAAAAUAUGACGGUUUAUAAACAAUUCAACUCAAAUAAUAAACGAAUUUCAAUAAUGCUCCCUGCUCGCAAAUUUACCAAUCAUAAAAAAAUGGAAAUGCAUCCGGUAUAUGAACAGAAAUCACACGGUUCCAAUAUACAUUCACAGUGAAACUGAAGCACACACUGGAAUUGCAUCACAACAUUAAUUUCAAGAAUUCAAAUCAUACCUUUUAGAGCAAGAAUUCUGGAAUUGGGAUUCAUCAAAGCCGAGUCGGCGGUAAUGGGUCGACGCAAUGGCUGCAUGGGCAUGCUCAUAUCGAUGAUAACGACGCUAUUCUGCGGCGAUGUCUCCCUAACACAAAUGUACUUAUCCGAUUCCAUAGUCACAUGCGUAAACGUAAUGAAUUGGGGAUUGAUCCCAAUACUAGGCAACUGAAAAACCACACAAAAUUCAAAUCAACAAUCACCAUCAUCGCACUCGAUCACUCAAACGCAUUGCCAAAAAUCCAACAAAAAAUGCACAAACUUGCACAGGUAAACGCCUGAUUUAUACAUAAUUCGCAAAUGGGUCAGUGGGAAACAGAGUGAAAACGCAGUUCUCAAAAGGAUCUAGAUCGAUCCAAUGAGGCAUUGGAUCAAACGACGAAAACCCAGAAAUGGUUUGAUGAAAUUAGGAUCGAGAUGAAGGUGGCAUUACCGUGAGGGCCUCUUUCAUCGUCAUGGGGGCGUUAGCGGCGGCCAUGGUGCCCGGGUCGGGGCUUUGGUAGGAGGACCCGAUAAGCAGAGAAGAAUGUGGCACAGCAGAACCUUCUGCGUGUGGAUUUGCAGAGGAGAGAGAGAGAGAAAGACUGUAUGUGGAUCUUGUAGUAUGGGAAUGUAUGCAGAAGAGGAGGAGCUAUAGUAUGCGUCUUUUGUCGCGCAAAAUUUGUGAAUCGAUUGCUAAGUGGGGUUGUACGUUGAGAAUGUAAUGCGUUAGUCGAGUGCACCUGUCAACGUACAAUACAGGACUGCUUUUUUUGUGUGCAUGUCAUUUCAGUUAAUGAUUUUAUUUUAUUGUUUGUUUGUUUUAUAAAUACGUGUUUACGUAAUAAGUAAUACAAAUGUGAUACAUAAAUAUACUCUUCUUAGCAAUACUUAAAAUUAUAAGAAGCAGAUGGGGGGUAAGACGCGAGAUGUAGCGCAGUCUGGUGAGCCCAUUUGUUUUGGAGAGAUGUGGCGCUGUCUGGUGAGUCCAUUUGUUUUGAAGAGUAUACAGAGGUUUUCGAGGUGCUAUUUAUAAAAUAAAAUGACUUUUAGGUUAAGUUAUUAGAAAUCCCUUUAAAGUGCUGAUAAUUAAUUACAAUACGAAAGAAGAAAGUCAUUUACUAUAUGAAAGGAUAAUAGUAAAACUAAAUGCACUUGUAAAUUAGACAAGUUGAUCAAUGCAGUGCUGAGGGCGUGUUUAAGUACAGUUAAUGACAAAUUAGGUAGUAUGCAAGGUAUGUUUACGUAAAAUCAAAUUAUUAAGAUAUAGUACCAUAUAUUCCAUAUACAUCAUACAUUCCAUCGUCAUUGGUCAAACAUAUUCAUCAUCAUUUGGUAUCAAUGUGGGUCGUGGAAUGCGAAUUUUCAACCAAUAGUAGCAAAAAUUGUUUGAUGUUGAACAACUAAUACAUAGACUUGCUACUUAAGAAACCUCUAACACUUUGUAGCUAAGAAACCCCACAAAACAUCUUCUUCUUUUUUUUGUUCCUUUAUGUAACUUUGUGAAACUGUUAAAAAAAGUUGUAAAUGUUACUGUUUUAAUUUACGGCAAAGGGAGGAGAGAGUUUGACUAAAGACAGAGAGUUGAAGAGGCUCUAUUUGUCAAUAAAUUGGGAUGUAUUGUGCAAAAUGUAGCUGUAACGUAAACAAUUAGUCUAGUUGAUGAAGAUAGAGUGAUCGUCUUUUCAACCUGAAUUCGGGUCGCUUCCCCAAAUAUUAGUUUAGAAUGUUGAAUUAUGAAAGAGGUUUUUUUUUCAAGAAAAUAAAAUAUUUAGGGGAAGUUGGGCUUAUUUCACAGGCCGAUUGAUUUUGCUGUGUGGGCUUUUUGACCGCUAUGUGGGUACUCUAAUAGUUUAAGCUUGGGGCGCCCUUCUACGAAGUACGAGCUCAUUGGGCCAGUUGUUUUUUCUCAAUAUUUCCCCUGGCCCUUGAACUAUUUUUAAUUUUUAUUUCAAAAUAAAUAACAGAAUUGUUGCAACAGUUCGCAAUCAAAUUAGCUUUACAUAAGAGACUAAUUACUCGUUUAAAAUAUUUUUAAAAUGAUUGAAAAUACUUAAAAAUAUAUAUUUUUGAGUUCUAAAAACACUUGAAGUGCUUUUCCAAGAUUCAUUUGUAUUUUUGCUAAGGAUUGGUACCAACAACAUUUUUAUUAAAAACGCUUUCAACAUUUUAAAGUGCUUCCAAACGAACCUUAAGUAUCUAUCACUUAAUUAGUUAAUUCUUUGCACUCGAAAUUCCAAUAUUUAAUCCCAGUAUCACCAAGAGACAUGUGUGCGAAAUAAUAAUUCAUUUAAACUUUGGUGUUUAACUUCAAAGCGUACUGUUAUCCGUUUCCAUAACAACAAAAAAAAAACAAAAAAAACGUAGCAUUAUCCACCUUUAACAUUAUAGCGUUUUCAGCCCAUUAAAUUUGAGAAAUGAUUUAGACGCAUCAUUUUUAUCUUUUCUUGCACUUGUUUCUAGCCACAUAAUUCCAGUCUCAAAACACAAUCAUGGGAACUUUCAUGGCCAAGUGAACUAUCUCAUACGUCAAAAAGCAGUUAUGGUCCUUGUCGAACUGUUUAAAAAAUCAAGUCGUUUGUUUGUAAAUUGUAGUGCAUCGUCUGCUCGUUUUCCCACUUGUUUCUUCUUCGUCAAGCCCACUUCAAUAGAAAAAUUAAUGAAAAUUGUUUGAAAAUUUUGAAUUUUAACGAUAAAGACAAAAUAAAAGGUAAAGUAAAUAGUAUCAUGAUUGACUUUUUAAUGUAAAAAUGUGAUUUUUCAUUAAAGUAAACAGAACCGAAAACUUUUCGUUAAAGCUCUCUAUUUCCAUCUAUUAUUUACGAUAUUUUAGCAAAUCUCUCGUCCUUAUCAACAUUUGAUAGUGUAAUCUUGCUCCGAUUUGCAACCACUUGCAAACUCAACUCAUCCCAAUUGCUCUCACACUAGUCCACAUAAAACAAAGGGUAUAAAAUAUGAUGAUCUUUCAGAGCAGGCCUGACAAUUUCAGCAUAACUCUUAACCUAUCACGAAACGAUACGUGAAUAAUAAGUUUUGGUUAAUCGGUUAACGAGUCAAGUUAUUAAUGAGUCACUUGUUAAGAACACGUUAACAAAUUUUGUCGCUAUCGGGUCAUACAAUUAAUAACUUAUUAAGAUAACGGAUAUAACAUGUAAAUAACACGAACACGGCCCAUUUGCAAUAGACACUAGACAUGACAAUAUCUUACAUGACUCAUUAACUUGACACGAAACAACAUAACCAUUAACAAGUCAUGUCAUGAUCGAGUCGUCUAUUAAGACAACAAGUUUGACACGACAUAACCCGUCAAGAUAACAUGUACAUCAAGAAAACGACAUGAACAUGACAGAUACAAACCAUUUGCCGGAUCAUUUUUAGAGUACAAAUACGUAUUGAGCACAAAUAUUUAGAAAUAACUCAUCAUUGUCUGGGGGUUUAAACUACAUCGACGUAGUACGCUCCCGAAGUGGUGCUACACAAAUCAAUUGACCAAAGAUACUUGUUAAUGGGUCGUACUAAUAAUAUUUUUUGUUCAUUUAACCGACCAAGUUAGCCUUUCAGUUUAUGACGUAACAUGACAAACUCGUAACUUCUUAUUAGAGUUUUUAUUUUUUAUUUAUUUAUUUUUAACAAACAAUAUUUUAUAUACUAAGAGAGAAGAGGUUAGCUUAGCCUCGUAAUGGGCUAAUAAUAAUAUGGUUCAAAUUUGCCUUUGACGAGAAUCUAACAUAAUACCUCUCAUUUACACGUGAAGAAAAAUAUUAUUAGACUCUAGUAUUAAGUGACAUACCUUAUUAGAGUAUUUUUAGAUAUGUUUAAGUGAGUUGUUAUUAGCACUCAAAAAGUCUCAUUUUACACUCUUCAUAAAUGUAUUUUUCUUUCUAAUUAUAGAAAGCUUAGUGUACCAGAUAAGAUUUUUGAAGUGUUAAUAACAAUUUCCUAUGCUUAAUUGGGAUUAUUAAUUAGUUCUAGUUUUGGUAUAAAGAAUUUUAAAAAAAUUAUGACCCAAAAAUAAACUUUAACAACAUGCUCCACCAAGAUUGUGAAAUAUAAACAAUAUAACAAAUAAACAGAAUUCGUAAUUUAUUAAAUAUCCCCAAAGAAUAUAAAAACAACAACAACAAUAAUAAUAAUAAUAAUCUGCUUCUACACAAAAUAGACAAGGUUUGACAAUCCCUUCCUCUAUUUCCUACCCUUUCCACCGCCAAGUAUUCCCUUUUCGAACCGCUGGCGCCAACCGCGCACCGCCCAUAGUUAUUAACACCCCGCUCCACUGAGCCACCGCCACUAGAGCUCUCAGUUUCCAAUUCUACCCCUCCACAAUCCGAAUUCUCCCCGCUUGUCCCUUCUUCCUCGCAAGACCUCCCGCCACCUGAAUAAUUCCUCACCACCGUCCAUCCAUCCGAUUCCCAGUUUGCCGCUCCCGUCGUCGCCAAUUUACCAAUUCUAUUCCUAGCAGAAACCUCGUACUCCUCAUCGUCCUCGUCAUCCUUAACGUCGCUUUCAUCGCCGAACUCGGAGUUAGCCCAGUCGAGAACGCAGCGAGGUGACGAGUCGGCGGCGACCGCAUUUGGAGACAGGGAAGCCAAAAAUGGAUGCUGCAGCAACUGAUCGCAGCUCCACCGCUGCUUCGGGUCCCUCCUCAGACACUUGUCGAGAAAGUCGCGACCAGUUUCCGACAACCGGCUCGGGAACCGGGGCAACCCGUCCGAAACCGCGAUCCGAGCCAGCGUCUCCAAACCGCGAUCCUCCCACCCGGGCUUUCCGGUCACCAUCUCGAUAACCGUGCAGCCUAACGACCAUACGUCGGACUCCGGUCCCUGAUAUUGCCCGUUUAUUACCUCCGGUGCCAUCCAAAGCGGACUUCCUCGUGGUAUGAUCCUGGCCGUACACGUGUCAUCCGACAAGAUAAUCGCAGAACCGAAAUCGGCGAGCUUGGCUUGGUUAAUAGCGGGGCCCACCAGGACAUUUUUACCCUUGACGUCGCAGUGAACAAUGCCCUUCGAGUGAACGUCCCUCAGCGCCGCAACGACGCACCAAACGCGCGACCGCAGCGUCGUUUCGUCCACUUCAGCAUCCACUGCGGUGCCACCUGGCAAGUACUCCAAGUGGAGGUUCCGAAACGACGUCGCGGAACCGCUCCCCGGUUCGCACGACACGUCGUCGCUGAGGUAACUCACGACGUGUGGUGAGGAGAGCGACCGGACAAUUCGAAUUUCAUUCUCCAGCGCCUCCAGCUGGCCGGGAAGACACGCGGCUUGAUCGACCGAUUUGGCGGCGAAGACACGACCGUCCUGUUUGCUGACCCCGAUGCUGACGGUGCCGAACGACCCCCUUCCUAUGCAUUUUCCUCGUACCCAAGAAACCGUGUCGUGAGAAUGCUGAGAGUUUGAGUUCAUUUUCCCCAUGUCGGAAUUUUUUUUUGUGUUUUUCUUGUGUCUUUCGAUUUGGGUCCAACUGGGUAUUUAUACGUGCGGGAGAUCCAAACGAAAGUUCGUUGCUUUUUAAUCUUUUAAUUUUUAAUUUGUGGGAAAAGAUAAAAGGAGAAUUAUUUUUCUGUGAGGGUGAGCGAGAGGUGUGCGAUGACGUCAGUGAGGCAUCUUUGCCUCUUGGUUUGUGUUUACGUAGAGAAUGGAUAGUGGGGUGGGGGAACGUACUUGGGUUGGGGAGGUUUAUCCUUAUCCAAAUAACCGAAUUUGUGUUUUGUUUUGAUCUCGGGCCAAUUGUUUAAUCUCCAAUUGCAUACGUCGUAUGUGGAUGCCUCGAAGCCAAUUCAUGUGGUGAUUUUUGAUCUUGGACUAGUGUCGGUAACCAAAGUUAAAAAUUUGUGAAUUUUCGUUUGGCUUACGUUAAAAAAUUGUACAUGAAGCACACAGAUGAAAGCAAUAGACACGUUAAAUGAUAUUUUUGCACCAUGUGCCAGAAAAAUAUCUUUUUUGCAGUUGAAAUUGGGGAUCGGUCUAUUCAAAAGUUCAAGUUUUGGCCUAGUUAAUGAUGAGAUGAUGAUGUCACACUCGAUUUGUCAUUGUCUAAACUCCAAACCGAACCGAAUCAAAAUUGAACUGAAUGCAAAUUGAAUUGAAAAAAAAAUAAAAAAAAUAGAACCGAAUUGUACAAUAACUUCGGUUCGAUUUUCAAUUUUAAUAAAAAAAUCGAACCGAUUGGAACUGAACCCCGUAACUAUCAGGCCUCGACGCCAACUUACUGUUCUUUUUGUGUUUUGUUUUCUUAACGAAAAAAGAAAAAGGAAAAAUAGAGUGGGGGGUGAUGGGGUGGCGGAAGGCAUUGCGGUUAGGUGGGCAACAAGAUCCGGACCCUUUGAUUCGUUGACUUAAAACUAUAUUCCCAAAGUCUUGCUGUUGCGGCUCCAUUGGGUAUCUAUCCAAUAAUACUUACAACUGCCGAGGCUGCAUGGACAUUGAUGCGGACGUGUUACACAGGAUGACAAUUAAACAAAUAGUUCUCUUUUUUUGUUGAAAUUUUGUGAAUAUUAGAGAGGUGGAAAAUUGGUCGCCAAAUAUAUUAGGAGCGGGUGGGGGCUCAACAGAUCACGGAGACAUGGGGAACUUCAGAAGAGGUACAACUGUUUUACAGUGACGUGGCGGGAAAUCGUUGGUCCACGACCGCGCGAGAUAACUUGGUCGGCAACAAAGAUGAGGAACGAGGAUCCUUUCCGGAUUCUCUUUGUGAGAAUCUUAAUGAUCUUCUAAUCACGUCAGUUUAUAGUAUAUCGUACGAUUAAAAAUUAUUUUAAAUACUUUUAUUUAAAAUUAAAUAUAAAUAAUACUUGACAAAAAUUGAUCGUAUGAUAUACAUUAAACAAAAACGAUUUAAAAAUCUCUAGAAUUCUCAAAAAAAAAUUCUAGAGAGAAUCCUCAUUCAAAUAAGGGAUGUCUGUGGGUGGCAGCGAGAAAGAAAGUGAGAGAGGAGUCUGGUGAUGACGUGUCGUUAUCGCGGUCCAUGGAAAAUACUUUGGAUUCAAAUAAUGUAGGGAAUGACAAAUUGGCAUAAAGAGAGCAGCCACCAGCCAGCUAUCCAUAUCAAAUCGAAUCCCGUGGAAAAGGAUGAGGGGAAGGGAGCCCAUAACUUGAAAUGAUGAAACACAUUCUGUGGCUUUUGGCACCAUCCACAUCUUUCUCUCUUCCUAACUAGUUGGCACCACUAUUUGGGACAAACUACAUCAAAAUUAAAAAUGAACAACAAUUUAGUAGAUGGUUUGUAAUUUAGUUGGUUAAAUAUUUUUUAUUCAAGAUUUAUUUGUAGUUGAGAUUUUACAACACGGUGCGUUUAAUUACCAUUGCUUUUAUCUCGUCAAAAGAAAUCUUAACUAUUAAUAGUGAUAUAUAUUCCCGACUGUAUACAAGAUUUGCCUUUUUUGUUUCAUAGUAGAAGGAUAAGGGCCAAAAUAGUAGACAACACUAUAAAUUUGGUGAUUGACAAAUAUGGGGAAGCUUCAAAAAGAGAAGAAAUCUCAGACGGAGUUGGGUUCUUUUGAUGAACUUUAGUUAAUCAAGAAGUAACCGAGCAAGUAGCAAGAAGUUUCGUGAGCACUCUUUUUUGGUGUCACAUGUGACAUGUUAAAGCUAUAUGAUUAAGUUAUUCUUUUUAUGAGAAAUUUUUCAGAAUGUCAAAAACACAGCUUGAAUUAUUAAAUGUCAUACACUAAAUUAAAUUUUCAAUCAAUUGUACUAUUAUAUGUGGGUUUUUUGGACAGUAUUUCUAAUACAUCAAAAAAUCUAUUUGCUCUUACAAUGAGGUUCAUGGGUUUUCAGCCACGUGUUCUAAAGUUUGGUUCAAUGUAAAAGUUGGUGCAAGCUUUUAAGCACAGGAGAAGGACGUGUAGAAAGGCCAAAAAGGGAGUGAGGAUGUAAAGGUUCGUCGAUGAAACUUCAAUUUUUGGGAGAUUGCCUUAAAAGGAAAAAAAAACGUGUCCUUUUUUGCUUAAUAAUAUAUGGCCAGCAGCUCAUGUGUAACAUCUCUCCAAAGUGUCCAACCAAAACCAUACACGGGCCCAAGAAUCAUUUCUCCAAAGUGUUUCCUUUUGCUUGCCCAUCGAUUGUUAUUACGUAUCAGAAAAAUCGAGGAUUAUGAUAACAAUUAAUUAAAAUUAUCAUGAUAGACUGUACAUUGACUUAAUACGUAUAUCGACAAACAAUAUGUGAUUUGAUUUAUUGUUUUUGAAUACAUGAUCUGAUAGCUAACAGAUAAUGAAUGGUUUUGAUCGUAACAUGUGUAUAAUAAAAAUUUGUUAAUUACAACAUGGUCCACAAGGAGAUACACCUCUGAAAUAGUGAAGGAAGUUGAGUUUUCACCACAAAUCAAUUGACCAUGGGGAGUAGUCUAACAUAAUUACUUAAAAGUUCAUGUAAAGUCCCUCAUUUUAUAUGUCGGAUUCAUCUCAACACAGUCUCUCAUAUGUUUCGAAUUUUCAAGUGAAACACGUGAACAACACAAUUAAGGUGACGCAAAGCACAUGUAGCCGUUGGGCUUCAUAGAUGGUACAACUUGCUCUUAUACCAUGACAGAAGUUGAGGUUUCACCAUAAAAUCAAUUGAUAUGGUAGCUGGAAGUGUUGCAUAUUUGUUUGAAGCCGAUGAUUAACCACCAUAAAACCAAUUUUGGACUUUAAGAUUAUACAAUCUAGUUAUAGUAGCUGGAAGUGUUGCAUAUUGUUUAUAGCCUAUGAUUAGUUGUAUAUAAUUAUAAUUAACAAAAACGUGUGUUUGUUUUUUCAAUUGUUUUUGAAGUGAUUGAUAAUCUGAUACAUACAAGGUUUAGUUUAAGUUCAAGUUUGUUCCGAUGGUUCGGACCAAUGUCGUUCAAGUCAAAGACAAUGGAACAUGCAUGAACCCAAAGACGAUUCCAUCUUUUGCGGCUGGCAUGAAAUCCUGACAACUCACAAUGCUUCCUCUUCUUUGUGAUUUCAUAGCUCAUGAGGUUCGUGCAUGCACGCAUUGUGUUAAUGAACCCUACCAAUUGCCAACAGAAUCACAAUCCCCACAAACCCAAGUUUUGAUUUUGACAGAUGAUAGGAUAUUUAGAAAGAUGCUUUAUGACGGAUCCUCAAUCUAUUCACAAUAAUUUACAAUUUAAUACUCAAUCUAUCAUAAAAAUAUCGUCUUUAUAUUUGUGUGAAUGAACAUAUAUCUUACACAAUCAAUGGAAAACUGAGUGCUGCUUGGGUAAUUGGUCAUGUGUCACAACAUCGGUCUAAGAUCCAAAUUAACGUUUCAAAGACAUGAACUCAAUAGUAUAGGCAUAAUUAUACUUAUGUCCCUUAACUAUAUCUCGUCUCAUGUAUGUUGUCUGAAACUCAAUUGACUCAGUUUGUCUUGUUUCAAAGUUAACAUUAUGUUAAGGGUGAUGUUACAGAGAGCAUAUACUUAAACCAUAUUUUGUAAACCACAUGAUGUGGCAGUUGAUGGUUGGACUCAUUCUUAAAUCUUUAAAGAAAGAAUCCAACCAUUAACUGCCACAUCAUAUGACAUACAAAAUAUGGUCUCCUAACAUUUUUCUUCUAUUAACCAUAAACCUUUUUCGUUAGAAUCAACAAGGGUAUUUUCUUCGUUACCCCAACAUAGAUAGUAUUAACGAACGAAUGAUCCCCAUGUAGAUCAAGAAACCAAGGCAAGUCAGUUUCAACUGACUAAGUGAGACACGAAUUAUAGUUCAGACCUAGUCAAAGUAUAAUUAAGCCUUAAUUACGUGAGUACUUGAGAGUUCGUGCAUUUACUUAACAGUUCAUGCAUCUUUUUCCUUUCUAGAUACGAAGUAACUAGUAAGUACAUGACAUGAUCUGGCUGCACAAGAUCCAUAUACAAUGCAUGUAAUUAGGAUUUUCUGGUGGAAUUUGAUUGAUAAAUUAGGUGUGAUGUUUGGUACAACAAAAUCACACCGUGAUUGGUACUGAAAAGUCCAAAGGGAAGCCAACCUGGGCUUUUUCUAGGAGAGGGUACCCCAGGCAUGAUUGGGAACGUGGUAUAUGGGUGGACUAAUGGUCGGAUUCAUGUACAAUUUUUAGGUCAUUUUUAGGGCAAAGGGGGUCCUAUUGACAACGGAUCAUGGUUGUUAAUUAAUCAUCUGAUUAAGAUAAUUAGGCACAGAUAUUAUGCAACUUACCAAAUCUUCGAAUGGCAACCACAUAUUUUAUCAUGGGGGCAUGGUAGUAGGCAGGAAGGUUAAGUAUAUCUCGUCUUUUGGUUUGAUGAAAGAGUUGGCGGAUGAAUUUAUUUGUAGCCAUUAAAGUUUACGGUGUGACAUGCCCACGUAGUGUAUGUCGAAGUAAAAUGACAAAUCCUAUUUACCGGGAGCGUUUAAUUUUUAAUUAUCUUUCAAUAUUACUCGCGGAAACAAUUGUCUAUACCACUCAUUUGUUUAGCUAUAUUUUUUUUCUAAUAAAGGGGGGACAACUGGUGGUAAGCCACGGUUAUUCACCCAUUCCGGAGGCCGGGAAGACUCACAGGGACAUUUCAAUCUCCUCCUAGCCACAAGUCUGGCUUCCACACUAGCAGCGGGUUUCGAACCCGAGACCUCCAAUUUCUAAUUUUAAGGAAGUUUCGUAAUCCGUAAUUUACCACUAGUUCACCAGCUUGUGGUUCAUUUGUUUAGCUAUUUGAUUAUCUACAUUUUUGUUCAGUUUUAAGAUUUUAUUUAAUGAACUAUAGUAGCUUGCAGUUUUUAACGAAUCGGAGUUGAUUCCACACUAGCAGCGGAUUUCGAACCCGAGACCUCCAAUUUCUAGUUUUAAGGAAGUCUCGUAAUCCGUAAUUUACCACUAGGUCACCAGCUUGUGGUUCAUUUGUUUAGCUAUUUGAUUAUCUACAUUUUUGUUCAGUUUUAUGAUUUUAUUUAAUGAACUAUAGUAGCUUGCAGUUUUUAACGAAUCGGAGUUGAUUCCAACUCGUUCUAAGUUCAAUUUAAAUCGAUCUGAGUUUGUUGUUCCUUUGUGGAUCCUCCUUUAGUGAGCAAAUUUUAGGUUUUGGUGAUAGCAACAUCGUAGAUGGGGUGAGUUUAAAAUAAUGAGGUAUCCCACACAUUGAUAAUAUCUAUUAGCAUAUCAACAACAUUAUGAACAUAUAGACGUUUACAUACAUUAUAGAAAUCGUAUCAACAAUAUCUACACUGUAUGUCAAUACUAUAUCUAUGGUAUUUACGUUAUAUCAAUAUUUAUCUAUGUAAGGGUACUUUAGACAUUUACCUCUUUCAACACUCUGUCGUUCAUGUCUUUCCCAUCUUUCUUUCUAUUUCAGCACUUUGUGUUUGAAAUCCUUCUACUAUAGCUAAUUUCCCUAUUAUAUUUGUACACGACUCAUAAUAUGAGGAAAUGUAACGACUAUUUUGGACUGCUUCUACUGAUCACCUUGAUGACCGCUGCUUUAAUAAAGGUGGGUCUAAUUUCUUCUUCAAAAAGAUAGAUAUAGAGGAUCAAUGACACAAUUACUUACACGUACAUUUUGAAAAGACAUAUAUAGAAAAGAAUCAUGAUCGUAACCAGUCUUAUUUAGGAUAGGAAAUCACAAUUUUGCCUAAGAAUAUAUGUAUAGGAGGGUCCACACUUAUUAGACAAAUGUUGAAUAAUUGCGGUACAAAUAACAUUAUUCAAACGUAACACUAUCUGUGCAACAAUGAGUCCCACUUCGGGGUUAUUGGAAUUUCAAAAAUAGUAAAAGAAUUAUAUAAAGGUAACUUGAAAAAUGAAAUGAAGAUUAGCAUUACCAUAUUCUAAAGUUGAGGGCCUAUAUUUCGAUUAUUUACGAUUUUGCCAUUCCUCGGAAAGAUGGUCUGAUUUGGGUUGCCGCAGUUGGGCGGCAUGUGGGCUUCGCACAGGGUUUUGGAGGCCUGUACUCAAAAUGGCCCAAGGCCUGUAAUCAUCUAUGUGAGUAUCCGUACCAGAGGGUAAGCUUUUUGCUUUAGCACACACUAUCUACCCAUUUUUCAUUUUUUUUCAUGUACCAUGGUACAUUAGAAAAAUAUAAUUUAGUGGUACGUUUUCCUUUUAGAGGAUAGUUUGUAUGGGGUACAUUUCAAUUUAACAUUAAUAUUGUCUAUACAAAUUUCCGUCGUCUUCAGUCUUGACGAAAAUGCACCUGCAAAACAAUCAACACCUUUGAUCAAAAACUUAAGCCUCAUGCGUCCACAAGGGUGGGGGGUUAGGUCAACGGAUCUCCAAUGCCUAAGUUAGUUUAUCUGAGAGAGUAAAGUGUUUAGGGCUUUUUUCAGGGUUAGCCAAAGCUCUCAAAAUUUGGUAGAAAUAUGGAGUAUUUAUAGAGAUAGGGCCGACCAUAGUGUUUAAUGGAGAGAUAUUCUCUAAAUAUUUCCAAGAUAUUAAAUAGGAAAUAAUACAUUGAGAUAAUGGUGUAAUUAUCCCCAAUUGAUUUAAAUUAGGAUUACUUACUUGAUUGGAGUCAAUCUUCAAUUAGGAAUGUAUUAAAGAUAGGAUUUGGGUAAUUAAUCCUUAUCUUUAAUUCCUUGCCAAGGGCAGGUGAGUUGUGAGCAGUCGUACUCAGCUGCUAAGACCUCCAGGAAUGUGAGUUGCGCGUGGGAGCAUCUGAGAAGUCAGCCCAUUUAUUGAGGGCAAUCUUGUCUUUCUUGAAUAAAAGUCACGUGUCGCCUCUAGAAUUUUUGGAAUUAUUUUAGGUUCCACAAAUGCCCUCACACCUACUGUGCUGCACACAGAAAAAUGAUAGUAGGUGCAGGAAUCCCAAGCUGCUUAGGCUUGUAGAAUUGUUUCCCAAUUUGAACUUGAUCUUCUUUUUUGAUUUGGAGAUAGACUUCUUCCAGGAAAAGGAAAAUAAUUGCCCCCAAUACCUAUUUAAUUAUGCCUUAAGCAGGGGAUUAAAUAAAUUUGGAGAACAAUCAUUAUUCCAACAAGGAAGAGAAGCCAGAGGAAAUUUUUAUUGCCCUCCCCUAGCGUUCUUCUUUUCUUGCCCUUGCAAAUAGUCGUUUCUCGUUGUUGUUAUUCUUUUUCUCUGUGCUGCACCAAGGUAAGAAAAACUUAAAUUUUCUUCUUCUUGAAUUUUUUGGGUCUUGGGACUUGAAAAAUUGGCUUGGUGGGUGCCAAGAAGGUGUGAGUGGCGUGGCAGGGAUGUCAUGGGGCUGCAGGUGGUGCGGCAAGAAGGUUGGCUCGACUUGGCCGAGGUGUCAGCGGCGCUAGGGCGCUGAAAGGUUGGAACGGGCCGGACCUUGUGGGCUACUGGACAGGGGCCCGUGCAGUAGAUAGGCCAUAGAGAGGGAAAGUUCGGCUAGGGCUGGCUCUCCGUCUUUGGUGGCCUGGGUUGCAUGACCCGACCUUGCUUCUUGGGGCGCCUAGCACGCGAGCAGAAAAGGGUGAGGAGACGUGGGCCUCCCCCCGCGUUGGGUCGACCUGCAUGCAAGAGAGAGAGGGCCGAGAGGCUUUGGGCCUCGUUGGGCUAUUUGGCGCGCGAGGAAGAGAGAGAGGAAGGAGGCACGAGCUUCCCCCCUAUGUUGGGUUGAAACGGCUUGGGCCGUGGAAUGUUGGGCGCGAAAGGGUUUGGGUUUAUUUUCAAAUGAUUCAACUCAUACCAGAACAACGAACCAGUUGGGUAGUGCUCCUGGCAAGGGCGCAUAAGCAAAAAAUUAACAUACAUAUCAAUUUUUUUAGAUCUGAAAAUUGAAAAACCCAAAGGCCCUGUUUGGUACUCUACUUGAAUCCAACUUUUUAAACUAAAAAACAAUUUUUAAGUUUUAGGCCUUAAAAAACUUGUUUGGUAGGACUAUUUUCAAAAACUGAACUCAAAACUAAGUAAAAAAUAUAGUCUAUUCUCUAAAAACAUAAAAAGUGAGUUUUUAGAGUUUUUAAACUUAAACUCACUCAUUUCUUUGCUCUCCCUCCUCCCCUCCCACUCCAAAUCUAUCUCUCUCUCUUUUCUCUCUCUCUUUCCUCUUUUUUUUUUACCUUUUUCGUCUCUCCUCCAACCCGCUAUCUUCUUUCUAUUGGUUAUUUCUCUCACUUAUUUUCCUCUCUAUCUCGUCUGAUCAUUUCCCUUCUUUCUCGUUCUUUCAAUCAUCUCUUACUUUCUUUCCUCCUCUCUCCUCUUUCUCCCUCUCUUGCGACCCUCUCUUUUUAGUUCUCUUUGUCCAUUUUAAGUCGUAAGAUUUAAAAAUUUUAAAUUGCAAACCAAUCACAUUUUUGAAUCUUAAAGAAAAUUGUUCUCAAGAAAUGUUCUUAAAAAAUGUUUUGAGAAAUGAUAAAAUUUUCAAAUAGGAUACCAAACAGGCCCUAAAAUUUUAAUUAAAACACAAAUUUGCAAUCAAUUGCAAAAUUAGAGAGAAAAAUAACCAGCUUCAAUCAAUUGAAAAAAAAAAUUGGAAGAAAAAGCCGAUUCAACUACACGAGAAGGGUUCAAUCCAAACCCUCAAGUGGAUACUCUAUCCCUUCUUCACCCUUCGUAAUCAGCGUUUGCAUCAUGUCUUGGCAAACACGCAAAGAAGACACGGAGUCCAUACCACGCGUAACCUGCUUGCCCAAUCCUUCCUGGUGAGGAACAGGCGCGAGCAUUGCCGUUUGAACUCCAAAACGACGGGUGUGGAAUUUGUUGUCCCCAAGAAGUCCGAAUCAGAGGAAGGCAGAACAGUGAGAGAAGAAGAAGAAAAAUUGCAAGAAAAAUAGGAUGAGGACGGGACAGAGAAGGAGGAUGAAGAGAAAAGAACUUGGGAUUCAGAUUAGAGAUCAAGCGAUGCGGGAUGGAGAGAGCAAACGAUGAGGGACAGAGAUAGCGAGAGAGGCGUGUUUUCUACCCGACUAAAUAAUACCGUGGUUUUGGGCGGUAUAACUAAGUGGGUAUCAACGGGAUAAAAGGGGUGGGAUCAGAUUAUUUAAUCCGGUGACUAUUUAGUACAUAGAGACAUCAAACAUCCAACUUCGUAUUAUGUGUUAUACAUCGUACCAAAUAAGACCACAGUAUACUUAAGCUUGGCUCCAACUAUUUUUUCGAACUCAAACUCAACUUUUGCAAGCCAAACUUAAAAAAUAAUAAUUUUGGAAGUGAGAGUGGUUUUUAGAGUUAAAGACAAUAAUAAUUUUGGAAUAUACACGUUGAAAAUGAUUUUUGGUGUAUUGAUAAUUUUUUUUAAUCUUAUGAGGUCGAAAUUGUCAUUGCAUAUUAGAGUAUAUAAAUAAUUUCAUAAUUUUUGAAAUGUCAUAUAAACUAUACACAUUUUUCAAUAUGGCAUAUAAACUAAAUUUUAAGCAAUUGUCAUAUUAACUUUCUGAAAUCAUUAAUUUGUCAUCUCAUCUUAGCACCGUUAAGUUUUUCAUCCAAAAUACUUGCACAUGCCUUGUUUCAGGGUUAUUUUAGAUGUUUGGCCUGAUUUUCAUUUCAUUUUAUGGUUUGCCAUGAGAAAUAACCUUGUAAAAACAAAGUAAGUUUGAUAUUACCAUUGUUUUAGAGGACUACUAUACUUCAUGAACAUGUGAUAUAUUUGACGAUUAUACUGUUGGAGAGAAACUUGAUCAAAAUUAUAUCAUGUAAUACAAGUUUCGUUUUUGUUUUAGAAUAAAAAUAUUAUUCCAUUACAUAAUCAUUUCAUUUUUUGGUUUGUAGAAACCUAGAUUGUUGUUUCGUUGAAAGCAACUUUUUAGAAGGAGAGUGGAGAGCUGAAAUGUUCUAAAUAACCUAAACACAAGUCAUGUGCAAGGCACAUGACCUACUUUUUUUUUAUAGAAAACCUAAUGGAGUUAAGGGCAUAUGACAAAAUUUAAGAUUUCAAAAAGUUGAAAUGACAAAUCGCUUAAAAUUUUAGUACAUAUAACAAAUUGAUAAAAAUGAAAACUAAUGAAAAAGGCUUGAAAACUUUGAGUUUUAACGAUAAAGACAAAAUAAAGGGUAAAAUGAAUAGUAAUGUGGACAGUAAUGUGGGUUUUUCGUUAAAACUUCCUUGAUAAAAACGUAUUAGUUAUUAUGACAUUUUAAAAUUUUCUCCUAAACUUUAAUGUGAAGUAUAUUCAACCUUAUGUUGUAUAACCAUUUUUUUCUCGACAUUUUCAAAUUUUCAAUAACUAUGUAUACCAGUUUUCAUAUUCAGCAUUGGCGCACACGACAUUAUCCAAGUAUCGAAGGCAUCAUUUGACUUAUGCAGUUCAGCAAAACCCAUUGGCUCAACCCUCAGAGCUGGCUCAGUAAACAUCACUCUCACCUCCGCAGGCAACUGCUACUACAUCCAGUGGCGAAGCUAGAAAUUGACGGGGGAGGGGUGAAGUUAGGUAGUGUCUACGAAUUGCUUCAUGAUAAUUAGGUGGAUAAUCAAGCAUUCAACGUCUAUGUCCAAGGUAUGCAAGAAGAUUAACCAAUAUUACUCAGUGGUCUCACUUUGUUGUGAACUACUUGGAAUACUUGAAUGAGGACUUCUUGGAAUAUUUGAAGGAGGAUGAGGACCACUUGGAAUAUUUGAAGGAGAAGGACUACCUGAAAUGUUUGAAGGAGGAUUUAAGCAUUGUUUCUUAUAGUAUCGUUCAAUUACGUAACUGUAAAAUGGAGAGAAAAAAAAUUCUUACACUCUUAAUCCUAGAGUAGACUAUACUAAUAUGCAUAAUAAUUAAUCCAACUAACAAUUCAAUUAAGCUAUACCAAUAAGCGUACAAAUUAUUCAAUGAAUAAAUAUUCAAUUCAACUAAUCAUAUGAAUAAUUGUAUACAUUAUGUAAUAAUUCAAUUAAUUAAUCAAUAAUCAAGAAUUCAAAUUUUAAUUUUCACCCUAAAAAAUAAUUUUAAUUUCAUAUCAAUAAUCAUAGAAUCAGAUCAAUAAUCAAUAACCAUAUUAGUGCAAAAAUAACAUUACAAAUUACAAAGACUAAAUAUGUCCCCAACGAAAUUUCAUACUAAAAAAUGCGUCAUGAUAGAUUUAUUGUCAACUAGAGCAAAAACAUCCGUAUAUGAUUGAAACCAUCCAAUAUUGAAAUUGAACUAUUUGAUCUAUGGACACUGGAGAUGAGACUAGUGUUGUGCUGGUAGGUGGCCUUCGGUGGGGUGGGGUGGGGAUAAGGAAUGGUUCUCUGUUUCAAAUUUGAACCGUUUUGUUUUUGUUUUUUCAAAAAAUAAAAAUAAAAAUCGUGAAAACUAUAUAUUAAAAAAGUGCACCAAACGCACUGUUUUACUAAAGGGUGUUUUCAAACCCGAGCCCUAGGUAAAACACACCGUUUUACUUAAAUGAUAAAUAGUCUUCUUCUUCCUUCUUCUAAUUUGCAGAACACCAGAACUCUGCAGCCCCGCUCCUCUUAUCCUCCACCUUGUGCCCAGACGGGGUGGUCCUCGGAGGUCCUUAUAGCAUAUUAUUUGGACUUUUGGGUGGUCCCAGGACCACCCAGGUCCCUUAAUAGAUCUGCCCCUGACUGAACCAGUGGGUUUUCCGACGAGGGGAGGGGCGGACCCAGAAAUCCAGUCCUGUUUUCCGACGAGGGGAGUGGCGGCUACCACUCCUCGCCCUCAUGUGGCUUCGCCACUGACUACAUCUACAGUUUUGGCCUAAAUUGCCAGUCAGGCAUGAAGCUAGCCAUCAUCGUAUCUGGUGCUUCCCCACGAUCCUUACUGUUAAGAACUCUGUUCCUCGUCAUUGGUGUAGUUUUCGGCAUACUUGUUAUGUCUGACCUCCUAUGAUUUUUAAUUUUCCGGCGACGACGAAAAGUCAAGUCCUUUGGCUCCAACCAUGGGAAGACAAAGUCAACAAAGAACCUCGAGUCACCUUUACUGCUUUAUCUGUGUCGUUAUUUUUCGUUGGCUAAGAUUAAAGCCAGCACCCAAAACUUCAAUGAUACUUUCAUUAUUGGUGUUGGCGGGUUUGGCAAUGUGUACAAAGCAUACAUUGACGGCAGUGCCACUCCUGUUGCUAUCAAACAGCUAAGACCCGAGUCAUCACAAGGGGCCCGCAAGUUCAAGACGGAGAUCGAGCUGCUCUCCCAACUCCGCCACCGCCAUUUGGUUUCACUCAUUGGUUACUGUGCCGUUAAAGGUGAGAUGAUCUUGGUUUAGGAUUACAUGGCAUGCAGCAUUCUCGGUGACCAUCUGUAUCGUACAGGUAACUCUAAACCUCUUCCUUGGGAACAACGGCUUCAAAUUUGUAUUGAUGUUGCGCAAGGGUUACAUUACCUUCACAGCGGUGCCAAAGGCUCCAUUAUUCAUCGCGAUGUGAAGAGCAUAAACAUUUUAUUGGAAAAAUGGUGGCCAAGGCAUCGGAUUUCGGGUUGUCAAAAAAUGGGCACGACUAGCAUGUCCAAAACGCACAUCAGCACGGUGGUGAAAGGGAGUUUCGGGUAUCUAAACCCGGAGUACUACAAACGUCAACAGUUGACUGAGAAGUCCGAUGUGUACUCAUUUGGGGUGGUUUUAUGGGAGGUAUUGUGUGCGAGGCCAGUUCUAAUGCAUAAGGUGGAGGCUAGGGCAAUCAGCCUCGCUGAGUGGGCCAAGAGUUGUCAUGGAGACGGGACACUUGAUCAAAUCAUUGAACCAAAUGUGAAAGGUAAGAUUGAAGUCGAGUGCUUGAACAAAUUUCGUUGACAUUGCUAUAAGUUGCUUACAUGAUAAAGGAAUCAAACGACCAUCGAUGAAUGAUGUUGUGAGGGGGCUUGAGUUGGCAUUGCAGCUUCAUCAAAAGAGCAUUGGAAGUCAGGGCGACAAUGGGGCUGCCUUUGUCAAUGACUGCGGUGAUGACAAAUAUUCCGAACAAUGUAUAUAUGUGACAAUCUUCUUUGAGAUCAACGAUACAUAUGAAAGAUGAUGAGCAACAUUUUACAAAGUGCAAGCAAUAUUCUGGAAACAAUAUCUCAAAAUGUAUAUGUUGUAUGCUUUUCGGUGACACUCCAGAUUCAACAUCAACAACAAUGGAACUGAGAUCCUCAAAAUGUAUAUUAACUGAAUGCUGCAACCACAAGCCAGCAAAGAAAGGAAGUAUGAAACUAUAUUGUCAAUUGACUUUUGAAAUACAUAAAGGUCGUACCCAGUGCACAAGGCUCCCGCUUUACGCAGGGUCUGGGAGAGGUGAAUGUCGGCUAGCCUUACCCCCAUUUAUGGAGAGGCUGCUCCCAAGUCUCGAACCCGAGACCUACCGCUCAUGGGCGAAGGCACUUGCCAUCGCACCAAGUGCGACCUCUAUUUUUGAAUACAUACACGAAAUAUUUCAGAAUUUGAUGUUUUGAAUCACAUUACAAAGACUACAAUGGGAAAAUCGACUUUAACCACUGUAACAUGUUACAAAAAUGAAAUAGAAAAUAUUCAGAACAAGCAAGACUUUUCAAAGAAAAUGAGAGGUAAAGAAAGCUUAGUUAACUUAGCACAGCUUGUAAUUUUUUAACCUUUCCCUUUCUCCUCCAUGCGACGAUUGUUCUUGUAGAAAAACGAAAUGUUAUAUAUAGUGGUCAUUUAACCCUCCUCUCCUCUGGCAAUGAUUGGCAAACUUGGGAAGCUUGCGUACGAAAAGCUCUCCAAGAGAAGCCAUCGUGUCCUGCAAAAAAAAAAAAAAAAAAAAAAACAGAACUUAAGACUUAAGAUUCGCAGAAUGACAGUCUAAUGUCUGCCUAUCGAUGAUCUACAAAGUAUUUGAACAAUAUGCAUGCUAUGUUUCUCAUAUUUAUUUAUUUAUUCUUUAUUUUUAUAUUUGUGCAACCAUGAAAGUUAAUUGGAUGCAAAAUAUACCUGACUUCGAAUGGCGGCAAACCCUCUUCUGGAAGGCAUUGGAAACUGUCACACCCCCAAAUAUAUAACUUUUGACGAGAAGUGAGGUUUUGAAGUAGACCUUCUCCUGGCAAAUACUCCAGACCUGGGCAGCUUUCAGUUCAUAGCUCUUGAAGAGAAGUGAGGUGUCGAAGUCCCUUUCUGUCCAUUGAUUCCAAGUAGUUUGGACAGAUCACAAGUGCUUAAAUUGUUUCAUGGCUAUUCUAAUGUCCUCGCCUGCAAAACCGGGUGCUCCAUUUUAUGACUGACUUGUGUUGUUGGAAUUUGAACAAGUGAAGUAUGUGGAAGCAGCAUUGCAUCAUAAAGAUGUCGGGUCUGUGCAGCUGUGCUACUUCGUGUCACCUUUAGGCAAGCCUUUGUACCCUGUGGUGGAGAAAAGCAUCUCACUGUAUUAAAAAAUGGAGAACAUUCAACCACAUGAACUUUUAUUUCACACCUUGUUCGCUAAAUUUUAUGUUGAUGAUGAAGAAAAAGAACGAAAGGAAAAGAAAAGUGAGAAAGCACACCUCCACAUCUUCUGCUAAAAGAUCUAAUUACGUGCGGCUUUCCAUUUUUGCUGCGAAUUUAUGGCCAGGUUUACAAGAGCAUAACAUAUCUCCGCAAGCUUGAUGGUCCCUGAAUAAAGAAAAUGAGACAACCUGCCAACGCAGAAGGAGGGAAGUACAGAUGCGAGUUUGUGCCACCCAUAUUAGGCUUCUGUAGUUCAAAAAUCAACAUUUCGAGUCCUCCUGUAAUUAGAGGUUUACCUCCAUCUGUUUUCACACACUCCUACUACAUAUGAAAUUUUGAAAUGCCUGCUUCUUGUGAUAGCUAUUCAACAUGGAUGCCAUCUCGGAUGCUUUUGCCUUACAUAUCAGCUCAACAAACUCCUAAAUACAGAGAUGAAAGUAAAAUUCAAUGGGCACAUUGAUGAUAAAGAAUGAACAAAACUAACUAUUACGGUUUCAAAUAGAUCCAAUUAUUGUUGCUUCGUAAAUUAAUUCUCUCUAAGAAGUCUAUGAUUUGUAAAUUAUAUUAACAUGAUUUUUUUUUUAAAUGGUAUGCAAACUACAUAAAACAGGGAUACUGUGAAGGAACAAAACUGAAACAUAUAUUCAGUUAAAAUUUGUUAAAACGAAGCAUCAUAUCCUCUGCAUAAGAUGGUCCAUGGUAAGAGAGAAUGUAAAAUAAAGCUCAUCUGCAGUAUUCAACUAAAGGUCUAUUACCAGUUCACAUUGUAAAGAAAAGCAUAGAUACACCAACUUGAAGAUGAUAAUGGCAUUGAAAGAAGAUGAGAUAGCAGGCCACCGUAUUCAAACCAUGCCCAUAUGACAAAGAAAUAUAUCAUCCCGGGGUUCCAUCAUCUUCCUUUAGAGGUGCAUCAUUUUCAAGCCAAAAAUGCUUAGUAAAUUGAUGUGAGCUAACAUCCGUCGCCUCAGACAAUCGCCUCUUAAGUUCCACAAUAAGGAUUCUGCAGUAAUGACGCCACCAUAUUCAAACCAAAUAAGUCAGUGCAUCACAUAUAUAGGUGAAUUACGAAUUUUUGUUUGUAAAGAAACUCAUCCGCACCAACAUAAAAGCCACCAUAUUCAAACGAAAUCAGAAUGAUUAAAAAAUAAAAAUAAAAUCGUCCUAAGGGUUACCUACAUGAUAUCUCUUGCACCAGCGUGAAGAUCACUAGGACAUCAGAAGAAAACCAGAAAAGCAUGCCACGGCUGUUUACUCAUGCCAGACAGGCCUAGUAAUUGAUGCAAGCUAGCAUCUGUUCCCUUGGGUAAUUCUACCUUACAGUUCUACACCACAGUUAGCUCGCUGCCACAUCCACAAAGGCCAUAAAUGAGUCUGUCCUGGCACAUUGUAUUAACAGAUACUUAGGAUUGAUUUUACAAAAGUCUUGAUAACUAAUGCUGAUUCACGCAACCAAGAAAUGGUAAAAAGAAUACAGAACAGUUGAAUAAUGCAUCAAUAAUACACAUGAGCUACUGAGAAACUAAUCUGCAACUUUGAUUCUCAAAACUUUCAAUAACAUUUCUUCUUUUUCUCUGCCCCUCCCUCCCCACUCACUCUCUCUCUCUCUCUCUCAUCAACAAGUUUAUGUUGGAGAUAAAUAGAAAGAAUGAAACGAAAAGAAACAUCAGAAAACACACAUUGAAAUAUUUAACUGCACACAUCUUUACAUUUGUCAGCUACGAUUAUAUGAGCAUAAAGUAUCUACGCAAGCAUCAAGCUGGUAACUGAAUAAAGAAAACGAGACAGCCUGCCAAUGGAGAAGGAGGAAAACGUGGAUGCAAGUUUGUGCCCCCUAUGUCGAAAGCAUGCUUUCAAUAAGAAAUGAAUGAAAUCCGAAACCGGAAUGCGAAUGCAGAGACGUGACAUAUUCCAAAAGUUCUUGGUAAAAAAAUUGUGAGUUUUCGAAGUACCAUAUAUUCUGUAAGUGACGCCAGGGAUAAGGCUAGAGAUUAAAUAAGAGCAAACAAUACUUGACAACGAAAAUGCAGAGAUGAGAAACAAAUUGCAAUAUUUGUAAUUUCUGAAACGUUAAUACAUUAUUCGGUUAUGAAAGAGUACCUAAACAUGUUGCACUUUGAUGCUUACUUUGCUGGAUUGAUCCUCUUCAUACCAUCCCAAAAUGUUGAUCAAUAUGUGUCUUCUUUGCUGCAAAGAAAAAAUUGAUCAAUAUGCUAUGAUUCUUAUUUCUAUUAUGUCUUUUAUUUUUCAAACUAUUGAAGUUAAUUAGAUGCAAAAUACCUGAGAGUCAAAUGCCGAAAAGCACAACUUUGUAUGAGAGAGACAGAGCUCAUAUGAUGACUUCGUCGUUUAUCCGUAUGCAAGGAAUGUGAGAUAUCUUGGCCCAAUCUUCUCCCGUCUUAUCCUCAUACCUUUUCUCCAGGGCGGAACAAGAGUAGAUCUCCAGGCAAGAAAGAGAUGGCGGCAAACCGUUUUCUGGCAGGAAUUGGAGUUUUGGACAGUCAGAAAUUCGUAGCUUUUGAAGAGAAGUGAGGUGUAGAAGUCCCUCUGUUGGAAGGAAUUCCAGACUUGGGCAACGAGAAAUAUUUAGAAAUUGAAGAGAAGUGAGGUGUUGAAGUCCCUCUCGUGGCAGGAAUUCCAGACUUGGGCAAUCUUCAAUACUUAGCCAAUGAAGAGAAGCAAAGUGUCGAAGUACUUUUACAUCCACCACCGAUUUCAGACUUGAUAAUCCAAUGAUGAGGAGACCGUUAAGAGUAGUAGGGAGCAGGAGCUGUUCCUUGAGCAACGGUGCCCAGAUCUCGCCAGCAAUUUCAAAAUGUUUAAGGGAGACAAGUCCUUGUAAUCCCCACUCCACCGAAGGCUUCACUUUGUCGCAACGUCUAACAUCAAAAUAUUGCAGGUUGGGAGGCAAACCCCCUUGUGCAAAUGAUACAAGAUUUGGAAGAUUCGAGAUAUGCAAUCGUUCAAGGGCGGUGAGGGUGCGAAUUCGUUCGGGGAACGACUUCAAAUUCAUGCACGUCCAGACCUUCAAUUCUCUCAAGUUGGGAGUGGGCAAUCCUCCGUCCGGGAAAGACGCCAGAUUUGGACAGUUGCAGAUUUGGAGUUGAUUGAGAUGGCUUAGGUUCUGAUCAACUCCUUCAAUAGAAAAGGAUUCCAGAUUCUCACAGCCAUCAAUUUCAAGAGUUGAAAGUUUGGGGAAAACGCCCAACGGGAAGGACCUCACUGAAUGAAAACUAUCGUAUAUAAACAAGGACUCAAGUGACGUCAAUUCGGCCAUCAUCUCAUGAGAUAAGAACUCUAAUGACGACGGUUGGGCAAUCCCUGAAAGUCAAUCUUCGAAGAUAUUUCAUUUUGGGCAGGCACUGUAUUGCAUCAAAAUUAGAAAUUCUCAGUGUGGACAAGAACUUCUUCUCUACUCUCUCUAUUAAUGGUAACAGACCUGGGCAUCCACCAAUCUCUAUUUCCAAUGAAUUCUGUAAGUAGUCCAUGUUAAUACUGGCCCAUUCAUCAUGCAGAUGCAGAUAUUCACACCUAUACACCCUAAGUGUUUUCAAGCAUGGAAGAUGAUUGGGCAAGUACCCUCUCAGCUUCUUACAGUAACUUAUUCUCAGCACCUCGAGACAAGGAAAGUCUGAACAUUGACCUUCACUUGGACUCGGUAGCCAAUCCUCCCACUCUGGCAUCUCCUUAAACUCUAGCAUCUUCAGAGACCGAAAGGGCUGAAUUACAGAAGCUCCAUUAAGAUCACCAUAGAAUUCAUCACCAACUUUCGUAACAAAAUUCAUCCUUUCGAUGCGUAGCUCUUUAAGAGUGGGCAGCUGCCCAAAACUUGGCAAGGACAAACAAUACUUACAAUCACUGAUACACAUGAACUGUAUGUUCGAGAAGGAAUUAGAGCUUCCUAACCAAUUUGGGAAGCUGAACCCUCCAUAGAAUCUGAUAGUCAGUUUCUCCAAAUUUGCAGAAGGUUGGAGCUUGUCAAGCACAUCUCUCUCCUUUUGGGAAUCAUCGGCUUCCUCCACACCCCAUGCCAACUCUAAGUCCUUGAGUUCUUUCUUAUCCUUCAAAUUGGCUUCCAAUGCAUCCACAACAUGAACUCCAUUGUGCAGCUUUGAAAUACAAAGUCUUCCUUGAAGAUGCUGCAACUCCCUUAAUUCUCCAAUGCUAGACCCGGUAGAUUUCCCCACAACGAAAUCAGUUAAUGUUCUCAAACUUUUUAGUCUUCCAAUUUCCACUGGCAUCACUUGUAUUUUUGUUCCCCAGACAUCGAGGUAAUGCAAACUACUCAAUUCCCUCAUAUCUGCUGGUAAUUUAGUAAGGGAGCUGCAACCUGCCAACGUUAACUUCCGUAAAUUUAUCAAUUUUGUCAUGUCUGCUGGCAGUUCAAUGAGAGCAUGACAAUAUGACAACAGCAACGUCUGCAAAUUGUAGAGAGUGCAAACUGCACCAGGUAAGCUUACAAUUGCCGUCCCGGAGAGAUCCAGGUAGCGCAGGUGAAUGAGACUGCCCACAGAAUCAGGUACUUCAGAAAAAUUUCCAUAAUGUGACAAUGAUAAAACCCGUAAACGUUUCAGGGAUGGCAACAAAUCAUGUAGAAACUUUUUACUUAUGUGGAAGAACGAGCCAUAUAAUGAGAUAGGUAGGAAGGUCCGCAGACACUUAGCCCCAUUUAAUGGCUCAAAUUUUUUAGCAGCAUCAAUUUCUCCCCUAUCAUAUGACAAAUGACGAAGUCUUUCAACUUCUUGUGAUUCCCUCUCUUCCAACCUGAGAAAAAAUCCCCUAGACAUGAACUGACCCAAGUCGUUAAGAAGAUCAUGCAUUGUGAAACCAUCCUCCCCUGAUUUUUGAAGUAGCGAUCGUGAUACCAGCUCAUCGAAGUAACUUCUAGCCGUCUCUUCCAUUCUUUGCCCGUUAAAACCUUGUGGAAUUAAACCUUCUGCCAUCCAAAGUAGAACCAUAUCUUCCUUCUUGAACUCAUAGUCUUUUGGAAAAAUUGAACAAUAAACAAAACAUCGUUUCAACGGAGCAGGGAGAUAAUGAUAGCUCAACCCUAGGGCUGGAAGGAUAUCACUUUUAUCAUAAGGUAGCUCCCAAAGACUACUACUUAAUAAUUUAUUCCAUUCCUCGAAGUCUCUCUGGCCACGUAAUAGACCCCCGAGUGUUUCUGCCGCUAAAGGCAAACCAUUGCACUUGCGUGCAAUUUUCUUGCCAAUAUCUUCCAAAGUUGGAUGUGCAUUGUGGUUUUCGUUUCCAAACGCAUGUUUUGAAAGUAACAUCCAACAAUCUUCAUGCGACAAAGGCUUCAAGUGUUGAAUGGGGACAUUUUUCAUGAGAGAUGCGACAUUUUCACUUCGUGUUGUUACGAUGACUUUACUUCCGCUUGCCCCGGAAGUAAAAGGAGUUUGGAGGCACUUCCAAUCAAUAUAUUUCUCAUUCCAAAGAUCAUCCAACACAAAUAAGAAUUUCUUUCCCUUCAGUUGUUCUCUAAGUUCAACUUGAAGCAUAUUCAAAUCUGUCAUCUUACAAGGUUCUGAAGUGACCGACUCGAGAAGAGUUUUAGUCACCCUAAUAGCAUCAUAAUCUUCUGAAACACAUGUCCAAGAUCUAAGGGUAAAGUGCUCUUUCACCUUAUCAUCAUUGUAAAGGGCUCGAGCAAGGGUCGCUUGCCAACCCCGCCCAUACCAACAAUGGUGAUGAUAGAUACAUCAUCCUCGCUUGCAUCAUCAGAGAACAAGACUUUUGAUAAAUUUUCUUUAUCUCCGUCUCUUCCAUAUACACAAGGUUCAUGAAUCAAGCAAGUUGUUGGAGUUCUAUGUGAACCCUUCCUCGCAACAUCUCCCGUCAGACCAAGGGCAACCUUCUGUUGCACAAAGCCAUCCAGCCUUUGUAAUAACCCUUCUAUCUCAACAUUCAUGCUUCGAUAAAAAUUACUACGAGAAGGAGAGAUGAGGUUCCACACCUUGUUGGUUAAUUUGUCGGUUUGACCUUCACCUUCCACCUUGCAUCGCAAAGCUUCAGUGUCGAUCUCAUCCAGCAAGUCCUCCGCAUCCAAGACAGCAUGUUUGACCUCGUCGAGCCAUUUUCUCACAGUAAGGUUUGAAAUUUGCUUCUCUUCCGCAUCAUCGAGGACUGCAGAAAGGGUGAGCAGCGUCAUAUUCAGUUUCAGGAGAAGCCGUUCAUCCAGCUUCUUCUGCCGGAACAAGUCACGGAAGUCGGUUGAAACAAUUCUGUCACACAACACCUGGAUGGAAGCGGAGAGAAAAGCCUCUCCAAUCAAAGCAGCAGCCAUUUUUUCUCUUGGUUGCUUAGUUUGCUAGUAGCUCGAUGGAGAAGAAAGGCUUUUGAGAUUGUAAUUAUUGAUGCAUCCCAAUUCGUAAAGAACAUGUGAUUGGUCAGUUGACCAAAAAAGAACCUGUGAUUCGUCUGUUGACCAUAAAAGAACUUGUGGUCUGUAAGACUGUAAUUAGUCUUUUGGUUCAAAAGUUGUCCCGUGGAUCCAGAUCUGGAUCUUUUUAUUGGUAGCCUACAACAUCGUGGCCGUUGAUUCAAAGUGGAUGCAAAUCGUGCGGCCAUUAAAUUUUUAAUUUACACAUACAGCGAGGCGUUGCUUAAUGGUUUCCAGCUGGUGCUUCUCGUGAAAAACGACGCGCUCUUUUCUGGGAGAGUGGCACUGUAGCAUCACAUGACAAUGCCAAAUGAUGGUACAGAACAUGUGAAAUUGUGAGAUAAUAAAAAGAUAAGAUAAAUGUUUGGGGGAUUUUUUUAAAAUUGAAACUUUUCUAUCUUUUUUUGUCAUUUUAUAAUUUAAUAUUAAUUUUCAUGUUUUUAUAAAUUGUUAAUGAAAUUGAUCCAUUAUAUCAAGAUGAUUUUUUAAAUUGAAAAUCGAUUAAUGUAAUAUUUGAAAAUGAUUGUCGUUAAUUAAUAUAGUCAUUCCAUUAUAAUUCUGUUAAAAAUUAUGUUAUAUACUGAUUUGUUACAUAAAUAGGUCUCACAAAUUUAAUUUAAUAAUGCUAUAUAAUUUAAAUUUUGAAAUUAAAAAGUUAUAAUAAAAAAUAACCUUUUAAGGUCAAAAUUAAAAUUAAAAAAAAAAUCUCCCGUCAUCUUCGUCAAGAUGGCUUGGAAGAUGGCUUGGCUGCCAUGGCAGCCCCUAUCCGGGUGGCUCGAUUUUUGGCACUCGAUCCAUUCAAACAUAAUCGGUGCAAUUUAUUCAAACUUGGAUGAAGAUGUUUUUUUCCAUCUUGAAGAACAACUCUCGUGAUUUUGGGUAUUCGGUGGAAUGAUGCAUUCGUAGAACUCAUAGUAUUUUUUGGACAUACGAGUCCAAACACCUUCACAUGUUUGAGAACUCACCCUCACACUAUCUUCUGAGACCCACCUAUAAGCCCAACAAAGAGCUUAUCUUCCUUUCGAGUCCAUGCCCUACCUUUCAAUGCAGAUCCGGCCAUUUGAAAAUUAUUGAAAAAAAUUGAAGCAAAGAUUGUUGAAAGAGGUAAGAAAUGAUGUAGGAGAGAAAUGGUGUAAGAUGGUAUAGGAUUGUGAAAAUAAUGUGAGAAGUGAUGAAGGAAUGACUUAGGUAUUUAUAGGAAAAAAAAAUAGGAUUUUUUUAAUAUUAUUUUUUUUAAAUUUGUCCGGAAAAAAAAUAAUUCAAACCCAACGGUCAACUGAUAUCAGCUAGCCGUUGGAUUCAAAUGUUUGGCCCGGUUCGAGGUUGGCUGGCUGGCUAGCUGGGUUGGGCUAGCUGGUUGGCCCAUUUCUCUUUUUUUGGCCCAAUGGGACCCACGAGCCCUUUAGCCUAGCCCUCGGUUGGAGAUGAUUUUCGUGUCAUUUCAAGCUAUUUUCGGCCCUAUGGUCCUCUAGCCGGAUCAGUUGGAGAUGGCCUAAGAGACUUAUAGAAAGAUUAGGGAGGUGGGGAUGGGUGAGAAGGGGAGGGUGGUGGAUGGUGAUGGUUUGAGUGGACUUGGUGUGGUUUGGGUGAACUUUGGUUGAGGCUGGUACAUUAUGGUGGAGACUCAGUCUGGGCUCGAGUAGGCAAGUGUAGAGUGGACUUAGCGUGAUUUACUGACACCAUCAUUUUACGAAUUUCAAAUGAAAUAUUGACAACAAACCGCUCAAACAUUUUCAAAUCAAAUAUUGACGACAAACCGAUAAAAAAUUAACCACGUAUCUAGAGAGGUUCUUAGAAAGACUUUGAGGACAAAAUGCAGCAUCAACUAAGACACAAAAAAAUGAUAAAUGAUGGAAUCAUAGGGACGAGGUUUAGAAGCCUUAGGUGUUGACUCAAUUCCGGAACAUAUUCUCAAAUCCUAACACAUCCCACAAAAAAUUAAACACAAAGACAAAGUCUUACGCACAACGCAUGUUGAUUUCAAGUUUUCAACCGUCGACGUCGUAUACCGAAUCAAGGGGAGAAGAGGUCAGAGAGUUUGUAACAUUCUAAUGCGUAAAUUAUUCUAAAAGAAAGGAAUUAAUCAACAUCUUGAACUAAGUCAAGUUCUACAAAGAAUUAAAGAAUAGGGCUGCAACAAUUAUACAAGUCAAUGACUAAGCUCGAUCUACCUUCUAUGGGCGUUAAAAAACUUGCAGCUACGAUGUGUUAAAUAAUUUAGCAUAGAUAUGGCUACUACGAAGUCCAAACACGUUGAUCUUUCUGAUGUACCACCUCUCGUUAAGCCGAAAAUCAUAAGUAAGGUCUCAAUUGGACUACCAUCACGCUAAUGUCGUCCCAAGAGCCGCGUGAUUUGGAUAGUUCUAUUAGCUUUUUGCAAGCCACCAAAGGUUGCCCGUCAGCGCCUAAGCAUGAAGGACGAACAACAUCCACUGCUUCUUGGUUGCUAACCUGAAACCAAAGAAAUAAAUCCAAUUUAGUUGAUGGGGACUAAUUUGAUCCAAAUAGUAUGUAUGGAACUCGAUUGAUUCAAAAGCAAAAUCAUGACAAGGGGAUUAAUAUACCUUAUCCCAUAAUCCAUCUGAGGCCAUGAUUAUGAACUCGUGUUCGGGUUUGAUUCUGAGUACUUUGGUCUCUGGGUCUGGAAUUACAUAUUGUUUAAGGUGCCUAUCUCCGAUUCCUCUGGAUACAGCUAGAGACCCCUGAAUUCUCCAAACACCACGGCAUAAAUCGACAUAUCCACCCUACAAAAGCAAAUUCACCGUAACUAUCAAUCCCAAUUCGAAUAAGGUUUUAUCUGAAGUAACCAUAAUGUAUAACAAUUUGGUAGAGAAAAACUCAAAUGCUAACCAAGUUCUCAAUUCUGGCUUUCUCGUCUUCCCUUGAUGGCCGAUGAUCAGAUGUGAGGGCCUCAGCAGCACCUCCACUGCUCAAGACAGCACGACAAUCGCCAGCAUUGGACACAACCAAGUUACCGUUCCUGAUCAAAGCCGUCAAAGAGCAUGAUCCACCACGAAAAUCCUCUUUAAGAAACUCAGAGUCCGUAUUCAGAUAACCAUGCUUAAUUGCCUCCUCAAUUUCAUUCAUCAUCACCCCUCCUCGCAACUUCAUCUAAAAUGUUCUUUGACAAGUUCUCUGCUGCAAACUCGGCAGCUUUUACACCUCCAUGCCCAUCAAAUAUACCAAAAAUCGCCUGCAGAAAUAAGGUUUCAGCAUUUCAAAUUCCAAUUAUCAAACCGCUAAUUCGACUAACUACAAUCAGUAGAGUCGUAAAACAUGAAGCACCAUUCUGCUUUAACAGAUCAAAAUAUUCUAUAUAUUCCCCAAAUUCCUAACAUAGAAUUCAAAUUCCACCAUUUCAGAAAAGGGUUUAAAAUUCUCCAUCAUUUCAGAUGAUAGAACAACUAAUAACAUAGAAUUUUAAUUAAAAAUUAAAAAUUAAAAAUUAAACUAAAUUUGUUAUAGUUUAUAUGAAAACCCCAACCUGAUUUCUCACAAUUCUGCACAAAGCUUUCAAAUUUCCCAAAAUUAUACAUAAAGCAUUCGAAUUUCUCAAAAUUCAGCUCAAUAACUAAAACAAAUUAAUCCCAAUUAAAAAAAUUAAGAAAAAAAGAGAGCAACUUUAGAAUUACCUGUUUGGAAUCACCUUCAAGAUUAAGACUAGCUGAGUAGCGAUCCUCCAAAGCCUCUCUCCUCCCUCUCUUGCAACACACGUGGUAGUACCCUUCUCUAUCUUCCUCCAUCACAUCUCUCCAACCGGCCGUCGUCGGCGUCGGCGGAGCAGUCCCAAAUCCCGAGGAUACCACCGGAAUACAAAGCUUCGCCGGCCUCUUCCUCUUCAGCUGCGUCACUGGAGACCCCGGACCCGAACACGACAACCCGCUCGGCGGAUUCGGGAUCCGAAUCCGAAACGGCGACGACGGAGACGAACACGAAGCCAAUCCUGACGGCGAUAAGGCCGACGGCGGCGGAGGUAAAGUUAGGGUUUCUGGGGCCGGAGAGAUCAUGGAGGAUUUGUUGCAGAACAGAGACGACGGCGGAGAAAACAUCGGCGAGUUAGCAACUGCGACGGAGCACGACAUGUUUACCCUUUUCGGUUUUAUUUUUCCGAUACCAAAGCCAGUUUGUGCUUCUUUUUUUUCUUCCUUUUCCGAUUUUUCUGCGUUUGUUUGGAUUUAAAAUUUUCGUUGAAGAGAAUUUUGAAUAUAUAAAGGUGGCUCCUCGGGGUGGGGUCCACGCAUUAUUCCGUGUUUGUGGGGCCCCUAAUGGGCUGUUUUUAAACAGUGUUUUGACCAGUUAUAUGGGGCACUAGUUCUAGAAUGUCGAUUUUGCCCCUCUUUGGAUUUGCUUUGACUUCGGUCGUUGCUUGAGAUUAAAGUUUUGGUUAUUCAACAAUUUCAUCUUAUUUUAAGAGGUGUGUUAGCCACACACCCCAAAUUACUUCUCACAUACCUUGUUAAUUUCUAUUCGUUGAUCUUUUUCAAUUCAUCUGAUCCGAUGGCCGAAAAUUAGAAGGGUGUGUGAGAAAUAAAAUGGAGUGUGUGGAAAGUAAAAUGGGGUAUGUGGAUAUUACAUCCUUAUUUUAAUUGGAAUUUCCUUUGUUCCAUUUUGGACAAACAUGCAUUUUAUGGAGUUUUGGUGGACGUCUACGAACUCCUUGUAAAUAUUAAGUGAAUUCUCUAUGCUAUUUCGCGAGAAGACUGAAUUUGUUAAAGCUUAAAAGUUAUUAUUAAUCAUGUUCAACGUUUGUUAACAUGUUAUCUUAGUCAUGGUUAUUAACUUAUCUAGAAUUAUUUAAGUUUCUUUUUAAUAGGUAACCCAAUCACUCAUUAAAUCAUGGUAUUGGAGUCUGGUUAAUCAUGCUUUCCUCUUUCUUUGUUUUCUCUAGAAUUUAUACAUAUAUGUAAAACCAAUGAAUUAGCACUAUAAUCAGUAUACACAUUUUCUUCAUCAUCUUUACUCUGGCGGGGGAGUGCAUGAUUAAUGUUUUGUAGAUCUGAUAAUAGUUGGUUAGCUCCAUUCCGUGAAUUACAAUACAUUGGGAACAAUUCAGGCUCCAAGUUCGUUCCAUUGAUCGUUCUAUCUUUCUUUCGGUGACAAUCACUUAUUUUCAAUGUUAAAAAUAAUUAUUUCUUUUUAUCUCAACAUGUUUAUUCGUUUUGAAAGUUAAAACUAAUAUUAUCUAAGCAAAUUAUGGUUCUAGAUUUUUAGAUGAAACAGUCUCGAAACCCAACCAAUUUGAAUAUAUCCAAGUCAAUUCCAAUUCGGUUUCUAGACCCAAAAAAAAAUCCAAAGCAUUUUUCUUCAAGAUUAUUAUUGUUAUAGUUUGGUUAUGUUUGUCUUAUUUUACAAGCCUUUUACCGUUCAGUUGGAGUGCUUUAGUACGCAGGGGCAAAUCCGUCCAAUGAAACAAUACCGGCCCCACCCCCCUUGUAAGUCGGAUAACUCUAAAAAUGGAGAAGAUAAUUAAGGUGUCAAACACGUUAAUUAAUUUCAAUACGGUGUUGGACUACUUACUAACUAAGCUAACUUAAUGACGCCAUUCAAAGUGUGGGCCCCCGCGCCCUCUCUCCCCUGAUUGGUGGUUCGAUGAGCUUCUGCGAAGUUACCGUUGCAAAGAAGGUCGUCGUCGUUUGGUGAUGCUACUGUCGUUUGUGGGGAGGAGCUGACUCGGAAAUGACUGGGAAAUGACCGUUGGGAAACUGGGUGCGUUUACUAACGGUCAACAUGUAAAACUUUGAAAUUCCGGUUUUGCGGUUGUUUUCGUGUGAAAUUUUGAAACUGUGCCACUUCGUAGUUUGAAAUUUUGAAUGUUGCCAUAUUUGUAUGCCAAUUGAAUUGCUAAACGUAUGAUUUUGUUCUAAACUAGAAUAAGAACAAAUUUAUAACUGUGAUCGACCACAAGAUAAAGAAGCUAAUUAAAUUGUUAAACGUAUGAUUUUGUUCUAAAAACUCUAUUCUCUAUUUAUUUUAAGCUUAAAAUGUCACUUUCGUUCUCUCACGCCAAAUUCUAGACUAUAACAAGAACAAAUUUAUCACUGCGAUCGACCACAAGAUAAAGAAGUUGAUUGAAUUGUUAAACGUAUGAUUUUGUUCUAAAAACUCUCUUCUCUAAUUAUUUUAAGCUCAAAAUGUCACUUUCGUUGAAUUCACAUCUCCCACGCCCAAUUCUAGACUAGAACAAGAACAAAUUUAUCACUGCGAUCGACUACAAGAUAAAGAAGCUGAUUGAAUUGUUAAACGUAUGAUUUUGUUCUAAAAACUCUCUUCUCUAAUUAUUUUAAGCUCAAAAAGUCACUUUCGUUGAAUUCACAUCUCCCACGCCCAAUUCUAUACUAGAAUAAGAACAAAUUUAUCACUGCGAUCAACCACAAGAUAAAGAAGCCGAUUGAAGCAAGCAUUAGUAGUAUGUUAUUUUAUGUUCCCUUGAUCGUCUUCUUCUUUUUGAAGAUGAUAAGUGAUCAUUAAUCAAACAAAACCAAGAACAUCGUCGGUCAGGAAUACAAUUCCACAACUAUGAAUGUAACAUAAAGAUAAUAUAUAACGUGUUCGACAUAAUCACAUCUAACCAAAUGAAAAGAUAACGCUCAUAAUCCUUAGCCGAGUGCAUAAACCGCAAAAUCACCAUCUAACAUUUGAACAAUUGUCAAUGAAGAUCAGAGGUUGACUCUCCUCGUCGAAGGGAGAUAUUGACCACUACCGAUAACAGGAGGAGAAAAUAGCACCUGAUUUGAUGUCGAUGAUUCUAUUACGUUGGAGUUUCAAUUUGAAGUGGUAAAUUAUGAUUUUAACUUAUGAUCUAUUCCAAAUUUUUGUUUGAUUUUGAUGAAUUGUGCGAGUUUUUUCAUUUGAUUUAAAAAGUGAUAUAGAGGAGUGCAAUCUGAUUUUGUUUAGUUUAACCUUUUGAUUCGAUUUGACACAGGAAUUUACAAUUUACACUUACAUUUUAACAUUAGAUGUCGACCUAGUUUGGGAGUGAGGUGCUUAAAAAAAAAAGCACACAUGAAAAAAAACUGUGAGGGUUUUAGGUGUUUGGUAAACUGAAAAAAAAGAGCUUAUUUUGGAAGCUGCUGUGAGAAUAAGCUGAAAUCAAAGGAAAAAGUUGAAGCUGCUAUUUGCAGCUUUGGAAAACUGGCUUUUUUUCAAAGCACACGGAGCUACAGUGCUUCUUUAAUGAAAAUACCCACUAUUAGACUGUUUUUUUUUUCCAAAAGCGCUUUUACAAAAAAGUUUACCAAACACUCUGCUGAUUUAUUUCACAGCCGCUUAUUCUCACAGCAGCUUUUUUUCAAAGCACAUCAAUACCAAACCAGCCCGUCAACUUACUCAUAAUAAGGCCACAACUUCGUAUUGGGCUCACUAUAACGAUACAGUUGUUCGUGCAUUUAUUUGUCGAACUUGAGACUAGGGGCGGAUCAACCUUGGGACAGGGUGGGUCGUCUAGUCCCUUCCCAAGCUCAGAAAUUCUUCGUAAAAAAGUUGUGCUACCCUUUGAAAAUUUUAGAUGCCCUUGAUAUCUGUCAUACAACUGCUCGAUGAAUUAUCUCUAUUAACACUGGACAAGGUAGCUGCUAGCCUUAUACCAUAUGUUGUCAUAUGUCGACGGGCGUGCAAUAUGACUUGACACUUCAGGCUCGAUGAAAUGCCAAUUUGCAUGCUACUACAUUCAUAAACAAUUCUUGGAUAGAUUAAGACAUUCUCCAGGUAAAUAAGGGUUGAAUUUGUGACAUUAUUGGGUAAAUCAAUUAGAGCAACUCUAAGGAGGGUGUAGUCAAACUAAGAUUUUAAAGGAUUUUAAAAGACUUUGAAAUCAGAGUGUAGUCAAUUAGGAUUUUAAAUGAGAAUUUUAAAACACUUUGAAAUCAUGGUAUAGUCAAGGUAGGAUUUGACAGGAUUUAAAAGAAUACAUCCAAAUCUAAGUGUAGUCAAUUAACAUUUUAAAAGUGUGCAUACAAAUAUGUUGAUAUUCAAAAUGUCAUAGAUUUUGAAGGAUUCUUAUAAGUGAGAGAUUUUAUACAUAACAAAGGCAAUAAAGAAUCUCACCUCCACCCCUAGGAUUUCUAUUUAAGCUUUCUCACAACUUGACUUCUCUCUUUCACCACGCCCUACUUUUUCCUUUCCUUUCAAUGCUAUGCAUGGCAGCCAUUGGCUGCCAUUCGCUGUACCCUCCAUAUUCUUUCAAAUUAGAGGGUUUUUUUUACAAAAAUUAGGUGUCUUUUGUUGAACAAAGUUUUGAUUUGAUAAAUUACUUCCAAGAAUGUAAAUUCAGGAAAUGAUCUCUGUGCAAGAUUAAACAAGAGCAUAAAGGACUAUAUAACCAAGAGGAAGACUAAUUGUAAUGGUUUUACUAGGCAAAUGCUAUUGCUAUCCGACACCAGCAAACUGAGAGUUAUCUUAAUAAACAUUUGUACCGUUCAAACAUCUCUUACUAAGCCGUAAAUAAUCUAGAGAAUACAAUGUUGAAUUUUAUAAAUGUGACAUCAAGGAUAAAUCUAGACAGUGACAUAUACAUGUGAAGACUGAGAAAUUGGGGGAGGUGACUAAGCAAUUGAAAUCAAAUUGAAUACACAAAAUAAAGACUUAGAAAAUAGUCAGUCAAUUGUUAACUUUCUGUGAUUUACCCCCAGCAGCUUGCUGGUGUUUCCCCUGGAGCAAUCACAACAAACCGGUCCUUGCACUUGCAAAUUAUAACUGACCAAAUCAUAGUGAAAAAUUUUAAUUCGUGCAAGAAAAUUCGUUGUCAUGAAACGUAUACCUCGAAGUAAUUUUGAGCUAAUAAAAUUCUUCUAUAUUAUCAUUUUCUCCCGUGUUUUCACCAGCCAUUUUUUCUCUGACAUAUUCUUAUGGUAUGUUCUUUUCUUAUCCUAAUUAUCCUAACCGCACCCAAAUCAAAAUGCUUCAUAUGGGUAUGGUUAAUCUCACAAAACAAGCUCGUCUCCUCACUGAUGAACUAAAUAUUAACGGACCAAGGCUGUAUCAUUCGAGUUAAGCCCUAGCCCGGUUGAAAUGAACCCACAUCAACACAAAACUAUACCUCAAUUCAAAUGAGAAAUCCAUGAAAAAAAUCCAUAUGAAUGUAUAGAAAUCCAUAUAAGCUCGCCCAAAUCCAUAUAAGAUUAUAAAAUCUAUUAAAAUUCUUUAAAAUCUUCUGAAAUCCAAAUUGACAAAACAUGUCCGUUUUCUCAACCAAAGCCCGUGCCUGUUUUGGGUAAAUGGAGGCCCCAAGAGCACCUAAAACUAACCUUUUUACCCCUUCCUCUUGAAGCCCAAGAGAAUGGAGUAAUUCAUCUCUUUGGAGCUUUUUUUGCGUUUACUUUUAUUUACAAACUUUUACCAGUGGUUUGUGAUAUUAUUUUCAGUAUAUUUUCUUCUACAAUUUUACAAAAAGCACCAGGUGCUUGUCAAUUUUUGUGCAAUUUAGUUAUUUACCCCUAAAUUAAAAUCAAUAUUCAUAAAAGCACUCAAAUUCUGGGCUUUUUUUUCUUCUUCUUCUGGGCAUUUGCAGUUCCAGUUCCUAAUACAAAAGAGCAACUUGUAAGGAUUGAAACAGAUCAAUUUCUUUCGACAGAUACAAAUUAAAACGAAAUAAAAUAUUGAACGAAAAUGAAAGGGAAGUGGGGGGAUUGAAUUUAGUUCUCCGACGUCCAAAUACCACACAGAAAUUGCGGCAUUAGAUAGCGAGGAGAACAUCUUUCUCGGCUCAUCUCAAAAUUAACACGCACCCAAUCAAAUUUAAGUGCAUGCUCAUACGAAAUUCAAAGCCUUUCCCUUUUUUUUUAAUUAAGAAAAAUACCCAAUAAAUCACAAAAAGAAUCAAAACCCAAGAAAAAGGAUUGAAUUUAUGAAGUGGGUUAUUUGAAAUGUAGCUGCUUCAGCGUUCUGAAUCUCCCAAAAGUAGCAGACUUGAUGGGGAUAAUUAAAAAAAGACCGAAGCAACACGAUCGAUUUUGCUUCAAGGGAACGAGUCGAUUUGGGAAUUGAAAAUCCGCAAUGACCAGAUAGUGAAGCACACAAAUAUUUCAUAUCACAUCGGAUUCAUAAAAACAAAAACUAGCGAAAAAUUUGAAAGGAAACGAUGGAGCAAACACGGAAAAUGCGAAGAGCGAAGGAAGGUAGUAAAUUUCAGAAUGGAGGAAGCGGCUUCUCUGAUGCCUCAAUAUAUAGAGGACCGAGAGGGAGAAGAGGUUCGGCGGAAACCCUAGUUUCCCUUCUUCUCCCUUGGAUGAAUUUACCAAAUGGUCCUUGCACCCCUUGGGUUUUUUUUUUUUUUUUGAGUUUUAAUAUUAUUCACUUUUAACGAAAAAUUAUAUUUUUAUUUUUUUUCAUACUAUUCACUACGCUUUUAUUUAUCAUUUUUUAUUAAAAUUAAAUUUUUUUUUAACUUUUCGUUAAUUUUUUUUUCCUUCUUUUUGAUAAGUGGUUAAUUACAUAUUUGUCCUCUAAAGUUUUGGACUUUUUUCACUUUGGUCUUUCAACAUUUUUUUAGUCUUAAUUUGAUUGGUGAAACUUUUGAAUGUGUGUUGGUUAAGUACAGAAAGGGGGUUUCAUUACAAAAGCCAUGGCCACUAGUUAACGAACAUUUCAGUAAUCCAUAUACUCUUGGCAAGAUACAAAGUGUGCAAAUCCUACAUCGCAUCAUAUCUUCAUAGCGAGAUGCAUUUAAAUGUGUUGACAAGGGACACAAUCGUUUAUAAAGCAUUGAUCAACCUAGGAGUGCACCGAUGUAGGACACAGCACACGCUAUCACACGGUCCCUAAGGUAUUACAACUAGUGUUUAAUGAUAGCCCCCAUUACAAUUGUCCUUGAAAUGGUUGAAGGACCAAUGGGCGGAAAAGAAAACAAUUUGAGGACCAAAGUGGAACAAACAUUAAGAUUCAUGGGGCAAAUUUGCCAUACACUUUAAAAACAUGUUCUAAUUGGUCUACGUUCAAAUUCAAAGUUCACUUUCACCUUUCAAUAGUUUGAAUCAAAAUACAAAUAUUAAGAAAGCUCUCAGCCAAACGGAUAUGGAGAAUACAGAGAUGGGAAAACGAAUCACAACAUGUAACGAAAAAUCUGACUCUUAGAAUUAUGCCAUACAGCAGGAAGUAAAACCGUCUGCUAUAGUAAGUGAUAACUGACGCCUAAAACAAGAGAAAAAUGGUGUAGGAGAUGCAUAAUUGCUCUCACAAAAUCGACAGUUCACAAGUCAAAUCUAAAUACAGUGUAAUACAAGGUGCAUCUGCAUUCAAAUCAUCGCUCAGUCAUCAAUCUGAACAAUCCAAGUCGAUGCUUCCUCCAAAGUCCAGGCCUCACCAUAGAUGCCUGACACUAUAUUCGAAGGACAAGUUAAAGCUACAUUACAGUCUUUCAGUUACCACGCUAAAUCUUUCAGUUCAACCAAUGACAGUCCAUAAAUAUCUGAUUGAUAAGCUGAAAGGAGAUUAACUUGUAUGGCAGGGACUUCUACAAAGCACAAAAAUCAGUUGAUGAAAAUUUUGCAUUGCUUCAGUUCAUUUGUUUUUAUGUUUUCGAAGUCUAAACUACAUCCUAAAGGAUUCGAAUAUAAUCUGGGACCUUUAUUCGAAAAACACCCCUAUAAGCAACUUCACCUUCUAUAGUUCUGUGUGUAUGUUUCUUAAUGGCCCGACAAGCACAUGUGAUGAAGUCUAAAAAUACUAGAGAAACCUCAGAACUAUUUUAGCAUAAAAUUGCCACAAUUCCUGGACUGUAACAGAAAGUGAUAAACCCUUCAUAAUGUUCGGAUUAUUUUUUUAUGGUGCUUUGAAUUCGUAGCAAAAGAAACCACUUCUCGUGUGUAAAAGUGAUAAUGGAGAUUCAGAUGAAGUCUAAUAAUCUAUUCAACUACAACAACUAAUUCAAGAAAUUUUGAAACUGCCCACUACAAAAGAGGGUCGAGUGGCUGCAAAGCCUGCAAUAAAGAAGGCAAUUCUUCUAUUCCAAAAUGGAUACAUAAACUGGAGAAGUUCAAUGUCACAAAGGAGGUUGAACCAAGAGCUGUAAACUGAUUCACUUUUAGAUGGCAUCCAAAUCCCACAUUAUCUAUUGAUUCAUGAUACCAUCGCAUCCAAAUGCAUCAUAGCAAAGUACAUACUACAAAGUCUAGUAUAACAUAAUGAUAAGAUGCUACCACCUAAUGAUAUCCGACAAGAGAAAACGGUUAGAAUGUUACCUCUUCCCAAACUCCAUUAAAUAUCGUGAGCCAUUGUAACACAAGAACCACAGUAACACAACGACCAAAGUAUCUGUCAAGAUUAAGGAACUGACAAAUGCAAUAAACAGCAGAAAGGAAGGGAGAGAACUCCAAAUUAAAUUUGACCAAUUAUGGUGGGAUAUACAGUUAACAUAUUGAAUCCUCAUAGUAUUACUUCCUCAACAUGCAUUUUCCUGCUAUUCAUCAAGAAUCAAGAUUCAUAAUAUUGCACCAGACGCUGAUGACCAAAAACACAAAUUUUUAUGAUACUUAUACGUGACAAUAUGGUAGAGACAAUUAAACAAACUAGAAAUAGAAUCAGUUCUUAGCACACGAUGAUCUAAGAAAAUGCCAGAAAAAAAGAGUCACUUUACCAAAUCAUAACAGAAAGAAGAAUUUUUUGUGAGCUAAUGAAAUGCUAGGUCCCUUUGACUACCAUUUUGCUUUUUAGUAUUUAGUUUUCACUUUCUGUGCUUGAUAUAUGAAGGAAAGGAGUGAUGCAGAAGUGUGGGUAGGAGAGAGGUAAGGAAAUAAGAAGAAUAAAUGAAAACAAAAUCUAACUACAAAUGGUUUUUGGUUUGCAUUUUGUGUGUCUUCCCAUAUAUUGUUCUACAUCUCACCCACCAUCUUUUCUCCACUCUUCUAUGUCCCUCAUUUCUCCCAUGUAUUUCCCUCUAUAUCUAACACAAAAAUGAAAACAAGAAACUAAAAACGAAAUAGUUAUCAAACAUUCCUAAUUGUAAACUCUAAAUAUACCAGAUCAAGGAAAUGAGUUCACUCAUUGAAAGUAUGUAAAUCCACAUGCUCUCUAAACUAAAACAGGACAAAAUAUCCAGCAUUCUGAAGAGAAGAGAAGGCAAAACAUAGGAUACUGAAGAGAUAACGCUCCCACCAAUCCAACAUAUAGAGCCCAAAUGUCACAUUGUAAAGAUAGAUCUUUCGUUGAACCCAAUUCAUAACUCCGGAAUCUACAAACAACAAGCACAAGAUUAGUGCCAGAUUAAGAUGUCUCAAGUCACAUAAAAGUCAACAAAACCAUAUCCCAAAGAUUAAAGAAAAACAUGAGUAAAUUCCAGGAUAAAAAAAAUCUAGUAGGAUGGAGUUGACUGUAAAGGUUAGAGCUUCAUUGUGAUCUUGCCCAUCUAUAUGCGCGCGCACACACACACACAUAUAUGUGUGCAUAUAAGUGUGUAUAUUUGAUUGGAUUCCUACAGAACUUUAAAUUGAGAAAACCACAAAUGGGUGUUUAAGAAAAUUGGGAUUGUGCACAAGAUUUAUUCUAACACAAACAACAAUCUACUUCUAUUCACAAGUAACUAAACAGAUCAGUAGCUUUACAAAUUUGUCAAAUCCUACAAAUUAUGUAUCUUUUUACCGAAUCUUUCUCACCAACCAAUCAGAGAGGAAGUAGCUGAUGACUAACCGGUUUCAGAGAACGACACGGUGAGUUCAGCGGAGCUGGCCGGAGACGAUGAAUCGUUUUGAGAGAGAGAGAGAGAGAUUUGAGAUGGCAACUAGCGAAAACGAGUUGGUUUGACUCUGACCAAAACAAAGGAAAAACUUGUUCGACCCACUUUAAAGCCCAUUUUGUCAAUUCAUCAAUGAGGCCUUUUAGGCCCAUUAGGAUUAAAUUGGGUAAAGCUUUCUGGAUCGGACUUUCCCUUAGGCUUGGGCUUUCUAGCCUCUAGAGUAGCUUUAUCAACAUUCUCACAUGUUAUGUGUUAAAUAGAUGGAUGAGUAAGUGAAAUAAGGUCUCAUGGUAUUAUUAGGAAAUACUAGGGAGAUCAUCCACUUGAACUAAUGUUUGGUAAACCACAUGAUACGAUGAUUGAUGAUUGGAUUUUUUAUUUUUUUUAAUGAUAUCAACCUUCCCAUCGUGUGGUCUACAAACUAUGGUCUAAAACAUGGUCUCCCUUACAUUUUUUUUUUUUAUCGAGAACCACAUUAUUGGUGUACACUGUUUAGUUUUCUAUUUCAAUGCUUGUUUGGAAGACUUUGUACUUUUAAAAUUAGGAUUGAAGAGUCAGAUUCUCCUGUUUUAUUUAUCGUGAUAUUUUUCUCACAACGUGUCAUUUUAAAAUGUAAAUUUAGUUCAUGAUAUUUACGUUAAGUUUUGAAUAAUUUUGUUUGUUUUGUUUGUUUGUUUGGUUUCCUUUACCAGUUUUCCAAAAUUCUAUGGAAACCUUCAUAAACCUUUUUUUUAUAGAAUUUUCACCUAACCAUAAGCUUCUUUAUUAAGGGAUUCUUUGUCCUUUGGCCAUUUAACAAUGAAUAUAAGAAUACGUCAAAGACAUUUUGAGUUUAAUGACAAUUCUUGAGAAAUUGAGCUUAUCAUGUUUUGAGAAAACUUUGGUGGAAGAUUUCUUUUCAAUUUUUGUUGCCAAAAUGAUUUUUGAAGUUUUAGAUGUCCCAAAUGUAAAAACGAGGUUAAAAAUACUAAAACUCAUGUCAUGUUAGCAAAACUAACGCAUCAUUAAACUUAGUUGAUGAAAUAAAAUAUUCAGGAACACAGAUGGUAACCACAAAAAAUAAAGUAAGACAAAACAAAAUGUCAAAGAUAAAACUCAAUGAGACAAACAUAGCACCGAGUGUAAAUAAUUACUAACAAUUGUCAAGAUCAUCAUCAUCAUCAUCAUCAUCAUCAUCAUCAUCAUCAUCAUCAUCAUUCAUCACCAUCAUUGUCAUCACUUUUUCCUAAUUGAAGAAGUUAGUACACAUUUAAACUAUGCUAAAUUGUUCAUCCACUACUUAUCUUAUCUUAUCUUAUCUUAUACUUUUUUUUCUUUCCUUUGUUUAAUACCUAACAACUCCUUGUUUCCACAUAACUUAUCACCUUCACACCUACCAUUUCCUCUCUGCUUUUCAGCUGAAAUUCCAUCAUAGCAAAGCUCCAAACUCAGUUGUGCACCACGCUAACCUUAAUAAAAUAACAGAUCCUAAUCAAGAUGUUAUAUUUUAUGGACCUAGUCGUUGCUUGUAUGAUAUCCUUGUUGAAAUAGAAGCCAAACGCAAAAAAGUGAAACCUUUUUUACACUUGGCCUUACAAUUAAGACUUAAAACAAACGAUAAGAUUAUGUUUAACCAAGUGAAUCAUUCAAUUUGUCCUCGUCAUACAUUAGGAUUCGGUUCCUUGUAUAAUUGUAGAAUCUCUUACGACGUUUUCAUAGCUUAAUCUGAUAGAAAAUAUAACAGGCUUUCUGUUUUUGUAUAUAAAUGCUUAAGAAUCUUGUUUUUUUCCCCUCAAACUCUAUUGCAUAUGAGCAAACUGCAAACUCAUAUUCAGUGUUUGAGGGUUUAUUGUUACGGUAGUUUGAUAUACAUUGUUGACUUAUUUUUAACAGUUUAUGCUUAUAUACAGUUCAAUUGUUUGUAUAACAUUGUGUUAAAGUUCUCGUUCGUGAAGAGCCGGUUUAGUAUUACGUUAAAAUACAUUGUUAAAACUUACCUCUCGUUCGCGAAGAGCCGUAGCUCUUGAUCAUAUUUAAGUAUUCCAACUGCACCAUGUCACUGUUCAAUCAUUAAAAUACUCAACUCAAUCGUGUUGCCGCACGCCAAGGCAAUUUGUGAAUAUUAUAGACGAGAUUGGAGGUUAAGCGUAGCAAGUUAACUAUCCAUGACUCCAAUUAAUAAACCAUUUUAAUAGAUCUUUUUUGCAUUGUAAUUAUUUUCUUCGAGCUUACCUGUCGAACAAAGCUAAUAAAUUAUUCAUGCUUUCAGCUAUCUUUUUCUAGAUGGUGAUCAGCUACCGGCCAUGGAUACAUCAUCAAUCGUUUCCACUCACAAGGUGUUACAAUAAUUGCAAAUUAGGGUUUCGUUUUCACCAUAUUGGUCGUCCCCAUAUAUACAGUGAGAUUUCUAAUGCUAAAUGUCAAACUACACCAGCGGAUUCCUCACGCCACAUAUCUUGUACACGAGUUAUAGCUUACUAUCAACUAGCUACAGUAAGAACAUAAUUGAGUGUCAAACAAUAAUGCACACGUGAUUGGACCAAAAAGAAAAAGAGAACUUUAACGAAAAGUUCAUGACACUGUUUAUUAUAAUUAAAAAUCACAAUUUUACACUAAAAAGUUAAUUAUAAUACUAUUUAUUUUACUUUUUAUUUUAUCCUUAUCGUUAAAACUCAAAAUUUUCAAAUUCUUUUCAUUAGUUUUCCUAAAGAAAAAUUAGGUACUUAUGUGACAAAAUAAUUGUUUGACAAUAGUCCCGUAAGUGUAUUUGGCUUUACUUGGAAUGGUGGAGUUUCUGAUUCAUCGACCGUACCAAAUUAAGCUCUUCCGUGCAAUAAAUUUGUAGUUUAACUGGUUUUUCUAUGGACGCGUAGAAUUGUGUUCAAUUUCCUUUUCGGAUAUCGCAUGAAAACAAAUUGCUGACGGUGCUUUUGUUUGUUUUUCAACUCAAAGGCAUGGUUUUUUCCUUGAGUUAAUAAUAAUCAAGAGACCAUGACCAUAAACAAGUAAGAUAAUCUACGCAUCUCUACUAAUUAAUAAAACUUAUUGUCAACUAAAACCUUAUGAAAUUAUCAGUUUAACUCUCUAAUUAAAACAUAACAUGAAUAAGAAAUAUGGAGUAGAAAUGUAAUUUCACACAACCAAAUUUUUUGUUUUUUUUUCAAAGCAUCACCUACAGGUAAUUCUAACAUAUCUAUCUAAUUAAAAAUAAAUAAAAAAUAACAAAAAUUCUCACAUACUUUGUGUGUGCCCAUAUGCUAGUUUGUAUUAUAAAAUGUGAUCAGCACGUUUUUAAGCACAAAAUUCAUUGCAAGAUAAUCUGCAUUUGUAUUAUAAAAUGUGAUCAGCACGUUUUUAAGCACAAAAUUCAUUGGAGGUAGGGGUAUGAUUAAGAAAUAAUUUACUUGUCUACCAUAAUUCGUGAGCAUGAAAGUUGGGUAAAGAUGUGGGAAUAUUUGCACUGAUUUGAGACAUGAUUAACACGAGAGAGUACACAUCUUUGCACCUUCUGUUCAUAUUAUUCAAACCUAUCAAUUGCAUGAAUAUUUUCUUCGCUGCAAUUUCUUAAUUAUAUAUAAAUAAUCAAUUAAAGUACUUAAUAAGAAAUUAAGAAGAUUAAAUUAUUCUUUGUUUACAAACGAUAAGCUAGCAGAAUCUGUACGUCAGUUUGGAAUCAAUUAUACGUGUAGAUCGCUACCAUAAAACUAAGAGUAUAAAACUAUCUAAUCAAAGCUUUAAUUAGCACAUGCCCUUUCAAAAAAAUUUACAACAUCUUGAAUAAAUCUAGAACUUAGCAUGUUAUUACGUGUAAAUUUAUAACAACACAUGUUAUAAGGCGUAAAUCUAUAGCAUCACAUGUUAUGUAUACGAACAAAAGUUAUCUCUAAUUUGAUGUUAGCUACAACUAAGAGGCUGUUAGACAACCUAUCACAUUGUCUUCAACCAAGGCUUCAUAGUCUGUGAAGCAUUUGAUAUCGUAUUAAGGAAAGAAAACACUCUCGGAUCCUCUAGUUUCUCCACGAACCUGGCAUUGAACGUGGUCGUAUCGUAUACUUGACUCUUAUCUUACUCUAUAUAACUGCCUGCAGCUUUCAGAAAGAUAAGUGAGAAUAAUUGGAGAGAUGGACAGUCGUGAUCAUAUCACAUGCCCUAUUUUUUUUCCAUCCUGGCUUUUCCCCCACAAAACCGUACAACUCUACAAGCACCAGUGAUCCUUGCCCAUCACUAUAUAAAUUAUUAGCAUCUUACUCAGCCUCUUGAUAUGGCUCACAAUAAGAAAAUUUACAGAUCAUAAGUAACAUAUGUUGAUACAGUGUAUCAAAUUCAUUCAAAUUAUUAUAGGCUCAUUUGGAAGUGUUUUUAAAAUAACCGAGCAUUUGCACUGCUUUCUAUAAAAAGCACAUAAUUUGUGCUUUAUUCAGGAAGAACUUCAAGUGCUUCUGGAAUUUAAAAACACUUUCACCAAAAACAUUUUCAGUUAUUUUAAAAGCACUUCCAAAUGUGCCUAUAACCCGAUAGCAUUGAGCUCUCCAUUUUUAAAUUUGAGAGACUGCCCUAAAGAAAGAUAGGAAGAUAGUGUUGAAAUAUCUCACAUCGACCGUAUCUUUGAGAAAAUAAGAGUUUAAAUAUCUCAACCCUACUUCAACUAAUAUCAAGAUCCUUUUGUGAUAAAACCUCACGCCUAGUGAAUUGUGAUUCAACAGAGGAAGACCGUGACACCAUUUAUAUGUUUAGAAUUUGACCUUAUUAUCCAUAUGAUUCUUUGAAUUAACAAGUGCCAUAUGUCCUUUCCUUUUUUGUCUACAACUAAGAACAGGAUAAGGCCUACUAUACCCUCCCUAUCUAGCAGAUGAUUGUUAUCCUCUUUGUCAAGAUUUAUCUGCUACCAUUUUCUUGUUCAUCAUCCUUUCCUUUUUUCCCCUCCCGUUUCCCCGUUUAAUUUGAUUUUAGGCAUAUUUAUCUACCGAGUAAUUUUUGGUGUAUCUCAAAUUCAGCUAUGUAGUGUUAUUAUUAUACCGUGACACGGUGAUACCGUUCAUUUUAGUAUAACACAUGAAAUAAUGUACCGCUUAACUUAUGUUUCUAAACUUAUGUACAACCUAUAGAAAUUUAUGUGCCUAUAGGUAUCGUUUGGUAUGCAGACGGGACGGAACAGAGAGGGAGCAAAGAUGCUCAUGGAUGGAAACAAGGAGGAAGAAGAAGGAAACGGAGAGAUUAUAAUUUUGUGUUCCACGGAUGUGGAACGAGUUGAACAAGAGGGAUGAGACGGAACGAAAAUUCACCCAAAAUUCGUCUCGUGGAACAACGCGUUCCACCCGUUUUAGGCGUACCAAACAUGGGACGGAACGCCUCAUCCCACUCCGUUCCGUUCCGUCCCACGUAGCAAAUGGUACCACAAAGAACGAUUUUUACAUCUCGUCCAUAAGAUUCAGGUGAACUGGAUAUUAAAAGCCAUAUAUAUAUAUAUAUAUAUAUAUGCUGUGUCAACAGCAUGCUUGCAUGCAGUACAAUUGUCCAGCCGUGUAGUAUGAACUAGGACUAUAUAUUAAGACCCAUAUGGUGUUCUGUCAAUAUAUUCCUUCAGUUGCAUGCAAUACAAUUUCUGAAAAUAUGUUUGUUUUUUUGUUUUUUUUUUUGGAAACUAUAUGUUUGUUUGUUUGUUUUGCCAUCAUAACUGAUCAGUCUUUUACAUCAGCCAUUCUAAAGAUCCUCCAGCUAGUGCAAUUUAAUUGGGGUGUGAUUGCAAAAUAUGACAACAUAAUUAUGUAGAAGAAAACACAGAUAAAAGGGUAAAACAGCAAAUUCCUAAGAUCACCAACUUAAAGAAAAACCCAGCGACCUAGAUUUGGUGCGUUAUCGAUGUAGUCAUGGUGAUCGUGAGGCUUUGAUGUGGUACAUAUAUUAUUACAGAGCUUAGAUAUAUAAAGAUUAUGUUAAUGACGAUUGACGAUGAUGUUAAGUAUUUUUAACACCAAUAAUCGUCAUAACAACAACAAUACUGAAAGAAAACAACAACAUUACCAAUAUAAUAUCAACAAAGUUCAUGCAACAUAUUGUUUACACGUUUUAAAUUGUACAUGCAACAAACCAUAUGGUGCAAACAUAUAUUCUUUGAUUCGUCAAAGAGCAUUAUGCAUUAUCCCCAUGUGCAACCACCAUUUAUCAAACCUUAUCCCAACCCUUUUGUGAAUUAUUGGUUGAUGAAUGCACGAAAGGUAUGGAUAAUAUAUAUAUAUAUAUAUAUAUGACCAUAUUAUAGGGAGAAAAUUUAGGGUGUAUUUAGUUUACUUGUUAUUAUUUUACAUGUUAUAAUAUGAUCAUGAGAGGAUGACAUGGUUCAUAUGUUUAACUUUUAAAGUAUACUAAUGAAUAAAAGAUAAUAAUUGCAUCCACACAGGGAGAAUGCACAACGCCUCUUGCAAUAAUUACAUAUCUUUAUCGUCUAAAUUUAUAAUUGGAACGGUUCAUUUAUUUAUUUAUUAUUUUAUCUUCAUUUGAGUAUUACUUACAAAAAUUCAUUCAAAUCCGAGAUUGCUAUGCAUUCAAAUGUCAUAGUGUUAGUUCCAAGUAUCAUAUUUAUGAUAAAUCGUCUAUUUAUUUAACUUAUUUGGACGAUUAAACAAUUUAUGAUUUGAAUGAUUUAUUUAUUGACAGUUCUUGUGGAGACAUAAAUUAACUAUAUCUAACAGAAGGACACACGGACUAUAUGCUUAGUAUAACAGUUUUACUAUUGAUGUCGUGAUAAUAGUACCAUGUGACAGUAUUUCAGGUGCACUGAAAUCGGCAUAUAUUAGUCAUUUUCAACCAAAACGUAUAUACAUACAAGCAUGAAGGAGGUACAUGUGUUUCAAAAAGUUAGUGAGAGACGAGAUUCGAAGAAAUUAAAAACCGAAGCCGUUUAUAUAUGCAGAAGAGGUUAACUCUUUAGUACUCUCUAAAGGCAAGCAAACCAGAUGGUGAAAGCUGAGUAAGGCGCACCAAUACCAGUCGGACUUGAAAUGAGCCGGAGUAGAGAAGCAUGGCUUAUCCAUUAAUCCAAAAGCCACACAUCAUCUCUUGCGAAAAGCUAUGUACUUAACAUUUUUUAUCUUGUCACUUAGUACUACGGUCUGGUGAUAUUCGUUUUCACUUGGAAGUGAGAUGUCUUAGGUUUGAAUCUCAUGGAUGACAAAUUCGAUACAAAAUUAAGCUGCCCAUUGUGUAGCUUAGUCAAAUUCUCUCUUCCUUUAGUGUAAAAAUGUCGAUAUACUAAAAAAAACAGCUUAAAAGCCUUUCUUUUCUUCUACUCUAAAGUUAAAAAUAUUAUAUUUGAUGAUUAGGAUUCUUUUAAAAUUAAAAUAGAAGUUAAUUUUCAUUUUACUUCAAUACUUGUGGAACAUGAAAUUCUAUCUAGGGUUUUGUUCAAUUAGUAAAAGGGAACUGAUUUACACCAACAAGUUUGGUUGAGUUGGUAAAGAUUGUUCUCUUUACUAGAUCACUAUCUCGGUUCAAGUUCCAUUGUUAGCAAUUUCUCUUACUAGGCAAUCUGUUAAAAAAAAAGGGCUAAAACCAUAUCUAAAGAAGAUGCGAAAUCUUAGCUGAAAUGUCAACUAAUCACUUUUAACAGCAAAUAUUGCUCCAACUAAACAAUCUUUUAGCUGACCUGGAAUGACAGCCAGGCCUUAGGCGUCAAUUUUGACGCUGCGUUAAUUUCUACUUUAUAAUUUUUUUAAUUCAUGGGGCCCAUAAUAUAUUACAAGAUAAAGCUUUAAAAAUGAUUUUAUUGUUUAUUUUAUUUUAAAGUGGGCCUAAUAUGACAGUAAAAUAAUAAUUAAGUACCGGUUUGAAUAUAAAGAAAUUUGACAUCAUGCUUCAAAAUACUAAAUCAACCAUCAAUUAAGAAUUUGAUAAAAAAAAAUUGACAUACCCAUUGGAGAUGCUCUAGAACCCUUUUGUAAGUCCUUAAGAGCAAUUCCACCGGGAAAAAAAUGUCUCAGCCCUCAAUCCAAAAAACAAGCUGGCCCUCAGUCCAUUUGCUCCAGCCCGUGGAGUUGCAUGGCACCCAGCCCAUGCCAGGCAACAGCUCAGCACGUUUUGGACUGACCAAGAAGCUGGCCUGUUUCUCAAGCGCGUGCAACACAAGCGCGCAAGGCGCGAGUGGGUUUCAGGCUUUCCUGAAAAUGUGUCAGCCCACUUGGGCUAAGUGACGUGGCGUUAUGAUAGCCGUUGGAUUUCCAACGGCUAGUUUUUCUAGAUCGUUGGAUUUCCAAGGGUAAAAAAAUUUAAAUUUUACUUUUAAACUGGACCGUCCGAUCAAAGAUCAACGGUCCAGAUUAAUUAACUUAAUUAAAAUUUAUUAAAAAAUACAGAAAAAUUAUUAAAAAAUACAGAAAAUUUAAAAAAAAAUUAUUUUUUUCUUUCUAUAGUUUAUCUGAUGAGUUUAUGUAAUUUUAUUUUAGUGUGUUUUUUUUUAAGUUUAUUUGAUGAGUAUGUAAUUUUAUUUCAGUGUUUUUUUUAAGUUUAUUUGAAAUUUUAUCCAAAAUUGGUUAAAAAUCAUAUCCGAAAUAAACUUAAAAAAAAAAACACACCAAAUAAAUGCGUUGGGUGCCAGCGCAUUUUUUUAGGGAUGGAGAUGCUUUGGUCUGUUACUGUUCAUUGGGGUCUAUUACUGUUCACUUGAGUGGAUAAAUGCGCUGGGUGCUAGCGCAAAGUCCUUAGGGGUGGAAUUGCUCUAAAUAGGCCUAUGAUAUGCCCAGAUCCUAGGAUGGGCCCCUCCCGGUAAACUUUUUUUUUAAACAAAAAAGGAACUGAUUUACAUAGAUUUGUUUUUUUUGUUUUUUUUUGGACAAGUACACGAAGCUUUAAUAAAAACCGAGGGCAAAAGCCAACUGAACACAGAAAGCCCACAAAAGGGCAAACACAGCAAAACAGACAAAGGGCUAUGUGAGGGAGAACAACUGAACAAAGACACUACCACAAAUGUGAGACGUCAUCCCAACACACACCCACACCAAAAAACACUUACAUAGGGCAAGGAAGUCCAUCUUUGUUAAGAAUGAAUAAUUCUCAACCAUCCAUAUUUAUUGAUGACUAUUAGAAUGAAUAAAUCAAACAAAACAAGAACAUGAUUAAAUCAUCUUCAAAAGAGAUGUCAAAUCCUAAGUGGAAUGUCAUGUAAUCAAAUUUGAAGAUACAAUCAAGUUCCAACUGAUAUGUCAAUCUUACAUGGAUUGACAUAUGAGAAAAUGCGAUGUCAAAUAAUUUUUAAUUAUUUUAUUGUGUGGGUCUCAUUAAUGCAUCAAUUAUAGAUCUUAAAAUUUUAUUUUAAAUGAUUUAUUUUUAAAAUGGGUCCUACAAAUAUCAUUUAUAACAAAAAAAAAGGUUGGAAAAAAAGAAAAUAUGACAUUGCUACGUCAGCCAUCAAAUUAACAUUUGACAUUUAUUUUUUGAUAUCUCCAUUGGAAGAAGUUUUUUACUUUAAUUUUGACAUCUAAGCAUGAAUCUGUGUAUUUAUCAUUUCCUUUAAUAAAAUUAACCUCAGAACACUUAAUCUCUCCUUUAUUAGAAGAAGUUUUUUACUUUAAUAUUGUAACAACGUUGUUAAUUAAGAACUUGGAAAAUUAAAGGUUACUCAGUCUCCAACCUGUAAACAUUAUUUGUAAGAGCUUAAACUGAUAUAAAGGGGGACCAAUGUUUGAUUAAUUUAUGUUCAAACAAAAAUUCGAACCAAUUAAUUAAUACAAUCACUUGUUAGUGAAUGGCUUGGUUCAAGGGAUCAGGAUCCUCUCCUGAGCAGAUGGAGAGGAUCCUCCUGACCAGGCUCAUCGGGCCGUUCAUUUUUUAUCCAACGGCUACAAACAGGAGGGCCCUCUAAAAGUUAUAAUAAUUAUAACCGUUGGAUAAAAAAUGAACGGCCUGAUGGCCUUGGUCAGGAGGAUCCUCUCCAUCUGCUCAGGAGAGGAUCCUGAUCCUGGUUCAAGUAGUAACCUAGACAUGAGGUGCUAACAGGUACAGAAGGCCCCCACCCCACCUAAAGCAAUGAGGGCUUGAUUCAUGUCGUUGUACAUAUUUUUUGAACUUUAAGGAAUGCAUGUAGCCGUUUAUUCGGAUCAAAUAAACCCUCUUAGAAGUUUAUUUUAUUUUAUUUUGUUGGGAAAGAAAGAGAAAAUUGAAGUUUCAAAGAAACGGAUGUUCACUUAUGCAACAGGUAAUCACUUAUCAAUUAUGUGCCUUUGUUGAGAAUUAAUCUCACUCGAAUAGUAUCUUGCAUAUGCUUAUAAUCAAUUAGUAUCAAAGCAGGUUAUCUUACGCGUGAAGUGUUCAACGACCACACACCACGUCAUCUUAUUUGUUUUGUUCAUGUGAUAGGCUUGAAUAUUUGCUACACAUGAGAGGGCGUGUUGAGAAUGAGACACACAUCAAUGAAGGAUGGACCUUGGAUGAGCUUCUAAGCAAUGGCGAAGCCAGGAAUUGACGGGGAGAGGGACGAAGUUAAAAAAGUGCAAGGUUCAAAAGAAUAGCAACAACCAAAUUCUUUUAUAUAGUAAUGUCUUACAUAAUGUAUUAAUACAAACAAAUUACAAUUUUUGUCGACGAGGUUUUAUAUCAUGAAAGGCUCAUUAUCAAUAAAAGCAAAUACAUCUUUCUCAAUGUAAACAAGCAUGCUAUCACUCAACCAUUGAUCUCCCAUUUCGUUCCAUUACGUAACUGUAAAAUAGAAAGGAAAAAAAAAAUCUUAGACUCUUAAUCCUAGAGUAGACUAUAUUAAUAUGCAUAAUAACUAAUCCAACCAACAAUUCAAUUAAUCAAUACCAAUAGGCAUACAAAUUAUUCAAUAAAUAAAAAUUCAAUUCAACUAAUCAUAUAAAUAAUUGUACACAUUAUGUAAUAAUUCAAUUAGUUAAUCAAUAAUCAAGAAUUCCAAUUUUAAUUUUCACCCUAAAAAUUAAUUUCAUAAUUUCAUAUCAAUAAUCUUUGAAUCAUAUUAAUAAUCAACAACCAAUAACCAACUUAGUGUGUGACAGCCCGUCUCAAAUGUUCUUAUUAUUUUUACCCUUGAUAGCGUGGAAUGACCUAUAUUGCCCUUGAAUGUUAAGUUGUGGUGGUGUGUUUGAGCAUAGGUUUUGGACCCAAUUAGAACUUAAAAUUUUAUUUGUUUUUUAGGUUGCCCAAACCUGGACCACACACACCCACACAAACCCGUUGACCUCUCUCUCUCUCUCGGAUUUUUCUUCCAUUUCCGUACAACUGUACGGACAACCUCUCAACCAACUUCAUCACUCACGGAUCGAAGUUGUGGAAGUCGUAUUCAUGCUUCUUGCAAGCUUAGGAACCAAAACCAGGCCAUACCAUUAGUUUGGAGGUUGGACCUCGAAAACCCUAGAAACUCGCAAGCUCCGGUGAGGUGCAUUGUUCACUCGACGUGAUCGCGAAGGUUUCAGUUAGUUUUGAGACUUAGAAAGGUUUUAUUCUUGCUUUUCUAGUACUUUAGGUUGCUUUUGGAGUAAUUUUAACGUAGAAACACUCGGGUUUAGUGCAUUGCAGGUGGGCGGAUUAUCAUGACUUUUUCCAGCGAGAUUCCGGUGAAUUUAGGACCUAUAAGUGGUAAGGAUGUGUUCCUUUCGUCCUAAGCUUCAUUUUGGUAUAAAAUUCGUGAAUUUUGGUUAAGAAUUGAAGAAGAUAUGAUGAUUAUAAGUUUUUCCAGAAACUAGCAGUUGCAGAGGUCAUCGGCGCCGGACUCCGGCGAGCUAAGGUUGAAGGAAGGGAAUAUUCGGUCAAAGUUGACGGAAUAUGCUAACGGCGUUAGGUAUAUUUAACGGUAUAUUCUAUUAUUUAACGGAAUAUUCCCUAACGACGUUAGGGAAUCCGUUAGUGUGUCAGGCACGUGCCUGCGCGUCUGGCCGUGCCUUGGCCGACGCGUGAGUGGUCGGAAAAUUCUUCUAAAAAUAUGGGGUUGUUCCUGAGGUUGAGUAGGCCACGGUGGUAUAUUCAAUUACCCCAAUUGAGCAAUGUAUGAGAAGUUAUUACCUAGUUUUGUUUAUGUGCUUAAAAAUAACAUUUAAAUAGUUGUUUCACAUAUAGGUGAGACAUAUCCUAAGGACAAGCACAUUCAAGCAAGGCUCGGGGGUUACGACCCUUGCACAUAUCAGUGAGUGGACUUUUGGUUUCAGUAUAUAUAUAUAUAUAUAUAUAUAUAUAUAUAUAUAUAUAUAUAUAUAUAUAUAUAUAUAUAUAUAUAUAUAUAUAUACACAUACAUACUUGGUAUUUUUCCCAGAAAACUCAAUUAAAUGGUUUGCUACUUUGAAAUGCCAUGUCAAAUGCUCUCUAUGUUUAAUCGUGCAUUAAUAUGGUUAUAUAUAUAUUGUUGCUCGACGCUGUGGACGCUCAGGUAAGCUUCAGGUGAGUAUAUUGAUGGUAGUGAUGGUAAUGAGUAUAUUAGUGCUGAGAUGUAUUUCGAGCUAUUUAUCCUGCACCCCGGUGUUAGUGCUCCACCUGAGGACAGGGCCUAGCCUUCACGUGAUCGUUCACCUCCCGCACCACACGCUCACCUUGGAUCCAAGGCAGGUGUCAGCCUAUCGUACAGACCACUUUAGGUGGUUCCGACUCGUAGGUGACUUGCGAUACUUCGCACAGCCUUCACGUGACGGUAGCACUUAAGCGUAUUUGUUUACACCUAGCAUGUCGUACAGACCACAUUUAGUGGUUCCGACUCGUGUGCAGAAUUUGAUUGAUGAGUUGUGGACCCAGCCGUACAUGUCACUUUAGGUGACUCCGGCUAGCAUACUAGUUCAUAUUGAUUUAUUGCACCUGAGUUACUUAUUUCUUUCUGAGAUUUGACAUGGUAUAUUCGGUGGAUUUGCUAUUUUGAAUAUGAUUUUGGGAUAUAAUCGUAUAUGCUAUUUUCUGGGAAUUAUACAUGUUUUACGGUGAUGGGUUACUACUUUUAAUAAAUGAAAUGAUUUUAAAAAGCUUUUUUUUGCCCACUCACACUUUCUGUUUUGUGCCCCUCCAGGUUUUAGGUAAGAGUGCUCGUUGGUGGCUCACGAGGAAUCCAAAACAGUUAUGACAGAUUAUCACUAAUGUAGGACCAUCUUUGGUAUUGUAUAAUUAGUAUUCGUCCUACUGGAUUGCACUUAGACUAUCUACGCUAUGGUUAUGUGUAGUCACUUUUAAUAUCGCACUUUCACCUUAUCUCAUCUAGUGUUUUAGUCAGUUGGUUUUAUUUAUUCGCAUUUUUAUAUCAUUAUUGCUUCCACACUGUGCACAUGACUAUGUCACCCUCAUGUGACGGCCAACAUGCCUCGAUAUUAGGUCGGGGUGUGUCAGUUUGGUAUCAGAGCCUAUGUUUCGCAGUCCCGCAUAUCUUGUGAAUAUUCUAAUUAUUUUAGGUGUCUUCUGUCAGAACUAUGCCGCCUCGUAGAGAGCCACGUCCUUCAGCUGAGCCUAGUUUCCCUAAUAUUGUUUAGUUAGGGGAAGCUAUAGCUAAUGUUAUUCAGUAUUUGCUUCGUCCUCCCCAAAAGACACCUCUGGAGACUGUGUAUAAUUUGAAGUUGAAUCAUUCCAUGGGUAAUGAAGGACAUGAAGGAGCAGAGCAGGUGGCUCAAUCAUAUUGAAAAGACUUUAUGUGCGAUGCAGAGUCAGUAGAGUUUUCCUCCUGAUAGGUGGGUCGAGAUGACUACCUGGUUUUUAGGUCCGGAACCUGCAUCUUGGUGGAGACACGAGUCUUAUCAGUUAUCACCAGAGGAAGCUGCUAAUUAGGAAGUUUUUACGCAGUUAUUUCAGAAGAGAUUUAUUCCUCCAGAGUUUAUAGAUCGCAAGAAGCAAGAAUUCACGCACCUAAAGCAGGGAAAGAUGACAGCUAAUGAGUACUACAUGAGGUUUACUUAUUUGUCCCGAUAUGAUCCGGAGGUUGCUGCUAAUUCAGUUGAGAUGCUUCAUCGUUUCAGAUUGGGUACUCGGAAGAAAUUACGUUCUACGGCGACCACGACUUCUUGUGCUACUUACCAAGAGUUUUAUGAGAUUCUGCUGCGGAUUGAAGAUUUAGAGAAUAUGCCUAAUGAGAGUGAGGAGGAGGAAAAUAAUGGAAAUCAGAAGAAAGAUGAUAAAGGUGAGGGUCAAUCAUCUCAAAGACCUCGUAAGACCCAAAGUUUUAAGAGAAGUGGCGCUAGUUCUAGUUCUUCUAGCAGAGGUAUGAGUUCCACUGGUCAGAUAAGAGGUGGUAUAUUUUUUGGAGGUCCUCGUUUUCAGAGGUAGAGAGAUUUUGGUGGUUCUAGAAGUUCGUUUUGUCGUAGGUGUAAUAGUCGACAUUUUAGGGAGUGCAAGCAGGGUAGUAGAGGAUGUUUUAUCUGUGGUCAAUUGGGGCAUAGGGCUAUGCUUUGUCCUCAUAAUCAGUAGAGGCCCCAGCAGCCUUCCUUACCACCACUUGGGCCGACCCAGCAAGUUUCAGAACCUAGUGGUUAUGCCCAGACGGGUCAUGGAGGUGCUUAUCAUUAUCAGGGCAGUGUAACUCCUUAUUCUGCAGGGCAAUAUCCGUACCCACAUGACCCGUAUCAGCAGAGUGGUUACCCUCAGUAUUCUGGAGGUUAUAUGCCAUAUUUGCCAUAUUCAGCUGUUGGAUCACAAUGGUACCCUGGAGGACAAUCCCAACAUGUGGAGGUUGCUUCUAGUAAUGCAGGAUCAUCGAGGCAGUCUAAUCAGCCAGUUCAGGGGCGUAAUGUGCAAGGUCGUAGUGGUCAGACUAGCAGAGGUUGUGGAGGCCGACAACAGGCUCAGGGACGUAUUCACCACAUGACACUACAUGAUGCUCAGAAUAAUUCUGAUUUGAUCAUGGGUACGUUGAAUAUUCUUGGUCAUUUUGCUAGAGUAUUAAUUGAUUGUGGUGCUACGCAUUCUGUUAUAUACCCAUGCAUAUGCGUGCAAGCAUAACAUGACAUGUGAACGCAUUAUGUACCGUUAUCGUUUUGUUUUGUGUAUUUUUUUUAUAAAUUUGUACGUAAAGGAAGAAAGCACAGGAUUUGAAAUAAUUAUUUUUUCUUUUGAUGCUAUUUAUUAUACUUUAUUUAAAUGCAUUCGAGUAAAUUGGAAAAAUAAAAUUUGAGUGAAAAACGUGAUUAAUGAAUCACUUACAUUCCGCCUACCAUGUUCUUAAUUUUUUUUUUCAAGUUUGAUGGCUUACAAGUUUAGUGGUGAAUAGACGAAAACCUUAUUAAAACAACAUAGAUUAAGUUGCAUUAUAUCUUGUAAUUUUUUCCGUCGGUGGGCAAGUAUCACCAAGAAAACAAAUUAUAUCAUAUGUUACCCUUACAUAGAGAUGACGAGAUUGUUGAAUAUAUGAUUUAUCAAUCUCACGCCAAUUAAAAUUUAGGCCAUCAUAUUAUAUCUUAAUUUUCAUAGAUUUAUCUCGUUGCUUUUCAAAACAACAUAGAUUAAGUUGCAUUAUAUCUUGUAAUUUUUUCCGUCGGUGGGCAAGUAUCACCAAGAAAACAAAUUAUAUCAUAUGUUACCCUUACAUAGAGAUGACGAGAUUGUUGAAUAUAUGAUUUAUCAAUCUCACGCCAAUUAAAAUUUAGGCCAUCAUAUUAUAUCUUAAUUUUCAUAGAUUUAUCUCGUUGCUUUUCAAAAUCCUAGUUGGUAGCGAAGUCAUUAUAUUCUACAUUUUAAGGGCAAAGAAGAUUCAAAUAGGCAUUUCAACCUUCUAUUGACUGUGUGAUUUAGCCUCUCAUUGACCGUGUGUGAAAUACAAAUCUGAAAUACGUAACAAACAUUGGGACACCACGUGAUGGUUUUUGCUGAAUUCUUUGUUGAUUAGUCUAAUUAUCUAUAGGUUUCCCAAUAAAUAGUUUGCUCAUAUCUGGUUAAUUAUCUCUGAAUUAUUGGUUAGUAAUAGGUGUAAAAAUGGCUGUUUGCCAGACUUGUUGAAGUGGGGAUUAGUUCCAGUCCCAUCCAUUGUGUGUAUGUGUCGAUUGAAAGGAAUAAAGAAACCCUAGGUCCCCAUGCAUGAUGAAUUGGCAGGAACCACACUAAUUGCCCAUGAUAUCUUUUUUUUUUUUGGAAACAAUUGCUCAUGAUAUCUUUGCAAAUCAUGGAACUAGCUAAUCCAUACAAAUUUGCCACCGAUGAGUCUAUCCAAAAUUAACUCUGUUUCUUUCUUGUCACUCUCUUCUUCUCAUAUAGUACACUUGACUGUAAAACAUCUUUUCUGUUUAGCUUAAUUACGUUUAGCAGUAACUUUCUGUUUAGUCAAUUAUUAGUACCAAAAUUAAUUAUUGGUUUAUGUUAAUGUCAAAGUCGUGGUCCCGAAAAGAAAUAAUAUCUUGUUACUCUGAGAGUGGCUUAAAAGUGCCUUUAAAAUGUUUGAAAAUGUUUUUAGUAUAAAUGUUUUAGAAGAAGCACAUAAAACUUGGGACUUGUUUAAAAAUAUUUUUAAAAUAACUUAAAGUCAUUUUUGGAUAAAUUGAUUUUGAAUUCCAAAAACACUGUAAGUUCUUUUUGAAAGCAGCAUCUGAUAUGUGCUCUUUGCAAAAAAAGCAUUUAAAAUGAUUUUCCAAAAUCCACUUGAAUUUUCAUUAAAUAUUAAUUUUAAAAACAUCUUCACCAAAAAUGCUUUCAGUCAUUUUAACUUCUAACCAAAGCUACACUAGUGGCGGAGCCAGAAUUCUGAAUGAGAAGGGGUCUUUCACAAAUAUGUAUAUAUAUAUAUAUAUAUGAGCGUGUGUAAAAAGUUGAAUUCAUAACAUGUUGACAUAUGCAAUUUGUGUAAUCCUCACAAAACUGAAAAAAAAAAUCUCUUAAAUUCAAUACUAAGAAGAAAAAAAUGUAAAAACCCAGACAACCAAAUAAGAGGUAGGUUGUGGAAGGCUAAAGAAAAUACAAAGAAGUAGAAAAAGAAGGACAAGGGGGAGAGGUCUGCAAAUAAAGAAGGUGAGUUGCUUUAGAAAAUUAUAGGGUGUAUAUUACUGUUAGGUGAGAUAAUCGAACCAGAAGUGGUGUUGUUUUUUCCAUUUAAAAUUGCACAUCUCUUUUAAAACUCUCCUGCCAAACUUAUCGUUUCAUUAAACAGCCGAAAAGAUUUAAAAUCAAAACAGCUUAACGACGUCGUUUUCUUCAUCUUCUUCCAUGAGGUUCACACCUCAUAUGAAGUUAGGAUGGGCCGACGACUACCCUAAUUCCUUGGUGGCUCCGCCCCUGCACACUAUAGUUCAUAUUCAUGAAUCAUGCUCUCCCCACAGAGCCAAUUAUAAAACCAAAUAAAUAAAUAAUAAGUAAUGAUAUCCAUAUUAUGUUUUUAUAUCACAUUUUUAUAACAUCUUAGAUGACAUCUAGUGUGAACAGUCAUACCAUUUGAAAAUUUUGUAAAACCUAAGGAAAUGAAUGAGAAAGAUUCUUCGUAUACCACAUUCAUCAUUUAAUUAACUAGUUUUUUUUAAUUAUUAGUUUAUUAAAUAAUGAACUAGAUUUAAAAAUUUGAUUAAUUCAAAUGAUUUGGUUGUCCACAUUAAAUUUAUCUAACAAUGAUAAAUAGAAUUGUAAGCAUAUAUCGGUGAUGAGCAAAAUAUAUGAAUAGCAUUAUUCCUAAAUAAUUGGUGCUCCAAAACCAAAACUCAUCAGUCAAAGGCACAUCAGCAAAGGUAGAAGGGUCCAGUAUCCUAGUAAUUGACACGUGGACGGUUGAAAUGAGGCAGUUCAUUGAUGUUGACUAGUGGUAAAACAGAAAGGAUAGAAAGCUGACGUCAAAGAGAAAGGAAGUGGAUAAACCUCACCCUGAAAAUCGGAGACUAAAAAGGUGAAAAUCAAAAAAUAAAUAUAUAACGGACAAACAGCGAACCAAGUUCCACCACGUGGCCCUCAGAGAGAAGGUGUCGCCGGUGGGUCCGGGGGUGUACAAUACGAGCUAGUGGAGGACCGUAAGCACUUGAAGACAAACCCGAAAAAUGGAUAGAAACGUCGCCGCUUAGGUGUUCUGGUCGGGACCCACCAAAGCCGGGAGUUUCCCUAUAAAACGCAGCCCGAGACGCGGAAGAACUUACACCUCCAAACCAAACAACAUCCGAAAUAUCCUUAUUUUCUGUGACGUGUUUGGGAACACCGCAGGAAAAAUCUCGUACGUGUUGUUGCCUCCUGGUUCCCCUGCUACUGCCACCUUUUCUCUCGUUUCCAGUUUCAUCGGUUUCAUCUAAAGGCCAAACAUAUCCUUAGCUUUUGUUUCUCUCUCUCUUUUUUUUUUGGUCUGAAUUAAUCAGUCAAAAUGUGUGGAAUUCUUGCCGUUCUUGGUUGCUCCGAUGACUCUCAGGCCAAGAGGGUCCGAGUUCUUGAGCUUUCUCGCAGGCAAGUUCCUAACUUCUUUCAGUUUUUCAUUUUUUUUGUGUUUUUUAAGGUUAUAAUUCUUAAUUAUUUGGUUGAUCGAGAAGGGGAUUUGAACGCAAGACGUGAAAAAUUUAAAUAUAUCUGGAUGCAACGGUAAACAUAUCUUAAGAAAUUACACACUUAUACGUGUUUUAACUUUAAACUUUUUCAUAUAUUAGUGUGUAAUUAGCUUGAGAUACGGUUAUUUGUUCAUUAAUGUUCUAAUCAAGUUGUCGGUAAAUAUUGUUGAGCACCUGAGUUACAAACCCUUGCAUGCGUUUAUAUUUUUAACAAAUAGUUCUUAUGGAAGACACUGACAUGUUAUACUACAAAGUCAACAAGUUAAAACGGAGGGGAUUAGCGCCUCUAAAUUUUUGUAUUUAGCUAAUUAGCACUUGCAUGCAUCUAGAUUUUUUACAUAUGGUAAUUAUGACACAUGAUUUAACGGUUGCGCGAUUCAACCAGCUUUCAUUCGGAGCCAAGAUGUGUUGACCUUUAAUUGUAUUACAAAAACGAGAAGUAACACGGGAACCUUUUUGUUGCACGCUCUUUAAUUUUGAAAACUUUAACGAAAAACUUCUGGUGCUAUUUAUUUUAAUGAAAAAUCAUAUUUUUACACUAAAAAGUCAAUUUUGAUAUUAUUCAUUUUACCAUUCAUUUUGUUCUUAUUUUUAAAACUUAAAAUUUUGAAACCUAGAUUUGGUUUUAAUUUUUUAACAAGAAUCACAAUAAUUUGGUCAUAAAUAUUGUAAUUGGGUUUGGUCCUAUAAUUCUUGCUACCUUUCAUGUAUUGGGUUGUGGGGUCCAUGUUUAUUAGAAUACAAGACCCAAGAAAAUGAGCGGCAAUUGAAAGCACAUAGGCUUAUUUUGUGUAAUUAUUGAUUAAUUAAUUUUUAUUUUUUUUUGGUUUGAUAGAUUGAAGCACCGCGGACCUGAUUGGAGCGGUCUAUACCAGCAUGGAGAUUGUUUCUUGGCUCAUCAGAGGCUGGCCAUUAUUGACCCUGCUUCUGGUGAUCAACCUCUCUACAAUGAGGACAAAUCAAUUGUUGUCACGGUACGAUCACCUUAUAUAUUAUUUUUUUAUUAUGUGGGGUUUAAUUUAUUGAAUAUUUGAAAAAAAUGGAUGAAUUUUUCGAUUUUUGAUCGCUGAUACAAUGUUUGUUUUAAAAAUCAUUAGGUGAAUGGAGAGAUUUACAACCAUGAAGAACUGAGGAGCCGUCUGCCGAAUCAUAAGUUCCGAACCGGCAGUGACUGUGAUGUCAUUGCCCAUCUGGUAUGUCACCUGACCAUGUUUUUGUUAACUUUGGUUGCAGGACUUUUGAGCCUUAUGAUUGGUCUUUUCGAUGAGAUAUGAGUCGAUUUGAUGUGGUUUGAGUUACGAUUUCUUUGUUGUAAUCGGUUUGUUUGAGCAAUCGGAUGUUGAAAUGUGCUAAUGAUGGACAUGCAGUUCUUGGUUAGCAUUACCUGUGUUUUAAUUCUUUUGUUCUUGAUUUUUUUUGAGUAGUAUGAAGAGUAUGGGGAGAAUUUCGUGGAUAUGCUGGACGGCAUGUUUUCGUUUGUGCUGCUGGAUACCCGCGACAACAGCUUCAUCGUUGCUCGUGAUGCUAUCGGAAUCACUUCCCUCUAUAUCGGCUGGAGUCUUGACGGUACCAUAUUUUUUUAGCUUGCCCUGUUUUUCUUUGCAGUUAUUCCUUCGGUUUUGACAUCAACGUGUAUGUUUUUUUGUGUCCAGGCUCGGUUUGGAUAUCAUCGGAACUGAAAGGGUUGAAUGAUGACUGCGAACACUUUGAGAGCUUUCCGCCCGGUCAUCUGUACUCAAGCAAAGAAGGUGCACUGAAGAGGUGGUACAACCCUACUUGGUUCUCGGAGACCAUUCCAUCAGGGCCAUAUGAUCCGCUUGUUCUGAGGCGCGCUUUUGAAGCUGUAAAUAUUCAUCACUUUUUAUUUUCAGAUGGAUUUUAAUUAAUUUAUUUCCAUCGAUUUACUUGAGUUACUUUAAUUUUUGUUUACAUGUCGGAAUUUAUUUGGAACUAUAGCUUAUGUGCUGAGCGUAAUACCUGCAGGCUGUGAUCAAAAGGCUAAUGACCGAUGUGCCUUUCGGUGUUCUUCUCUCUGGGGGUCUGGAUUCAUCUUUGGUCGCCUCUAUCACUGCUCGUCACUUGGCAGGCACGAAGGCGGCCAAGCAAUGGGGAGCGCAACUCCAUUCCUUCUGUGUUGGACUCGAGGUGAGAGUUUCCAGAAUAUUUUAACAAAGAUUUACGAUAUAUAUCAUGAGAACUUAUAGAUUCCUAAACAAGUCUCUCCGUAUGUUGAGCAGGGCUCGCCCGAUCUGAAGGCUGGGAAAGAAGUUGCAGACUAUUUGGGGACCGUUCACCACGAGUUCCACUUUACUGUUCAGGUAUCAAUACGAAGAACAUGUAAAAACUAAAGAGUUUGAUCCUCUCUUUAUCGGAGCCAAAUUGUAACUAUUUGCCUUUCUGAUGUGAUAGGAUGGGAUCGAUGCUAUCGAGGAAGUUAUCUACCACAUUGAAACAUAUGAUGUUACCACUAUCCGAGCAAGUACCCCUAUGUUUCUCAUGUCACGUAAGAUCAAGUCGUUGGGGGUCAAGAUGGUGAUUUCUGGUGAGGGAUCCGAUGAGAUUUUCGGUGGAUACUUGUACUUCCACAAGGCACCCAACAAGGAAGAGUUUCACCGCGAAACUUGCAGAAAGGUACUGGAUUAUUUGUUUAUAAACAUCGAAGAUAGGUUUGGUAUCGUAGAAGUUGAAAUGGAAGGAGAUAACUGUGGAGCUGUUCUUUUUGUUGGAUGCAGAUUAAGGCACUGCACAUGUAUGAUUGCCUCAGGGCAAACAAAUCAACAUCUGCUUGGGGAUUAGAAGCUCGAGUCCCAUUCCUGGACAAAGAUUUCAUUAAUGUUGCAAUGGAUAUUGAUCCCGAGUUUAAAAUGGUACGACAUAAGAAUCUAAAGUAUUGGGAGUUCUUUCGAUUUACUGCAGAAUUCUACUUACAAAGUUUAAUACUUACCGCUUUCCCAUUUGCUAUAUUGACUUGCAGAUCAAAAAGGACCAAGGAAGAAUUGAGAAAUGGGUCCUCCGGAAGGCGUUUGAUGAUGAGGAGAAACCUUAUCUGCCAAAGGUAUAUAUGCCUCUUAUUUCGAUCUUUAGUAGCAAGUAUUGCCGAUAAGUUGACAUCCGUAUCACAUAAAAUCGUAAACUAACAAACCUUGUUCAAUGCCUGCAGCACAUUCUGUAUAGGCAGAAAGAGCAGUUCAGUGACGGGGUCGGCUACAGUUGGAUUGAUGGCCUGAAAGCUCAUGCUGAACUCCAUGUAAACUUCUAUUCAAUCCGUUUUUACAAUUCUCUUUUCAUUUGUUUUGGUAUAACCUAUAAAUCUUGAAAACGUUAUUGGAUUGACUCGGCUGGUGAUCGAUGUUCGACUUAUACUUUCAGGUCACUGAUAAGAUGAUGCUGAAUGCUGAACGCAUCUUCCCUCACAACACUCCUUAUACAAAGGAAGCCUACUACUAUCGAAUGAUUUUCGAGAGGUUCUUCCCACAGGUAAUCUACCGAAUAUGAUUUUAUUCUUUUCAUCAACUAAACCUAACAAACUGUCGUCCAUGAGACUUAAUACCACAAGACCAGGUGUUCAUCGGCGAUUUUAUUGUUUAUGUUGAUAACAUAUAGAUCUAACUCGCUAUACUUAUAAUCCGGUGUUGCAGAACUCGGCCAGGAACACGGUGCCUGGAGGACCGAGUGUGGCCUGCAGCACAGCCACAGCUGUGGCAUGGGAUGCUGAAUGGUCCAAAAAUCUUGACCCGUCUGGUAGGGCUAUACUUGAAGUGCACCAACAAGCUUAUGACAAGCAGGGUGCACCGGUGACUAGCGGCAUUCCAGAGAUCAUCGACAAUGUACCUCAGAUGAAAGCGAGCACCGUGGGGCUCGCAAUCCACAGCUAGUAACGAGGACCCGAACCCUGAAUUUUUAAGGAGGGUAUCGUAGUAAUCAAGAAUUAAGGCACUUCGUAAUGCCUUUCGAUGUAAAAAAACGUAACGGGGGAUCCGUAGUGUUGGUUUAAAACAUGUUUGUGUGGUCAUAUUAUGUAGUAUCCUAAAUGCAACAUGUUCUAGUGUGUUGUCUAAUGUUGUUGUGGAGAUGUUUUUAAGGUUAGAACCUCUCUGUAUUUUCCUUUUGCUUUCAGUCCUCUUUGAGUUUCACUUUGAAUAAUAAGACGAUGAUCCUGCAUAGGCCAUGGUGUUUUUUGUUCUUCCUUUCCGGUGGCUGUUGUCUUUCUUCAUCCAUCCACUAAACAUUUUUGGUGGAAUUGAAGAGGUUUAGUGAUCCAAAAACUGGUGAAUUCUAGGCCGAUAAUUUGUUUGCAUAAAGUAUUACAAAUUGGAAAAUAAUAUCUCCAAACUCUUUUUCUCCUUGCGUUUACACAUUUAUUUUUGUCACUUGAUUCAUUCAAUCUAAAGGUCGUAAAUAAAUAAGAACGCGUUAGAUAUACAUUCAGAGAGUAGUGCUCUCUUGCGCAUCAAAACACAAAAAGCAAGGACUGAGAUUUGAAUAAAUGUCAACGGCUCACUUGUGAAACACAAUGUGAAGAGAAUUUCGGAACAUCCUGAUUACUUGCAUUCGAUUCUUGGUUGUUCAGGGGCAUAUAGACAUUUAUUAUAAAGCCCAAUUAAGAGCAAAAGUAGAUUUUGACCAAUUGGACUGGAAUGGUGGGCUUUAGGCUUUAGCUGCUAAACUAGUCGGCUAUAAUUGGAAUUUGAAAGCCCAAUCUUGAAAAGUGAACAAUAAAAUGUCAAAAAUGAACAAAAAGAAAUGGCUGCUGGGAUUCGAUCUCCACGGCCAUAAUGUAGGGAGAUUUUUCAAUUUCCAACCAAUUGUAUUGACAUUUGAUGUAUCCUGCCGUACUUUUAGUAUGUUGAAAAAUUUCUUCACAUGUCGAAUUCGUAGCACUAAACUACAGCUACGUUGUUGUUUGAGCUUAGAAAUUUCAUAAGAACUCUGGUAAUAUAGGAUUAUCAGAAUACUUAAUUCACCUAUAUGCAAAAACAUCAACAUUGUCGUUCAACCAUAUUAUAACACGUGAUUAAUCCACCACAUAAUGGUGUGCGACCAUCACAAUAAAAAAUAAAAUAAAAAAAUCCCACAAGUGAAUGCGAAGUUUUGAACCGUGAUCGUUAAUUUUUGCCAAAUUGAACCGUGAUCUUAUAAGUGUGGGAAAUAUUGUCGACCUGCAAACUCCCUACCAAAUGUCUUCAUAAGGAGGUAUAGCUUAGUUUCCCGUAAAGUCAAUUUAGUAGGCGUACGAUGUUAAGUUACAUAUAGGAAAUAUAUAAUCACACACAUUUUUUUUAUACACUUUUGUUUAUUUAUGUUCUUCGUUUCCGUUUGAUUGAUAUGAAGGUGAAAGAUUUGAAUUCUGGUAGCUGGCUGCCCAUGCAGCAGCAGACAAACUUUGCAACUUCCUAUAUAAACAUUAUAAACAUUAAAACAUAUACUGGCCAUGCAUAAUCAUUCACAGCUAAGUUCACACAUGCAAUGCAAAUUUAUUUCUCAAAAAUAUAUAAAUAAAUAAUUUCUUUAUAAAUAGUGACUCAGAUCGGUCUAUAAAUGAAUAUUAUUACCAUUUAGUUAUCAGUUGUCUACAAAACCGAAUCAUGCUCUACGUAAAUGUAACAGAUUUCCUUUCCGCAUCCACUACAAGAAGGAAUUGCCUCACUUACCGCCCGCUUUUAUUCCCAUGGAUAUGCCAUCCACUACCCGAAGGAAUUGCCUCACUUACCGCGUGCUUUUUAUUCCCAUGGAUAUGCCUGGAAACAAGAAUAUUCUUUAGGAAUCGGAUCGUUGACGACAGUAGGCCGGGAAGGACAGAUGCUACUAAAAAGCCGAUUAUCGCAUGAUUUUACCCAUACUUGACCUAUCUAGCCCCUUAAACUCGUGACUUAGCAAAUAAAAUAGACUAUUCCGAACGAUUUCCUCAUGUCAUUACCAGCUACGGAUCAGAUAUGACCGCUGAAUCAAUGUAACACAACACAUCAUUGUUUACGGUUUAUUUUAUUUCAUGUUCAUAUAUUAAAAUGAAAGCAUACAAAAUCUAAGAAUAUUUUUGAAAAUUAAGAAUUCGAAAAAUAAUGGAGAGAUGAAAGGAACCAAUUCUUGCUUGUUGAGCUGUGGAAACUAAACUUGUGCUUGGACAAGAAAACGUCACUUCAAUAAAAGGCAAGAUUCCAAGGCCUCUUUUCUCGUUGGAAAACUAUGCCUCAAAAAAUCUGAGUAAACCUACAAAACAACCACCAGAAUAUUCGUUGGCGAGGGUGACAUUGAAAAGUAGUUACUAUUCAAAAAUAGUCGUCGAGCACUCCUAUGAUUGUAAUUUUUUUCUCAUGUUUUGAUUAUAUAUUGAGGGAGAGUCGAGUUGGACACUUGGGUCCAGAGAUAAAUAUGUUUAAUCAGUUGAAUUUCAAAUCUCUUCUGACAUUUUUUUAUAAGAAAGUAGUUCUAUACACGUAAUUUUUUUUCUCUUUAUACACAUCUCUCUUUACUUUUUCAUUGAUUAGUUCAAUACCAAAGGUAGAAAAUAAAAGAGAAAAAUGUGCAUAAAGAGAAAAAUAGAUGUGCAAAAUUCAUUUCAUUUCAUAACGCUAAUAAUAAUUCUCUUUACUUAAUUGUAUGAACUUUGAUUGAGGAAAAGCCGAAGAGGGUCUCAAUUUUACCUAAAAGUUUUUGUCAUAAUUGAUGAGCCCAAAUUCAUGAGCAUGAAGGUGAUAAUUUGGAUGAUGAUGUUGCACGAGGCUCCUACCUUUGCUUUCCAUAAAGCAAAGUAUAAAUUACAAGACUGAAGAAUGGUGUUCUAACUUCUAUGUAUGUGUUGUUAAGUAAAGCAAGGAACAUUUUGCUUUCCAAAUGGAAGCUUGCCCUCUUUCAUAAAAAGGUGCGCACCUAAUUUUUUUAUUUUUUUUUUCUCUCUGCCUCCUUUUUACAAUCCCUCUUCGAAUCUCUUUGUUUGAAGCUGUCUGAUAUCAAAAUCCAGACUACUCAGUUUAAUUAAUGUGGCUUUCAUUAACUCAUCCAACCGGUCCACCUUACACAAAAUCAAGUCCUCAAACGGCCUAAACUUCUCUCUCUUAAAUAGUCCGAAUUUUGGAAUCCAUCAACUCUUGAUACAAAAAUCCAGAAAGAAUCUCAAUUGCCUUUUUACAAUAGAUGGGAGAUAAAAAAAUCCAACCAAUUUUGAGGUGCCUAAUAGCACUCAAUUCCCAGCGUACAAUUGAUGGGAGAUAACAUAGUAGCACACCGAGAGGCCCCCAUAGGCACCAAGUUGAGAUUACAUCAUCCCACAUUGCCUGCCUCCCGCAGCACACAACCUUGGCCAGUAGGUCCCAACUUUAACUUCAUGAAAUCUCUACUAUUUGAGUGAUUAUUGUACGAAUUAUAAAUCGUUUGGUGCAUCGAAUUUAGAGUAAAUUGUAGCUAUGGUCCCUGAACUUUACUCAAAUUAGAGCAAUGGUCAUUCAACUAAAAAUCCAUUACCAUUGGUCCUUCAACUCAUUAAAACGUGCAGCUAUGGUCCCUCAACUAAAAAUCCAUUAUCUUUGGUCCCUCAAUUUUAAUUCAACUGGAGAAAUGGUCCCUUAACUUUAUCCCAAUUGUAGCUAUGGUCCUUCAAACAUAACUCGUUUUGACAAAAAAUUUUACGUAGUUGACAAAAAUGACCAUAAUUACAUACUUUGAUGAGUUGAGGGACCCUAAUUAAAUAAAUGGUUAUUCCAACAUAACAUAUUUUGACAAAAUUUUGAAGAAAUUAAUGAAAAUGACUAUAUUUACACAUUUUGAUAAGUUGAGGGACCAAUGGUAAUGAAUUUUUAGUUGAGGGACCAUUGCUCCAAUUUGAGUAAAGUUCAGGGACCAUUGCUACAAUUUACUCUCGAAUUUAUUAUUAACAGUGUCAGAUUCAUAUAUUCCUAUUUUACAUGGGCUAGAUGAAAGAGCUCACAACCCCUUUAAGACCAUUUUUAAUAAAGAUCAAUGACUUACGUGCAUUCAUUUUUUCAUUGUUCACAUUCAUGUUUAUUUUUAUACCUCGAUUCUCUUUAUUAUAGUCAAUCAAAAGCCUAGCUUUUAAACAAGAUCAAUGCUUGGUCACUAAAGGAUGAGUAAUAACUCUACUCAAAAUUCUUCGUGUUCGAAACACAUAAUUUUGUUCUUAUAAUCAAAACCGUUCAUGUUAUGAGGCAUUUUGUAAAGAUCAUCUCUAAAAAAAAUGAAUUAAAACUAAUGUCGUUUAGUCAAUCUAUUAUAACAAAUACAUAGACAAUUCGUAAUGCUUUUACCAAUUCCGUUCAUCUGUUUUUAUAAAGUUUGAUGACUAUACAACCUUAGUUUAAUUGAUUUUUGGCAGAGAUGAUCUUUAUAAAAUGAUUUAUAAUAUGAACGGUUAUGAUCAUAAACACAAAGUUUUAUGAAUUAACAAUGAAUAUUUUUUAGCAGAAACUAUACACAUCCUUUUAAGUAGCCAAAUAUUAGUCUUUAAAGAAUGAAUCAAACUGAAUACAUGUAGUACAGUUGGGAGGGAUGAAAUGCACAAUAUGACUGUUUUGAAGUGACACGAUCAACUCUGUAAUUCUACAUUAAAGAUUAGGAGCAACGUAUACGUAUAUACCAACUCAAACCAUACUCUUAGACAAAAUAUACAUUCACACACCCUUUUUUUUUUCUUUUUUUUCCUUUGAUUCACACAUGCAUGCAUUGCAUUUCUAUCGCACGUCAAUGUAUAUAGUGACUUUUAAGUGAAUUAAAUUCUACAAGAUACAUCUAUCCGUUAAUUUCAAUAAUGUAUGUCAAUACACUAGUAUAUGAGAUGCAUCGAUGUUUGAACGACUAGAUUGAAACUAGCAAAAUUUAGCCAUGCAAUCCAGCGAUUCAAUACAAUAAUGUAUUCCAUACACUUAUACAUUAUAGAAUUUCUCAUAAAAACACCAUAUUCAAUAAGACCCCAUGAUGAUUUGUGGACAAGUCACAAAACCACUUUUUUGGCAUUCCAAUAUGAAAGCAAGAAGUGUCGGUUCAGCUUCAAGGCUUGAAGGAGGGGGUCCAAAUCAUAAUCUCACACAUUCAACUUCACCAAUCCCCCUCUCAAAUUUAUAACUCACGUGUGAGUGUGAACCCAUCUCAGCCCUCACAAGUGAUUUUUUAAUGUGAUCGGAACACAGAAUGAUAGACCAUGUGUUCUUAUACAAGUGGUGAAAUUCUUGUAUUAAAAAAGUAAUAAUGUAAAAAAUAAUAUUUUUCACCACUUAUUUAACAGCACGUGGUGUACCACUUGUAUUAUGGGUAGAAAGAAAAAUUUUCCCACAUGCACACAACAAAUCCAAAAUCCCCCUCCAUUUUAAUAUAAAAGGCCCAAUUGCAUUUGCAGAAUCAAGAUUUCAACUUUUGUUCUCAAAUUUACAGUACUCCGGUACUCUCUUCUUUUCAGCUUUUGCUUUUUCAUCAUUACCCAAUAAUCUCUCCUCUGCAAGACUGCAAUGGCUCCUUUCUGCUCCCAAUCUAUUGGUUCAUGCUUAGCUCUUUUGUGCUUAGUUUUUGUUCAAUCCCACUCUGCCAUAAUAUACAGCAUGAAGAACCACCACCACCACCACAACUUCCACCAUCACAGAACAGCUCCGAUGUUCCAAACCAACCAAUCCAAUUGCGCAUUGUUUGAAGGCACUUGGGUCCAAGACGACUCCUACCCAAUGUACCAAUCUUCCCAGUGCCCCUUAAUCAUCGACCCUGAAUUCAACUGCCAAAUGUACGGCCGCCCGGACUCCGAUUACCUCAAGUACAGAUGGAGACCCCUCAACUGUGAGCUCCCAAGGUAACCAAAACUGCUUUCAAAAUGAGAUUUUGUGAUAUGGGUUUUUGUUGGGUUUUAGAUUCUGAGCUCCCAAGGUUAAGCAAAAGCACUACAAAAGUGAUUUUGUGAAAUGGUGUUUUGCUGGUCUCUGAUUUCUAGCUCCUAGGAUAAGCAAAAUCACUUUCAAAUGUGAUUUUGUGGAAUGGGGUUUUGUGGGGUUUAGGAUUUUUUUUACGUUUUGGUGACUUUUGGUGUAGCUUGUUGUUGUUGGUAGGUUCAAUGGGGCUGAGUUUCUGCUCAAAAUGAAGGGGAAAACAGUGAUGUUUGUAGGUGAUUCACUUGGGAGGAAUCAAUGGGAGUCUUUGGUUUGCCUGAUUUACUCUGCAAAUCCACAAACCCAGACUCAAAUGGUCAAAGGAGACCCACUCUCAACAUUCAGUUUCCUGGUGAGUCCCUUAAUUUUCUUUCCUUCUUUCUGGGUUUUCGUAUUUUUUUUUUCUUGAAGCAAUUGGAUGCAAAUUCAAUGCCAAAUAAUUGUUAACGAUGCAUAUUUUAAACUACUAUAAUUAUAGAAAAAUUAAAUCCAAAUUUGAGCGUAAAAGAUGAACACGCUGCCCUAAUCAACUUGCCAAACUCGCAUUUGAAUUAAAAUACAGAUUACCAUUAAUGGUUAUAGUUUUUGUAAGAACAGAGAUGGUGUGAGAUUUUUCCUUUCCAUGUCAUAUAAAUGUUCAUCAACACAUUUUCAUAUACUAUUAUUAUUGUGGGAACAAAAAAUUGCAAGACUCAUUUAUUAAAUGAACAAAUUCAUUUUGCAUUUUUUAACAAUGGUUGAAAAUGGUCGGUGAUAUCCACACAUCCGUUUAUACUUCUUACACACUCCUCUUAAUUUUUAACUAUCGAAUCCAAGGAAUUAUAUAAAAUCAGUGACGAAAAAUUAACAAAAAUGUAUGAUAGACAAAAAUGAGAGUGAAAAGCAAUUUCCUUCGAAAAUUUAGUCCAAACGAAUCACAUAGGGAAGAUGUUCUGAGGGACCCUUUGGGUCCAUUGGUGACGACAGCAGGAUAGCACCAGCAUGUACGUUGUCCCUAGGAAGUCAUAUGCUAGGAAAUGAGGGCAUCGUAUCAAUCCAAACAGGACCUUAUUGAGUUUUGCUCCUAUGAUGCAGGACUACGGCUUGACACUGCAAUUUUACAAAGCUCCGUACCUGGUCGACAUAGAAAUGUAUCAAGGGAAGAGAGUUCUGAGGCUGGAGGACAUUUCGGAGAACAGCAAGGUGUGGCGGAACGCCGACGUGCUGUCGUUUAACACCGGUCAUUGGUGGAGCCACAAAGGAGGUCUCCAAGGGUGAGCAAUCCGUGUGUGUUUGUUUAUCUUUUGGUACUUUUGUGCUGUGGUAACCUUAGGGUCAAAAUGAUAGUGUCUACAUUCUGAGUAAAGCAUUUGGUAAAGUUGGGUAGAAGUACUUUUAGAAGCAUAAGUGCUUUUUGGACCAAUUAAAGAACUUAGUGCUUUCUUACAUUUUUAUCUUGCUGUAAAACUGCAUCUCUAUACCAAAAAGUUACCAGAAGUUGUAAAACGUUUUAUGGGUUUGUCCAAAAUGUUUUUGACAUGCACCAAAAUGUGUAGUCACUUUAGCGUUCUAAACUUAUCACGCGUUGUUAUGUAUUUCAACUUUAUAGUAUAACAAGACAUAAUAAAUUUAGAUACCAAAAUCGCGUUGUUAUGUGUUUCAACUUUAUAGUAUAGCAAGACAUAAUAAAUUUAGAUAUCAAAAUAGUAGUGUACUUAUUUCAUAUAAGUCAUUCUCGACACGAAAAAUUAAGAUCAUUGUGUUUGAAAACGUGUAGGUGGGAUUACAUGGAAUCAGGAGGGUAUUAUUACCAAGAUAUGGACCGUUUAGCUGCUUUGGAGAAAGGGAUGAAAACAUGGGCGAAUUGGAUUGACUCGAACAUCGACACCACAAGGACCAGAGUUUUCUUCCUCUCUAUUUCUCCCACACACUAUGAGUCAGUCUCUCUCUCUCUCUCUCUCUCUCUCUCUCUCUCUCUCUCUCUCUCUCUCUCUCUCUCUCUCUCAUAGUUGUGUUUGGUGGAAAUUCCAAUUUUCAAUUUUCCAUGGUUCAUAAUUUAUGUAUUGGAAUUAGCUAUAGGCAUUGCUACCUCCAAGCACCAAAUAAUUGCGAGAAAUGCUCUUAAAGUCGAAUAUUUUAUGAAUUUUUUGUCACGUCACAGUUUGACGUCAAUUUUCGUAUCAAUAUUAUAAAAUAUUAUGCAAAAAAUCGUAUCAAUAUUAUAAAAUAUUAUGCAAAAAACAUAAGGUGACAGAAAGUUCUACUUUAAGAGUCGUCUUAGCAUUUCUCUUGAUAGCAUUUUUAGGUAUUUUUUUGGGUUGCUAAACGUUGACUUGAUUUCUACCCUGUAUUUAGGUCGGUCCACUAGAAUGGUCGGGUAUAAGAACCCGAGGAAGAUAUUUUAUUAUGAAAAUUGUAUUAUCACGUAGUGUUAUUAAUUUACAUAAUAUGCAUAGACAGAUUUUAAGGUUCAUUUGUCCUGAACGAUGAGUGGUCGGGUAUGAUAUUUAUAAGUCGAUAUAUGUAUUAUAAUAUGAGUGAAUGAAACUACAACAUGGAGGAAUGACCAUCACAAGUAAAAACUUGUGUAAAUAGACCUAUUUUGUUUAGAAAAUGCAAAUGUUUCAGAGCACUGGCUAUGUCGGUGGAAAACAGUACACACAUACCAUUUUUGAAGAAGACAAAAAUUGCUAAUGUACGGCUCACCGGAGAAAAUGGACCACUUCUCUCAAAUCUUUUCCCCCACAAAAUUCAAUUUCUCUAAAUUUUAAAGAAAGAUUAUACUCUCUAAAGGGUUGGAAGAAUAAAUUAAUAUCGGACUUGCGUUUCAUGCACAUAACACAUAAAAAAAUUUAAGGGCACAUUUGGGGGAAUAAAUUGUAGAUGAGUAAAUUUUAGUUAUUGUCCGUCAGUUAUUAUCUGAUUCCUCAUCUUGGUCCCGGAAUUAAGUUUUUGAGUUCUAUUGUCCUUAAAAGUUCAAUUGUGUCACUUUGGUCAAUUUGUCAAAUGUCAUAUGGUUUGAACCAUGCUUCGGUGCUGAAAGAAUAGCAAAAAGUGCUGUUGAAAACCAAUCACAAAUGAACAUGUGUCUAAAUAAUUGAGUUCAAAAAUAUAUGAUUGGACACUUGUCUGUUUGUGAUUGGGUUUCAGCAGCACUUGUUGAUCUUCUUUCAGCAGAGAAGCAUGAUUCAUUUGCCUAUCAAAGUUUAGAGGCGCAAAUAAUAGACUUUCGAUGGAAUGACCAAAGUGAGAAUCUGAGUAAUUUGAUAACAUGCUAAAUUGACAGCCCAAAUGAAUGGAAUGGGGGUGCAACUCCUACAACCACCAAGAACUGCUAUGGAGAAACAGCACCAAUGAAAGUGAGCGGAGUAACUUAUCCCGGGAGUACUUAUCCAGACCAAAUGAGAGUGAUGGACAGUGUGAUCCGGGGCAUGAGAAAUCCUCCGUCUUUGCUGGACAUCACAAUGCUUUCAGAGCUGAGAAAAGAUGGGCACCCAUCAAUCUACAGUGGUGAUUUGAGCCCUCAGCAGAGAGCCAAUCCUGACCGUUCAGCAGAUUGCAGCCAUUGGUGCCUUCCUGGACUGCCAGACACUUGGAACCAACUCUUUUACACAACUUUGUUCUUCUAAUUUUUAUAUUUUAUUUGCACUCUAAUUAAUUAACAAGUUAUAUAGGUUUUAUUUUAUUUUGUGACACAUUUAUGAUGAGAGAGUGCAAAAUUUGCAGCUCAUUCUUUAUCUUUAUAUUGUAAUUUGUAAAGUGAUGUGCAUAUAUAUUGUUAGUGUUAGAGAGGAGAAAUGAGGUUCUUAUUUCCUCAUUAUUUUUCCAAUUAAUAAUUUCUUUAACAUUUCUCUUUACUCUUUGGCAUCUUCAUCCCAUUUUCAUUAGUUAUAAUUUAGGUUCAAAGCAAUUUCAUUUAAGACCUCUUUAACGAUAUUAUAAGGGAAUUGUUAUUAGCACUCCAAAAGUCUCAUUUGGCACUCCAAACUUUCUAUAAUUAGAAAGAAAAAGACAUUUGUGAGGAGUGUAGAAUGAGAUUUUUGAAGUGCUAAUUACAUUUCCCCAUUAUAAUCUCUAGAUAUAUUUUGCGUAAGUAUGUCGAUCCCAGAACUUAGCCAAAUUGAUUAAAACGGUGUGUUCUCCACAAAAGAUCCACCACUGAUCAUUGUUGGUUCAACUGCCAAUUGGGCCUAUUAUGUCGAUUUUCGAAUCAAACCUAGCCCAAGUUUGGAGAACAGGUAAAACUUUCCACCCUUCUAUUAACCUUAUUCUCUCAAGUUUAGCCUCUAGCUAGGGUUAUCACCUAAAACUCGAAUCCUUAAAUUUGUGAAGGUGGGUAUAACUACGUUGGUUUGAUCCUUGUGCAACACACAAGUUAGGUAGACAGUGGAAGCCACAUAGGAGCAAGGAGGUGCAGUCGCACCUCUGGUCGUAGGAAAUCGACCCUAAGAGCAAGAAUCUGCUCUUCUGAUUCCUCUGAACAUGCACGGAAUGGUUUCUUUUUCUACUUUUUCUACCCCCACGACACCAUCAUCUUCUUCUCUCCCUUCUCAUGGAUUCCUGUGACUAUGACCCCAUUUGCUGAGAUCUCUCCUGGUCUUCAAGAACACCGUAACCACAUUGAGUUUAUCAAAACCCAUCAUCCUAUUUUCCAAUCUUUCUCUUUUCUCUCAAAAUAUUGAAUCUUUCUACUUUUCUGUUUGUUGAGUUUUGUUUUGUUUUGUUUUGUUUUUUUUGUUGGGCGCAUCAAAAGCUUGCAUGUGUACGGAUUGGAUAAGGGGAAGAUAAAUGAGGUGGAUUUGUUAAAGAGAAAAUGGGUAGUACAUGGAGCUUCCAACUGAGGCGCUUCUGAAAUGAAAUUUCCAGUUUCCCGAGUGCUCCAAGGACAGGUCAAUGGCAUAAAAAUUCAGCUCCGGCUUUCACAUGCAUUCCCUCUAUUCUUUGGUGGACGAAAGGAUCACAGUGUCUAUUAGUUUUAAGGACUUUUAAAAAGAAAAAAAAUGGAGAACAUUCAAUCAUAUGAAGUUUUAUUCUCACAACUUUUCAUUUUUUUCUUGUUCGCUAUCUCGUUAUGCUGAUGAUGAAGAAAAAAAACGAAAGGAAGAGAAACGUCAAAAAGCACACCUCCACAUCUUCUGCUAUAAGAUCUAAUUACGUGCAGCUUUCCAUUGUUGCUGCAAAUUUAUAGCCAGAUCUACAAGAGCAUAUAACAUAUCUACGCAAGCUUUAAGAUGGUCCUGGGAUCAAGAAAAUGAGACAACCUGCCAACGCGGAAGGAGGGAAGUACAGAUGCGAGUUUGUGCCACCCAUGUUAGGCUUCUGUAGUUCAAAAUAAGCAAUACGGUAAGAAAAAACUGCAGUUGUAACUGGAAAAAUAAACAUUUAGAGUCCUCCAGAAAUUAGAGGCAGGGGAAAAGGAUACAAAGAGGUUUACCCCCAUCUGUUUUCUCACACUCCUACUACAUAUGAAAUUUUGAAAUGCCUGCUUCUUGUGAUAGCUAUUCAACAUGAAUGCCAUCUCGGAUGCUUUUGCUUUACUUACAUAUCAGCUCAACAAACUCCCCUAAAUGCAGAGAUGAAAGUAAAAUUCAAUGGACAGAUUGAUCAUUGAUGAUAAAGAAUGAACAAAACUAACUAUUACAGUUUUAAAUAGAUCCGAUUAUUGUUGCUUCGUAAAUUAAUUCUCUCUAAGAAGUAUAAGAUUUGUAAAUUACAUUAACAUGAAUUUAUUUUUUUAAUUUUUAAAUGAUAUGCAAUCUAUAUAAAACAGAGAUAUUGUGAGGGACAAAACUGAAACAUAUAUUCAGUUAACAUUUGUUAAAACGAAGCAUCAUAUCCUCUGCAUAAGAUGUUACAUGGUAAGAGAGAACGUAAAUUAAAGCUCAUCUGCAGUAUUCAAUUAAAGAUCUAUUACCAGUUUACAUUUGUAAGGAAAAGCGUAGAUACACCAACUUGAAGAUGAUAAUGGCAUUGAAAGAAGAUGAGAUAUCAGGCCACCGUAUUCAAACCACGCCCAUAUGACAAAGAAAUAUAUCAUCCUGGGGUUCCAUCAUCUUCCUUUAGAGGUGCAUCAUCUUCAAGCCAAAAAUGCUUAGGAAAUUGAUGUGAGCUAACAUCCGUUGCCUCAGACAAUCGCCUCUUAAGUUCCACAAUAAGGACUCUGCAGCAAUUACGAAUUUGUGUUUGUAAAGAAACUCAUCCGCACCAACAUAAAAGCCACCAUAUAAAAACGAAAUCAGAAUGAUUAAAAAAAAGAAAUCGUCCAAAGGUUACCUACAUGAUAUAUCUCUUGCACCAGCGUGAAGAUUACUAGGACAUCGGAAGAAAACUAUAAAAGCAUGCCACGGCUGUUUACUCUUGCCAGACAGGCCCAGUAAUUGAUGCAAGCUAGCAUCUGUUCCCUUGGGUAAUUCUAGUUUACAGUUCCACACCACAGUUAGCUCGCUGCCGCAUCCACAAAGGCCAUAAAUGAGUCUGUCCUGUCACAUUGUAUUAACAGAUACUUAGGAUUGAUUUUACAAGAGUCUUGAUAACUAAUGCUGAUUCACGCAACUGAGAAACGGUAAAAAGAAUACAGAACAGUUGAAUAAUGCAUUACACAUGAGCUACUGAGAAACUUAUCUGCAGCUUUGAUUCUCAAAACUUUCAAAAACAUUUCCUAUUCUCUGCCCCUCCCUCCCCACUCACUCUCUCUCUCUCUCUCUCUCUCUCUCUCUCUCUCUGUGUCUCUCAUCAAGAAGUUUAUGUUGGAGAUAAAUAAAAAGAACGAAACGAAAAGAAACAUCAGAAAACACACCUCGAAAGAUUUAUCUGCACACAUGUUUUCCAUUUGUCAGCUACGAUUAUAUGAUUGGAACCACAAGAGCAUAAAGUAUCUACGCAAGCAUCAAUCUGGUACCUGAAUAAGGAAAACGAGACAGCCUGCCAAUGGAGGAGGAGGAAAGUGUGGAUGCAAGUUUGUGUAGGCUUCUGCAGACCAAAAUAAGCAGAAUUGAUGGUUUUUAUUAUGUUGAUCAAUAUGUGUCUUCUUUGCUGCAAAGAAAAAAUUGAUCAAUAUGCUAUGAUUCUUAUUUCUAUUAUGUCUUUUAUUUUUCAAACUAUUGAAGUUAAUUAGAUGCAAACUACCUGAGAGUCAAAUGCCGAAAAGAACAACUUUGUAUGAGAGAGACAGAGCUCAUACAGAUAUGAUGACUUGUUUGCCUAUCUUUAUUAAAGGAAUGUGAGAUAUCUUGGCCCAAUCUUCUCCCAUCUUAUCCUCAUACCUUUUCUCCAGGGCGGAACAAGAGUAGAUCUUCAGGGAAGAAAGAGAUGGCGGCAAACCGUUUUCUGGCAGGAAUUGGAGUUUUGGACAAUCUUCAAUAGUUAGAUAUUGAAGAGAAGUGAGGUGUAGAAGUCCCUCUGCUGGAAGGAAUUCCAGACUUGGGCAACGAUAAAUAUUUAGAUAUUGAAGAGAAGUGAGGUGUUGAAGUCCCUCUCGUGGCAGGAAUUCCAGACUUGGGCAAUCGUCAAUAGUUAGCUCUUGAAGAGAAGUAGGGAGCAGCUGUUCCUUGAGCAACGGUGCCCAGAUCUCGCCAGCAAUUGUAAAUCGUUUAAGGGAGACAAGUACUUGUAAUCCCCACUCCACUGAAGGCUUCACUUUGUCGCAACGUGUAACCCUAAAAUAUUGCAGGUUGGGAGGCAAACCCCCUUGGGCAAAUGAUACAAGAUUUGGAAGAUCGUCUAAUCCCAAUCCUUCAAGGGCGGUGAGGGUGCGAAUUCGUACGGGGAACGACUUCAAAUUCUUGCAUCCCCAGACUGACAAUUGUCUCAAGUUGGGAGUGGGCAAUCCUCCGUCCGGGAAAGACGCCAGAUUUGGACAGUUGCGGAUUUCUAGCCGAUUGAGAUGGCUUAGGUUCUGAUCAACUCCUUCAAUAGAAAAGGAUUCCAGAUUCUCACAACCACUGAUUGAAAGAGAUGAAAGUUUGGGGAAAACGCCCAACGGGAAGGACCUCACUGAAUGAAAACUCGUGAUUAUCGCCAAAUUCUCAAGUGACGACAAUUCGGCCAUCAUCUCAUGAGAUAAGAACUCUAAUGACGACACGGUUGGGCAAUUCCAGAGAUCCAAACUUCGAAGACAUUUCAUUUUGGGCAGGCACUGUAUUGCAUCAAAAUUAGAAAUUCCAAGUGUGGACAAGAACUUCUUCUCUACUCUCUCUAUUAAUGGUAACAGACCUGGGCAUCCUCCAAUAUCUAUUUCCAAUGAAUUCUGUAAGUAGUCCAUGUUAAUACUGGCCCAUUCAUCAUGCAGAUGUAGAUAUUCACACCUAUACACCCUAAGUGUUUUCAAGCAUGCAAGACGAUUGGGCAAGUAUCCUCUCAGCUUCGGACAUUUCCUUAUUAUCAGCUCUUGGAGACAAGGAAAGUCUGAACAUUGACCUCCACUUGGACUCGGUAGCCAAUCCUCCCACUCUGGCAUCUCCUCAAACUCUAGCGUCUUCAGAGACCGAAAUGGCUGAAUUACAGAAGCUCCAUUAAGAUCAACAUAGAAUUCAUCACCAACUUUCGUAACAAAAUUCAUCCUUUCGAUGCGUAGCUCUUUAAGAGUGGGCAGCUGCCCAAAACUUGGCAAGGACAAACAAUACUUACAAUCACUGAUACACAUGAACUGUAUGUUCGAGAAGGAAUUAGAGUUUCCUAACCAAUUUGGGAAGCUGAACCCUCCAUAGAAUCUGAUAGUCAGUUUCUCCAAAUUUGCAGAAGGUUGGAGCUUGUCAAGCACAUCUCUCUCCUUUUGGGAAUCAUCGGCUUCCUCCACAUCCCAUGCCAACUCUAAGUCCUUGAUUUCUUUCUUAUCCUUCAAAUUGGCUUCCAAUGCAUCCACAACAUGAACUCCAUUGUGCAACUUUGAAAUACGAAGUCUUCCUUGAAGAUGCUGCAACUCCCUUAAUUCUCCAAUGCUAGACCCGGUAGAUUUCCCCACAACGAAAUCAGUUAAUGUUCUCAAACUUUUUAGUCUUCCAAUUUCCACUGGCAUCCCUUGUAUUUUUGUUCCACUGACAUCGAGGUAAUGCAAACUACUCAAUUCCCUCAUAUCUGCUGGUAAUUUAGUAAGGGACCAGCAACCUGCCAACGUUAAUGUCCGUAAAUUUAUCAAUUUUGUCAUGUCUGCUGGCAGUUCAAUGAGAGCACGACAAUAUGACAACAGCAACGUCUGCAAAUUGUAGAGAGUGCAAACUGCACCAGGUAAGCUUACAAUUGCCGUCCGGGAGAGAUCCAGGUAGCGCAGGUGAAUGAGAUUGCCCACAGAAUCAGGUACUUCAGCAACAUUUUGAUAACGCGACAAUGAUAAAACCCGUAAACGUUUCAGGGAUGGCAACAAAUCUUGUAGGAACUUUUUACUUAUGUGGAAGAACGAGUCAUAUAAUAAGAUAGGUAGGAAGGUCCGCAGACACUUUGCCCCAUUUAAUGGCUCAAAUUUUUUAGCAGCAUCAAUUUCUCCCCUAGCAUAUGACAAAUGACGAAGUCUUUUAACUUCUUGUGAUUCCCUCUCUUCCAACCUGAGAAAAAAUCCCCUAGACAUG
RNAcentral lists this long non-coding RNA (102738 nucleotides) under Malus domestica (apple). Its description in RNAcentral is "long non-coding RNA (MDOM_LNC009994)". The record is from RNAcentral. Lineage: Eukaryota; Viridiplantae; Streptophyta; Magnoliopsida; Rosales; Rosaceae.